GAAGGGCCUCUUGGUUUGUUUCGUGCUAUUUAGGGCUCCAUUGUCUCUUUGGUUGCUGCUGUAUAGAAAAAAAUAGAAAGGAGUUAAUGUUAACUUAGGGUGAGUAAAAGUCGAUUUGAUUUAAAAAACUCGAUAAAAAUUUUAAAAUUUUGAAUUAAAUAGUUCAAGUUUUGAGUUAAUCAAGUUAUUUGGAUCAACUCGAAUAAAAAAUUAAGUUUUUCGGUUUAACUCGAAUAUGAAUUACACAAUUCGAGUUAAUCCAAAAAUCCGAAUAAGAAAAGAUAAAAUUACGCCAUUUUGAUAAAUGUUUACUUUUUCUAAAAUUAAAAGCCAAAACCAUUAAGUUAAAAGGCAAAACUACGUUGUUUUGACAAAUGUUUACUCAGUAUGUUAAAAGGCAAAACCAUUAUAUUGUUUAUGUAGUUAAAUAAUUUUAUACUUCGUUUACUAGUUAAAUAAUCAGUUCACGUAAACAUAACAUUAAGUAUAAAUAAUAGGAUUCGUUAAGUCGACUCGACUUGACUCGAAAUUUUUUACUCGAUUCGAUCCGAUUCGAAAAAAAUUUCAAUUUGAGUUCGGUUGCUAAAAUAGGAUUCGUUAACUCAACUAACUCGAAAUUCUUUACCUUAUUUAACUUGACUCGAUCGAAUACUUACCCCUAAUGUUAACACCAAGAAGUCAAUUUUGAACCACUACCGCCCUCACUAGCCAAACAUCAUGUUCCAUUAGUAAACUGGAAUAACAUAUUUUAAUUUUAAUCUCAAUGUAAAUUUUAGUGGAUAUCAGUCAUAUUGGUGCGUUUUCAUCCGUUUCAAUUUGUAUCGGUGCAUUAAUGGUCGUGUAACUAACUAUAAAUUCAACUAAGGCAAGCGCACCUAUCAAAUAGUAGUAUAGUUCUGGUGAGACCGGAAAUAUCGUAUCCACGAGGACUAAAAGUACUAGUAAUUACUAUCUUUUUAUUAUCUAGCCUAAGAGUUAAAGUGUGUUUUAAACUAAAACUAAUUAUCUAAUUAACUAAGAUUACGAAAAAGAUGAAGUUUGGAAAAUACUUUAGGAAAAACCGAUGGAAAAGACAAUACCCAAGGAAGAAUACACCUAGACUUCACUUAUUACUUCUAAAUUAGACAAUUUAUUCACUUAACUUAAUCCGUAGAAAUCCCUAAUUUAUGUUAAUAUCUCUCUCGAGACUAACAACAACUGACUUUAGGUUGAUUAAUUGAAAUCUCUUUCUAAUUAAAACCCCUAUUAUCACAUAAACUCGAUCUAUGGAUUCCCUUAUUAGAUUUGAUUCGAAUUCGGCAGAUUUAUGUCGUCCUAUCUUUAGGAUUGCAUUCAACUCCGCUUAAUUAUGGAUGAUCUACUCUUAAACAGAGACUUUUGCUCCACUGAAUAAGCACGUCAAAACCUGAAUUAAUACCCUGGAAUAUUAAAACAAGAACUUAGAACUCACAAUUAAGAAUAAGAAUAAAUCUUUAUCAUAUAAUUCAAAUAGUAAUAAGAUUCGUCAUAGGGUUCAUCUCCCUUAGGUAUUUAGGGAGUUUAGUUCAUAAUAAUAAUGGAAAACAUCUCAAAGUUUGGAAAACAACAAAACAUAAAGAAACCCAAAGAACUUCUAGGAAAUUGGAUGGAAAUCUUCAAUCUUGAUGUAGAUCCUGGCUCCGAGUGAUGGCUGUUCUUGAGUAUUUUCUGCCUCCAACUCUGUGUGUCCCCUUUAAUCCUCUUCUAGGGUGUUUAUACAGGUUUUAGAGUGCUUUCCAACCCUCAAAAGUGGCCUUUUCUAAGUAGAACUAGACUUGGGCUCGACAGGGACACUGCCGUGUGCCACGCCCUUGUGCAAGUGCUCAAACCGUGUGUAAUUCUAAGUUGGUUUCUAGUCGACACGGCCAUGACACACGGGCGUGUGGUCUGCCCGUGUUCCUCACACGGGCAUGUGGUUUACCCGUGUGGAAGUGACUAAGCCAUGUGCAACACUGUUUUAAGCCUAAUUUGUCCGGUUUUGGCCCGUUUCUCGCUCUUUUUGCUAUCCUAAUCUCUCCUGAGAAUUAAAAACAUGAAAUUAAAGGAUUAGGAGCAUCAAAUUCACUAAAACCAAGGAAAAAUCAUUCAUAAGUAUGCCAAGCAUAGGGUAAAAAUAUGUAUAAUUUACGAUUUAUCAUGCAUACUAACCUUUACUAGUUGGUGCUAUUUUAAAAUUUAUUCGAGAUUUUAAAUUUUAUUUAUUUAAAAUUUUUAUAAAUAAUUAUUAUUCACAUGUCAAUUAAGUAAAUUGUUCACGUCAACUUUGCGUGUUAGACCUUGUAAUGUAUAUGGUAAUAUAUGAUUUGAGAUAUGUUUUCACGUAUACAUAAUAUAUGAAAAUAUUUUUAAAAAAAUUAAUAAAUUCGAAAUGGUACACAAAAACACAUUGAUAUUGGUUUGUUCCAAUGUUAAAACAAAAAUAAUACAUUCAGCGGAAUGGUAGUGAUAACCCUAAGAUCUAGUGGCUAACUUCUCUUGUGAGAUUGGUGCCCGUUUCUGUCGAACCCCUUGUGGUUGCUGUAGCAACGUAAAAAUUUCGCUUUGGUCGCUAGUUGAGGCAAUUAUUUAAAAAUUUGAAAACGGGAUUUUGGUUUUAAAGAGAAAAGGAGUCGCCACCGAUCUUUUUUUUAGGUGUGAUCGGACACCUAAUAAACCCUCUUUUUCUUUUGAAAGAAAAUUUAUUUUUGAACAAAAAUGAAGGCCAAAUUUGGAUCUACGCGAAAAUCCAGAGAAAAAUAAGGUUCGAGAGUCGGCUACGCACGAGGAAGGUAUUACCCCCUCGCGACGCCCAAAAUUGGUAUCUUGUUAAACACGCGUUGUCUUAAUCCUCAAAAAUACAAGUUUAAUUUAAUAUUUAAUCGCGAUCCGAUUGGAAUACGAGAAUUCAAAAAAAAAUUUAGAAGGACGUCUCGUUUUUAACACGAGUCAAUGAUAUCCACCCAACAUAGCGAUGAAAUCAGCGACUUAGUGUUGAAAUCGGUACGUUGCCUAUUUGUUGAAAUUAAAACCAUAGAAAAAAUAUCAUUUGUAAUAGGAAUUUGUAUAUGUUAAUAAUGAUGAUAAUGAUAAUAAUACUAGCAAUAAUAAUAAUGAAAUACAAAAAGCAAAUAUAAUAUAAUAACAAUAUUAAAAUAAAGUAAUUAAAAAUAAUACUAUAUAAAUAUAUAUAUGUACAUAUAUAAUAAAAUCGUACACUAAUAUUAAUAAUAAUAAUAUGUAUUAAAAGGUAAAAAAGUAACAGUAAUAAUAAUUUAAAAAAUGAUAAUAGUAAUAAAAAUAAAAAUAAUAGUGAUAAUAAUGAUAAAUACAAAUAAUAAUAACAAUAAGACAGAUAAUAAAUAAUCGAAGGUUUGAAAUUAUUUAAAAAAGAUAAAAAUAAAUGAUGAGAUAUUAAUAAUAAGAGUAAUGAUAUAUAAAUAAAAUAAGUGUGCUAAAAUAUAAUAUAUAUAUAUAUUAAAUUAGUUAACAUAAAAAUAAUAACGUACGUGUAAAUACAAAAAAGGAAAAUAUAAUAAUAAUAAUAAUAAUAGCAAUAAUACUAUAGUAAUAAUAAUAAUAAGGUAUAAUAAUACAUUAGAUAGUAAAAAAGGUAAUAAUAAUAAUAAUAAUAAUGAUAAUAGUGGUAUUAGUAAUAAUAAUAAUAAUAGAAAAUAUUAGUACGUUACUAACAAUAAUAUAUGUUAAUAACAAUAAUAACAUAAAAAAUAAUAAUAUGGUAAAAGUUAGUAAUAGUAUGUUAAUAAAAAUAAUACUAAUGAAAAUAAUACUAACGGUAAUAAUAAUAAAAAUAAUAGUAAUAAUAUUAAUAAUAUUAAAAAAAUAAAAAAAUAAAGAAUAUUUAAUAAAGAAACGAAAAUAAACGAAAAAGGACUAAAAUUGAACUAAAAACAGAAUUUUAGGGGCAAAUUUAAAAAGAAAUAAAGGGAAAAGGACUAAAUUAAGCGCGCAAACAAAGAAGAGGGACUAAAUCGGGCAAUAAACCCUCCCUCCAAAACGCGCAGUAUUGCAAGAGACCUGAUUGAAAUCCAAGCAUAAAUUCGGGGCAAAAUUAAAAAUCCCUAAAAACUUAAUUGUGAAUUAACAGAAAAGCGGAAGGGCUAAAAGCGCAAUUAGCCCUUCCAAUGAAAAAACACUCGGAUCCUGAGUGGAGCGGGUCGGGUCUUCGGGUUGGCGCAUAAAUGACGCCGUUUUGGGGUGUUUUGCAACUGAAUGAAACGUCGUCGUUUUGUAGUGUUAUAGAAGGCCUUUUUUUUUGCAAAAGUCUUCAUUUUCUCCUUGCUUCAGGAAAAAACAACUCCCUCUCUCUCAUUUCUCUCUGGCCAAGGCCAGAAUCCAGCAAGAGGACCACCGUCAACCGUCAUCACCAGCCACCGUACACGGUGGUCGGAAAUUCGAAAGGUAUAUAUAUUUUUUAUUUUUUAUGCUUUUAAUAUAUGUGUAUAUAGGAGGGAAUAGAAUCAGAAAUAGGAAAGAAAAAUAAAAUUCACCUUGGGCCUUUCGGUUUUGAUUUUUGAUGUUUUGGUUUUCCGAUUUGAAACUAUUCUCCUGCUUUGGUGUUGCUAGAUUCAGUUUUUGCCCUUAAAGAACCAAAUGCUUUUGUAUUUCAAUGGUUGUCGAAUGUUACAAAUGACUUUGGCUUGGCUUUUUAAAGCCAUUUACAUGAUUUUUUUAUUACUUUCUGUCUUUUCUUCCUUUAAUUUUGCAGGUGCAAGUGGGCGGUGGUGAUGCGACGGGGCGGUGCUGUAGUGGGCAGGUGGUGGCAGAGGGCAAUUGGCCGAAUGCCAUAGGUGCGGCUGAAGCUAGGUUUUUUUAUUUUCUUUAGGAUUGGGUUAAUUGGGCUAAGGUUUAGGUCUAGUUGGGUUAAGUCUGUUGGGUUUGGGUAUUGGGUUUUCAUGGAUUUAGGGAUUUGGGUUUUGGGUAUUUGGUUGUAAUGGGUUUAGGGAUUUUGGGAGGUUGUUUAUUGGGCCUCGGGCUAAAUUGGGCAUCUACAGCUGCUCAUAUUUGCUCAUUGUCGUGUAACGAGAAUGGAGCAAAGAUUUAAAGAAGGGCCAAUUUUGCUCGGUCUUGCUAAGUCUCGACUUUCUAGUGCUUCUCUUUCUUAGGUAGCCUCGUUCAGCCCACUGUAUCUUGUUGCUUUGAUCUGCUUUAUGUAACUUCAGAGGUAUAGGACUUGUUGCUUUAAUCUGCUUGAUUCUUCAAGGGUAUGAGGUUCAUAGCUUCAAUCUGCUUCACUGCUCCACUGCAACUUCAGGGAGAUAAGGUCUAAUAUCUUCAGUCUGCUCCACUACAACUUCAGGGUUCCACUACAACUUCAUGGAGAUCAGACUUGUAAUUUCAACCUGCUCCACUGCAACUUCAGGGAGGCAAAAUCUAUAUAUUCGAUUAGCUCUAAUCUUUAUUCUUUAUUGAAAAACAAACAUCGAGAAUAGCUCGGCAUACAAACUGACGUUCAACUCAUCUCUCGGAUUAUGAGUUAAUCUUUGAAAAGAGUAAAAAAUUGAAAAUACCUCAGUGUGUGACCUGAGGCUCAACUCACCUCUCGUAAUAUGAGUUGAUAGAAAUUAAAAAUACCUCAGCAUGUGACCCGAGGCUCAACUCACCUCUCGUAAUAUGAGUUGAUUUUUUUGAAACAUAAACUAAAAAUACCUCAGUGCGUGAUUUGAGGCUCAACUCACUUCUCGCAAUAUGAGUUGAUUUUUUUGAAACAUAAAUUGAAAAUACCUCAGUGCGUGAUUUGAGGCUCAACUCACUUCUCGCAAUAUGAGUUGAUUUUUUUGAAACAUAAAUUGAAAAUACCUCAGCGUGUGAUUGAGGCUCAACUCACCUCUAGCAAUAUGAGUUGAUUUUUUUGAAAAACAAAAAUUAAAAAUAUCAGGAAACAAAAAAAUCAUCUGGUGGAACUUCAGGUGUCUUUUUCUUUGAUCCAGUAUAACUAUCAUCAAAUCCUCUUGCUCUACUGGAGUACCUGCAUAUGUUAUGCAUGAUGUUAUCAUGGUAUGCGCAUGCUUGUCUUAAAUGUCUGUAUGCCUACAUGAUUAUGCUAUAUGCCUUGGACUUGUUUGUCAUAUAUCUCUUUUCGUCACGAUUCUUGUGAUGAUCUGUAUUCAUUGUUUCGAUUUUUGACUUUCUCUUUAGGCUUUGUACACGUUCUCCAACUUUAUGAGUAAUUUGUAUUUCUCAGAUACCACUCUUUUGCCCCCUGUUGAACUUUUUCCUUGCAUUGAGGCCUCGUACUUAUCAAAUUAUCAUCCGAGUAAUGCUCAACCUUUCUUUUUGUUUAGAGUAUAUCAUUCUACUAUUUAUUAUUCAAAUAAACCAUACAAUGAGAUGCAUGAAAAAUGGUCAGGUAGGUACAAAAGAGAUACUUCACAUUUAUUUAUUUCGAAGGUAACAAACAAAAAGGUUAACCAAGGAUGGUAAAAAGGUGUCAUAAAGAGAAGGGGAUGGCAUACAAAUGCUCUAGAUAUUCAACGCAUGAUCUCUUCCACGUUACUUAAUCAAAAAUCUUUUCGAGCAUGGCUUCUUACGUAAAAGAUUUCGAGCUUUCAGAAGUGCUUCAAAUACUAUAGCUUUGUCGUUUAACCUACUGUUCCAAUCGCCUUGCUUUUUAAGCCCAGGUUCGCUUCAUUAGGACGCCCUCUCAAGUUUUUAUCCUAAUCCUUUUUGUUCAUCAAGACGCCCUUUUUGGGUUUUCACCUUGAUUUAUUUUUUUUAGGCAUAAUAUUUCUUUACAGCAUCAUCUCAGUGAGAAUCAAAGCUCCACCUAAGAAAUCCUUCUUUACGACAUACGGUCCUUCCCAAUUUGGUGCCCAUUUUCCUCGAAAGUCUAUUUGUAUUGGGAGAAUUUUUCUCAGCACCAGUUCUCCUUCGUGGAAUUCUCUUGGCCGUACUUUCUUGUCAUGGGCCGCGACCAUUCUCUUCUGGUACAUCUGUCAAUGACAGUUUGCCUUCAAACAUUUUUCUUCGAUAAGGUUUAACUGGUCAUAUCGAGCUCAAACCCACUCUGCUUCCUCUAGUUUUGACUCCAUUAAGACUCGUAGAGAGGGGAUAUCGACUUCGAUGGGUAGCACAGCUUCCAUUCCAUAGACCAGAGAGAAAGGAGUUGCUCCCAUAGAUGUUCGCACAGAUGUGCGAUAUGCAUACAAAGCGAAUGGUAGCUUCUUGUGCCAAUCUUUAUAUGUCUCGGUCAUUUUCCCAAUAAUCUUCUUAAUAUUCUUGUUGGCCGCUUCAAUUGCUCCAUUCAUUUUCGGGUGAUAGGGUGAUGAGUUAUGAUGCUUUAUUUGAAAUUGUUCACACACUUCCUUCAUCAUCUUGUUGUUCAAAUUCAAGGUGUUAUCUGAAAUGAUUCUUUCAGGUAAACCAUAUCGACAAAUGAUUUCCUUUUUUAAGAACCUGGAAACUACAGUCUUCGUCACAUUAGCAAAUAAAGUGGCUUCUAUCCAUUUCGUGAAGUAAUCUAUCACUACAAAAAUGAAUCGGUGUCCAUUAGAAACUUUUGGAGAAAUUGGCCCUAUAACAUCCAUGCCCCACAUAGGAAAAGGCCACGGAGAAGUCCUGACUCAUCAUGUUGCCCCAGUACGUAACCCAUUGAAUUUUUGAAUACAGUCAGAUAUAAUAUUAACGGUCCUCUUAGAAUUGGCGGUACUAGUAUCGGGAGACUAUACAAAUACUGUUUUAUCUUGUCAAAAGCCACUUGGCACUCAUUGUUCCAUUCUCCCGGAUUAUGUUUUUGAAGGAGUCGAAAAAUUGGGUCACACUGGUUGGUAAGUUGAGCAAUGAAUCGAGCGAUGUAGUUCAACCUCCCUAAAAAUCCUCUGACUUCUUUUUGCGUGCGCAGAGGUGGUAGUUCUUGUAUGGCUUUUAUCUUAUCUGGAUCAACUUCAAUACCUCUCUCGCUGACGAUGAAGCCUAGCAAUUUUCCCGACGUAGCCCCAAACGUACACUUGGCUGGAUUAAGCUUCAGCUGGAACUUUCUCAGCCUUUCGAACAACUUCCUGAGGUUCUCAACAUGUUCUCUUUCCCCCUUGGAUUUGGCGAUCAUAUCAUCGACGUAAACUUCUAUUUUUUUGUGCAUCAUGUCAUGAAACAACAUUAUCAUAGCCCUCUGAUAUGUUACCCCAGCGUUCUUUAAUCCGAACGGCAUCACCUUAUAACAGAAUGUUCCCCACAUCGUUACGAAAGUAGUGUUCUCUAUAUCCUCAGGAGCCAUCUUUAUCUGAUUAUAACCUGAAAAUCCAUCCAUGAACGAAAACAAUGAAUGUUUGGUUGUGUUAUCCACUAAUGUAUCGAUGUGUGGCAAAGGAAAAUUAUCUUUAGGACUUGCUCGAUUCAGAUCGCGAUAAUCCACACACAUUCGUACCUUGCCGUCUUUCUUUGGUACUGGGACUAUGUUAGCUACCCAUUGUAGGUAUUUGGAUACUUGUAGGAAGCCAGUAUCGAAUUGUUUCUUGACUUCUUCUUUUAUUUUUAACAGCAUUUCAGGUCUCAUUCGUCUUAGCUUCUGUUGAAUGGGUUUGCAUUCUGGUUUCAGUGGGAGUCUAUGGACCACUAUAUCCUCAUCCAAUCUUGGCAUAUCCUGAUAUGACCAUGCAAAUACAUCUUUGUACUCAUGAAGCAAAGCGAUCAAAUCAUGUUUGGUGUUAUCUGAAAUGGAGGUCCCAAUCUUCACUUAUUGCCUCUUUUCUUCAUUUUCCAAGUUUACUAUCUCAACCGGUUCUUGAUGAGAAAGAAUCUGUUUAUCCUCUUGUUCUACCAUUCUUAGUAAGUCAGGAGACGAGACAUAGUCUUCAACAUUUUCCUCAGCUUCGAACUCUCCUAAACAAAUAGCUUUCUCAAAAUUGAUUUCAAGAUUUGUAACGAGUUUGUUCAUAUUGUUGAUAUCUGAGCACCUGAAAGUUGAAUGGAAAAGAAAACUAUAGAGGAGCAUCAAAGUAUUGGGACCAACAAGCAUAAUGGCAUGAUGUGAGAUAUAUGCAAUGAUAGGCUGUGAGAAGAGGGAAAAAGUAUGAAGUUAAUGAGAAUGAAAAGACCAUGACAAAAUGCAUCUCCAUUAAUGUUCAUUUAAAUGAUAAAGAGCAAAUCAUAAGCUCUUACAAAAGAAUCCCUACUAUUACUUAGUGACACACAAAAAGAAGAGUGUUAACAUUGAGCAUUACUCUGGAGAAGACUUAGAAACUACAAGGAGAUCCACAGCAGUCCAAUUGUUCAAAACGAAUCCAGGAGGACAAGGGCGUAUCAUUGAAACAUAUUUAAUUGCACCAUUUCCUUUGUCAAUGACAUUUAUACUGACAUUCUGAAGACCCCUUUCAAUUAAUAACAGCGUGCUUCGUGGAUUAUCUUGCCCGGGGUAUAUCAUUCCUAUAGAUGUAAUUGUUUUUGACAAAGGAGGGUACUUUAUGGGCUCCUAUUCUAAUUCUCGGCCUAAGGCUCUUGAAACCCUCCUUUCUUGAUCUUUCUGCAACUGUUUUCUUCUCUGUCGUAUAUCCGGCUGGAACCCUAAACCAUAUCGAGCCUUAUGGGGCACUGGUUUUAGAGCUCUAACUAUCCCUUGUUGAUAUCUUCCCAAACCUUUCCUCGCUCGGGCUCCCUUUCCCACAGUUAGCUUAAUUCCCAUCUUGGUAUUCCUUGAUAGUUUAGGCAUGGGAAUCUUAUUUCCUUCAGCAACGAACGUGGCAUUGAUAAAUUCGAAGGAACAGAAGGAACAUUCUACUGCAUCAUUGCUUAUUUCGAGUUAUGGUGUAUCAGCAGAGAUAGAUGCGACAAUGUCUUCCUCACCCACAACAGUGACCAAAAGACCAUCCAUGAUAAACUUCACUUUUUGAUGGAGAGAUAAAGGAACUGCCUCAGUAGAGUAGAUCCAAUGGAUUCCUAAAAGGCAAUUAUACGAAGGCGUGAUUUCUAUAACCUGAAACUCGAUGUCAUAUAUAUAGUGGCCCACUUCUAGAGGAAUUUCAAUUUUUCCCAUGACUUCUCGUCUUGUCCCAUCGAAUGCUCUUACUGUAAAGUGACAAGGCCUCAGAUAAGAUAUAUCAAUUGGAAUUCUAGAAAGCGUGGCCAAAGGCAUGACAUUGAGUGCCGACCCGUUAUCAAUGAGCACAUUCGGUAUUAUAUAACCCUUGCAACAGGUUGUGAUAUGCAAUGCUUUUACGGAGCCCCUACCAUUUGGCGGUAUUUCGUCAUUACUGAAAGAAAUAAAAUUAUCCGCGUUCAGGUUAUUCACCCACCUAUCAAGCUUUUUGACAGAUAUAUUGCUUGCUACGUAAGCUUGAUUUAACACUUUCAGCAAAACGUUCCGAUGUGGUUCUGAAUUCAACAGUAGGGAUAAUACCGAGAUUCGUACCGGUUGUUUGCUUAACUAUUCCACAACAUUAUAUUCACUAUGUUUGAUGUACUUCAAGAAUUCAUGUGCUUCCUCUUCAUUCACAGGCCUUUUAACUUCUUGUUCGGACGGAGUCUCAAGUUCAACCUCGACCUCAUAUAUCGGUGCCUUUCCUUUCUGCUUUAAGUCAUUAUUCUUCUUUAUUGGUUCGACCACUUUAGAAUAACACCUCCCGUUGCGGGUGAAGUGUCCUACUUCGCCAACAUUUCCGGUCAUGACUUUGGAUUUUUCACCUUCAGGUAUGAUAAUGUUGACAUCAUAUUUCCAUGGUACUGUCUUGUUGUCUUUGUAAGGGAAAGGAGAUUGUACUUCAAUUACCAUCUUUGGUUUCACUUGCUCCUUUUUUGCAUCGUAAUAAAUCACCAAUGGUCGAUCAGCACUAUAAGGGAAACCUGAUGAUUGAUUAUUAGAAGUGCAUACUUCUUCUUCAUCGGCCUCUUUCAUUGUGUUAAAGAUCUCGACUUCCUUGUUGUCCAUCAUGUCUUGAAGUAGUUUUCUGAAUCCUUUCCAAGACUGGAUGUCAUGCCCCUCGAUCCCAUGAAAAUCACAAAAACAUUAACUUUUUGUAUUUCCUUCUUUGAAAAUUUUGUUGGGAUGACAAAACAGCCCUUUUUCAACCAUUACCUCCCAAAUCUUUCGCAGCGGUGCCUCUAUUUCAGAAACACAACUUUUGACACGCCACAUGUCUUCUUUUGUCACCAUGCUCACGUUCCCUUCAGUAUGGUUAGGGAGCGAAUUUCCAGCCGUAUUGCCAGCACCAUCAAAUCGUAGAAUGCCUGUAUCAAUAAGACCUUGAACUCUCCUUUUAAAUGCCAAAUAAUUUUCUGUAGAAUGCCCCUGGUUUCCAGCGUGGUACAUGCAACUAGCAUUAGGAUCGUACCAUUUUGGGUAUGGAGGCUUCAAGGGCGCUAUAUAAUGUGGGGAUAUUAAUUGUUUUUCCAACAGUUUUAGGUACAGCUCUCCGUAUGACAUGGGAAUUGGGUGAACUGGGGUUUUUCAGGAUUGGAACUUGUAGGUCUUUGUUCAUUUUUGGGUUGGCUUUGAGCAGGCAUGGUAUUUGGUGGGAACAUGGCAAAUGGUCUUUCGUUAUCUGUGGCGUAGAAUGGGCAAGGAGGAGGUACUUGAUAAUAAGAGCUUUNNNNNNNNNNNNNNNNNNNNNNNNNNNNNNNNNNNNNNNNNNNNNNNNNNNNNNNNNNNNNNNNNNNNNNNNNNNNNNNNNNNNNNNNNNNNNNNNNNNNNNNNNNNNNNNNNNNNNNNNNNNNNNNNNNNNNNNNNNNNNNNNNNNNNNNNNNNNNNNNNNNNNNNNNNNNNNNNNNNNNNNNNNNNNNNNNNNNNNNNNNNNNNNNNNNNNNNNNNNNNNNNNNNNNNNNNNNNNNNNNNNNNNNNNNNNNNNNNNNNNNNNNNNNNNNNNNNNNNNNNNNNNNNNNNNNNNNNNNNNNNNNNNNNNNNNNNNNNNNNNNNNNNNNNNNNNNNNNNNNNNNNNNNNNNNNNNNNNNNNNNNNNNNNNNNNNNNNNNNNNNNNNNNNNNNNNNNNNNNNNNNNNNNNNNNNNNNNNNNNNNNNNNNNNNNNNNNNNNNNNNNNNNNNNNNNNNNNNNNNNNNNNNNNNNNNNNNNNNNNNNNNNNNNNNNNNNNNNNNNUUAGGACGUAUUUCCUUUUUUAAAUCCCGAGAUCGUUUUGAAAUUUGAGUUCGAAAAAUUCAUGCAUUUAGAUUUAUCGUAAAAAUCGAAACCCAGUAAGUUAGGGUACGAUCCUCUCGAAUCUAAACACAAAAUGCCAUUUAUUUAAAACAAGUUUUGACAUAUUGAGUAAAACGAAACACGAAGUCGUAAUAAGAGAAUGUGAAAACAAAUUACAUUGUUGAUAUGCAUGGCAAAACCAUAAUAAAUACAAAAGUAUAUAAAAAAAUAAUGCAAGCAAUAGCAAUCAAAAUAAAAUAAAUAAAAGAACAAACCAACAAUUCACAAAAUAACAAAUGUAUAAGCAAAUAAAAAUAAAAUAUUCUCUUAAAAUAAUCAUGAGAACUUAAAUAAAUAAAUAAAUAACAAUAUGAUUAAAAUUUAAAAAAAUAUAAAAGUACACAUAUAUAAAUAUGUAUAUAUAUGUAAGCAUAUGAAAGAAAAUAAAAAUAAAAAUAUGAAUACGUAUAUGGAUUUACAUAUAUAUGGAUUAUAAAACAUAAAAAUUAUAUAAUAAUAACUAUAAUAAGACACCUACACUUUAAACUUAAAUAAGUAAACACAAACAAUAAUAUAUUAACAAUAACAAACUAUAAUAACAGUCAUAAUAAUAUAUAAUUUAUCAAUGUUAUUAAUAAAAUAGCUGAAAAUAAUAAAACAAAGGGCUAAAUCGAAUUUUGAGACGAAAUUUGGAGCUUAAAAUGCAAAUAAACGAAAAAAGGGGGUCCGAGGGACAGAAAAAUAAUGCGCCCGAAGAAUGGAGGGCUGAUUGAGCAAAUAUUCCCAACCUUUAGCGCGCCAUUUUGUUCAGGACCAAAUUAGAAUAGGCGCAAAAAUCGCGGGGCCAAAUUAAAAAAAUAAAAGACUUUAUUAUAAAACCAUUAAAAAGCGGAAGGGCUAAAGGUGCAAUUAGCCCUUCCGUCGAAAACACGCGGAUCCUUCGGGUCGGAGCGGGUCGGGUCGCGGGUCCAAAGCAAAACGACGUCGUUUUGGGCGUUAUGGAGCUGGGCCAAAACGACGUCGUUUCACACGCCUAUAUAUUCAAAAAAAAUUUCAAAAAUUUCAUUCUUCUCCCCUUUUCAAAAAAAAACCCGAAAUGCUCUCUCUCCCUCCCCUUUUCUCUCUGAGCGCCGGCCAAAGGUCCGGCCGAGAGCCACCGCACCGGCCGCCGCCUUCCGGCGCCGGCGCCGCCGUGUACGGCGGCGGGGAGAUCAAAAAUCUCCCUUUUUCUUUCCGAUGACUCUCCUCAGCCUCCUGAGCGCUCCGGCACCACCGACGAAGGUAAAAGUCUUUCCUUUUUAUUCUUUUUUUGUUUUUCCGUAUAUUUUUUUUAAAAUAAAAACAAAAAAUAAAUAGAGUAAAAGAAGUAAAAGUUAAAAGAGACCUUCAGAUCCCAAAUCGGUAACCACCUUCUUUUGUUUCUAUUUCUUCUCCUUCAAAAUCACCCUCUUUUUUUUUCUUUACAUUGGUUGUUAUGGCUUUAUAGCCAUGUUUACAAUAUUUGAUCUAUUAUUUGUCAUUUCUUUCUCUGAUUUUGCAGGCAAGUGGGUGGAGUUGGUAAUGGCAGAGACGUGACGUGCGGCGCGGCGGUGGCAGGGGGCAGGUGGACUAGGUGCGGCGGCUAGGGUUAGGGGUUAGGUUUUUUCUGACAGUGUUUGGGUUAGGGUUUGUUUGUAAUUGGGCUGAGGGUAUUGGGUUUGUGGGUAUUGGGUUUGUGGGUAUUGGGCCGGACAGAAAUUUGGGCUUGUACAGACAUCAACCUAAAUUCAUUGAUAAAUGUUUUUACUUGGGACAAAAUAAUAAUCUUAUAUAUAUACUUUUUAAGGUUUUAUUAAAUUUUUUAAUUUUUGAUAUUGAGAAAAUGAUUAUGCGUGAAGAAGUUAGCAUUGCAAUUGAUUGGAAUUUAUACUAUGAUAUGGAAAACAUAAAAUUAUUGUAUAACUUGGGUUUUUGAUGAGGUUAAAAAGGAAAAACACUACUCUUUUUCUUUCCCAAUUUAUUUACCCUUACCCUUUAUUCUAUAUCUUAAUUAUAAGAAGACCUUAAGGAAACACAAAACAAAAAAUACUGAUUUUUUUCUGAUAAAAGAAAAUUACAUUUUGAAUCCAAAUAAAAUGUUUUUAGUGUGGAAUAAGCAAUGAACCCCUAACAAUAAUUGCGAGAAUAUUAACAAAAACAGUAAUUGUGUGAAAUCAACAUAUUUACAAAAUUGUUAUUUUCAAACAGCUAAAUAGAAUUGUACAAAUAGUUUAAUUUGAAGUAAAAAUGGGUUUGUGCCAGGCUGGUAAACAAGUAUCUUGGAUGCCUUUAGGGCUGACCUGAUUCAGGGACACCAUAAUUACUGUCCUUUUUUAACUUUACACUUUUGCUUAAAAGAGUCAAAACUUUUUUAAUCAAAAGUCAACUUUUAAAAGAGAAAAGCUACAGAAUAAUUAAAUUAUAUGGCAAUUUGGUCUCACCUACUCUUUUCACAGUUUCACCACUCAUUAAUUUAUAUAUUAACAACUGCAUACCGCAAUUAAAAUAAUUUUAGUAUCCACAUUGUGUUCGCCAACCUACAAAAGUUCAUUUUCCUGACUCAUAGAGGAUACUUGCAUAUUAAUUUGUAAAAGACGAUUAACUCUCCCUCGAAUAAUUGCCUUCUUACUAUAUAUAUAUAUAUAUAUUAUUAGGAAUAUAACCCAAAUUUUAUUUUUUAAUAUUUACAAAAAAAUUAUUUAUAUAUAUAUCCUUCCAAUGUCAAGCAUUGAUACUUUACUUUUCGAUAUUUCUGGUAUGAAUUAUCUAAUUUUUAGAUAUUAGAAUUAUUGAGCUUAAGAUUUAGUUUUAAAUCUUUAGUUUGUUCAUUUUUCUUUAAUCAAUAUAGCUCUAAACAUUGUUAGUGUAAUGUAAAGUCAAUAGUAUAAUUAGGGAUGUCUUGAGGCAUCGUUGUAGCACCACUCAAUUGAGAUUAUCGUUGUAUAAUCUUGAAAUCUUGAAUUUAGAGUUUUGAGUUUAAGGUUUAAGGUCUAAGGUAUAAGGUUUAAAUUAAAAAAAUUACAGAUGUGUCAAUUAUAUGAAAAAAAAUGUUGAAAUGACUCUAAAUAAUUAAUAAGAGAUGCAAAAUAAUGUGACAUCUUUAUUUCAUAUAAUAUUUUCCUAUGAGAUAAGUAUAACUUGUAAUUCCUUUCCCUCUCAAAUGUGUAUAGCUUACUAUUUUAGAGGAAGUGUGAGUAGGCAAUAGAAUGGGUUAAGGUUUUUGACUCUUGUGCAGCACUUCCACAAAAUCAGGCUGGGGCUUGCUAAAUUUCUAAUGCAGACAACACACAGACCUGGUUUCUUAGCAAUACAAAACUUGACUAAAAAUGAUUAAAGAUCUUAACACCCUUUCCAUAAAACAAAACACGUUAUUUGUUUAAUUACUUAAACACGCUUGUUGUUUUCUAUUAAAGAAAAAGGAUUACAAACAUUUAACAACUACAAUCUCGUACAACAUAAAAGCUUAAAAGUCCAAAAGAUAAUAAAAGCGUUCUUCACUUCAAUCAGACUUCUACGGUUGACUAAAUGGAAUCAAGGGAGACUCAUGCCGAUUACUUUGGUUGCAAAACUAUAAGGCGAGUAUGGCCACCUUAAUGUGAAAGAGUCUCAGUCCAGGUCCUGGCGAUGAAAAUACCAGCGUAGGCUUCAAACAACAUAUGAAAAGAAAAAAGAUCCAGAUCAAAUCAAUCUUGAUGCAUCUUUAAAAAAAAAAAAGCACAAGAAUGACUGUAACAGUAACUAUAAUGGAAAGUCAAAACUCUAUCCAAAGAAUGAACAGGUCAUAAAUAGUUUGUUUUUAUUUGUUUAUCAAGUUAAAUAAACUUAUAUGAACAAAAUUUUCAGCGAUCAAAACUUGUUUGGUUCAAUGAACAAGCUCAUUUAAUAAAUUAUUUAAAGCUCAUUUAAAAUUUGUUUAUUAUUUAAUUAUUAUAUAUUAAUAAGAUUAUUUUUAUUAUUUAUGUACUUAUUUUAUAUCUAAAAGUUAAAAUAUUUAUUUUUCAUGAAUAUAUUCAUGAAUAUGUUGAUAAAAUGUUUUUAAACUGAAAUUAGAUAAUCUUAUAAACAAUAAUAAAUAUGGGUGCAGCUGAGAGGCAGGAGACAACAGAUUAUUUUACAAAAAAAAAGAAGAAGAGAAAAAUGGAUUGGAGAGGGUGAGUUAAAAAUCUGAAGAUUAUUGGGAUAUUGAAGAAUUAAUAAAUAAAUUUAAAAAAAGGAUAGAAAUAUAUCCGUAAAUAUAGAAAUCCAAAGAAAAAUUAUUCCCUGAAAUGAAUCUGAUAAAAUGGUAAACUAUUAAGAAUAUGUCAGCGGCAAAACCGGGUGUCACUUUCCUCAACAAUUGCUCUAAUCUUGAUACCUUGCUUACACUCUUCAAUACCAUUUUAUUUUUUUUAAUUUAAUUUUCUUUCAAAAUUAAGUUUUUUUUUUUAUGGCAUGCAAAGUUCUUCAUUGACGGUGACAACACAUUAGAGCUUUCCUCUUCCUUUAUUUUUAAAAAUAGUUUUUAACUAUAAUUAAUUAAUUAAUAACAAUAUAUGUAAACAUCGAAGUCCAAUCUACGACUUUUGUCUGUUGUCUUCUCAGUCUUCGGUUGUCUUCACUCUAUUCUAUGCUAUUCACGAGAACUUAUAUAUCCUAAGAUUUUUUUUUAUUAUUUUUCAUUUCAUUUUUGUUUUUCACGGUUUGACAUUCACUCCUUUUCUACUUUACUGUUUUUAUCUUUUAGACUUGGUUGAGUAAAGCUUUGUUAUGUUUUUAAGUCCUCAAAGUGGGUUUUAUUAACUUAAUUUCAAUUUUUCAAAAAGUAAUCAUAUUGCUUUAAUAGCUAUCAAUAUGAUCAUUUUUGUAAUUUUUUAAGUUACUAUUUAUUCAUUGUUACUAUUUAAUCUUAGUAUUAAUUUUUUAUUAUGUUAAACAUAAUAUAUUAAUUAUUUUUAUUUUCGUUUACUUGCUGGGGAACACAAUCUUCAAAUUUGACAAAAUGUAUAUUUUUUCAUGCUGAAUGAAGAGCAACCUUGAUUGAAAACAUGUAUAGAGGUAGCGAGCUUUUUAAAGGUCAUUGGAUUACCUCUUAUUCCAAUGUACGUAGAGCCAUUGCUUCUAGCCAUGGUGAAAAUGUGGAGACUUCAAAGACUCUUAUCUUUCACUUUUUUUGUGGUGCAACAAUAAUCACCUUGGAAGUUAUCGCCCUAAUCAUGGGCCUUCCAAUUGAAGGUAGUGUUGUAAUUAGUGUGGCUCAAUAUGAUUUUGAGCUAGUAAUGAGGUUAAGUGGGCAUUAUCUAGUCGAUAAGAGUAACAUCAAGGGGGAAGGGGGGUGAGUGAAGUUCAUCUGCUUGAGCAUUUGCCAGUAGACGAAGUCAACAACAAACAUCAGUUUAAGUAAUAUAAUAAAGCUUACAUUGUAAACACCCCUUAUCCAGUCUGAUCCGUUAAACCCGAGUUAUAAAAUACUACAAUAAGUUAGUGGAGAAAGAUGUACUACAAGUUUGAAUGAACUUAGAAUAUCAGCUUCCCUAAACUCCAUUGCAACAUUCCUUGUCGAGUAAUGUGUUGUUUUCAUUAUCAACAAGAUCAAAGGAGUUAUACAUGUGGUAAUUGGAAGACAUUGAAAAUUUAUAGAAAAUUCUUGAUAUAUAAUAUCAUCUCAAUUGAGUUAUAAUUUUUGAUUUGAUAUUUAACUUUAGUUCAUAAAUAUUGACACUUUUAUUGAAUUUCAUGUUUAUUUGAUGCAUCGAUUUAAAUACAAUACCAAUUUUAGUUUAAUGAAUUUAUCCGUUGUAAUAUCCAUGAAAAAAAUAUUGUUACUCAUUUUGCAUACGAAACUUGCAAAAAAAAAAAUACUUAUUCACGUAUGCUUAAUAUCAAUUAACAUGAUUUAUAAUUAUAUUGUACAUCACAACAAAAAAGAAAACCAUAAGUAGCAAAUAAAAUGUGAAACAUAUAAAAUAUUGAAUAUUUAAUUAGCAUCAAAUAUAAAAUAUUAAACAUAACUAGCAUUAUAAAUAAUAUUAUCAAUAAAGACAUAUAAACUAAACUUAAAUUAUAUUUUAAAAUAAAACUGACACUGAUCAAAAUUUGCAUCGGAAUAUAACUUAAAAUUUAUUAUUUUAAUUUACUACGAGAACAAAACGUUUCGAUUGAUAGAAAGAGAAUCAAAACAUAAUUAUUUACAUUAAAGUUUACGAAAUUUUUAUAGUUAAAAGAAAACCAUUAAAGUUUUCAAAAUAUGGGUGAUGUGGCCACAUAUGGAAGUGACACGUGGACAAAUGAAACGUUCUGAUACUUUUGUACUGAUCAAAAUAUGUUUAUGAUAAAAAAUAAAAAAUUGAAUGUAUCAAAAACUAAAACUAAAAAUAAAAAUUAGUUAAAUUUCUCAAAAUUUACAAAAAUUUGAAAAUUUUUUAAAAAUGAAAAAUCACAUUUUCUUGAAAAUUCAAAAAAAAUUAAAAAAAAUUGAAAUUGUUAAAAUUUUAAAAAAAUAUAAAAUAUAAAAUAUAAAAAAUUCAAAAAAAAUAUUAGAAAUAAAAAAGCAAAAAAUUGUCCUGUCAACAUUAAUCAACACCGAUUAAUGCCCACUCAUUUUUGAAUUCUUAUAAUUUUGUAAUUUAAACUUUUUUUUAUACUUUUAAAAUUUUAAAAUAUUUUAAUUGUUUAUAUAUUUUCAAUUUUUAUAAUUUUAUAAGAUUUAAACUAAUUUUUUAAAAUUGUUUAAAUUUAUUUUUUUUAAUUAUUUUUAUUUUUAAGUUUUUUAAAAUUUAAAAUAAUUAUAUAAGAAGACACAUUUCAUUCUCCCCCAUUUGUCCACAUAUCACCUCAAUAUUUAGCCACUUUAUCCCAUUGUUAAAAAAAAAAUCGGUAUUAAUGUAGGGACCAAUUUGUACGACGGAUAUCAACUUUAGAAACCAAUUGGAUCCAAAAAAAAAUUUAAGAGCUAAUUCGAGAAAAUUUAUAAAGUUGAAGGACUAGUCUAUAUAUUAAGCCCAAAGUUUUAAAGCAAUCGGAACCAACCAUAAAAUAAUAAAAAUUAGACUUGGUUGGCACUUGGCAUUUGGGUUGAAUGAGGUUGGUGAAAGGUCAAAUCCUGUUAACUCCGGUUUUCUCUUUCUUAAUCUUAGGGGGCAAUUUACAAAGUAAAAAACCAAAGCAAAACUGGAAAAAGGUGUUUUUUUUUGUUGGUAGUCAGACAAAGCGUCUCUACUUUUCCUCAAACUUCUUUAAAUCCAUUAUAUUUUCAACUAGUGAGAAUAACCAAAACCCUAAAAUGAUAAACUCUUUUUAAUUAUUCUAUAUUUAUCUUAAUUUUAAUUUUAUACAUUUCACUAUAUAUUUGAAUAUCCAACAGAAUGUGUCCUCCUUUGCAGCCGUUCUUUGGGAUUACGACGGCUUCUUUGUGUGAGGAGUGUUGGGAUCAUGGUCGAACUUCUUGCUAUUUAGGAGUGGAUAAUUUAAUGUUUGAAUUGGAUUGUAGUGAUACCAUUAUGGCUCUUAAUGUGUCUUUUUUGAAUAUUUCUGAAUUUGGUAGACUAGACGGUUUGCCAACAAGGUGGCUCAUGAAUUUACUUGGGUAGCUUUGUUCAAUGAUAGUUGUCAAAUAUGGGAAGCUCUUCCCACAUCGCUUUGUAUAAAAUUAUCGGUUUGAGAUUUUAAAAAUCUUUCGAAUAUUUAAGGUAAUUAUUCUUGAUUUUCUGUUUAUUAAUAUAUGAGUUUCCUUUGAAGAAAAAAAAAUAUAUUUCCUCUAUAUACUGUUUAAAAAUAAAAAUAAAAAAAGUAUCGCACACUCAAUAUGUUAAAUCUAAUACUUUUAAUUGGUUCUACUUUGGCAAUAGGUCAACACUUAUGGCACAAUAUCCUACGUAACAAAGACUACAGGUAACAGUUAGUAUUUUUUAUUUCAACCAAAGAAAGAGAGUAUCUUUUGUGUUUAUUGGGUUUAUUUAAAUAAAAAAUUUGUAAAAUUAAAUAUUAAAAAAUUUCUGAAUUAAAGGCAAUUGUAAUAAUGAUUUUAUCUAUCGUGAAUAGAGUAAAAAUACUUUAACAGUAAAUUUAGAAUAAUGUCAAGUGUUGUUCUAAAUUAUUUUAUGAGUAAUUUAUUUAUCACACUUCAAAAUAAUUUGUAAAGUAUAAAAAAAAACCCUAGGAAAUAAAUUACUUGUUUUAUUAUAAUUUUACUACAACCUUAAAAUAAAUUACGUCAUGAAAAAAAAUUUACUCUACGAUAAAAUAAAAGCCCUAAAAUUCAUGAUUAUUUCAGAAAAUUCAUUCCAUAUAGUUAACACAUUUUCAGAAACAUUAUUAAAAAUAAGAGGAGAAAAGUUUGAAAAGGAAAGUCUCAUUUUUCCCUUUUCAGUAACAUCAAAACAAAAAGAAAAAGAAACUACUGUAUAUACACCAAGAAAUCCCAUGGGUUAUGAUGGAGAGUUGUUUUCAACUUUAGCAUAGAUACAUCCACCAGCCUAUCUACAUCUUAGCAAAUACGUUUCUCUGAGUGACACUCGCUCACUUCACACCUUAGUUUUAUAGGAAACACUGAAAACAACUAAACCCAAGCUCUUCUUCCAGUCCCUUCCAAUGGCUACACUCUGCAAAUACCCUUUUCUUCUCUCCCUCUGCUUCACAUUCUUCAUGUUUUCCUCAGCUUCAACUCAAGAAGCUGAUGCCCUUCUUAAUUUCAAGGCUUUCAUUGAUGACCCUAAUUACUCUCUUUCCAGUUGGUCUAAUAAUUCAGGUGUUCAUCACUGUAACUGGACUGGUAUUACCUGCAUUCCUACUCCUUCACUCUAUGUAUCCUCCAUUGACCUUCAAAGCUUGAAUCUUUCUGGUGAAAUACCAUCUUCAAUAUGUGAACUACCCUAUUUGUCUCAUCUUAACCUUGCUGAUAACCUUUUUAAUCAGCCUAUUCCACUGCACCUCUCUGAGUGCAGUUCCUUGGAGACUUUGAAUCUUAGUAAAAAUCUCAUUUGGGGUACCAUCCCAGAUCAGAUUUCACAGUUUGAUGCCUUGAAAGUUCUUGACUUGAGCAAAAAUCAUAUUGAAGGGAAGAUUCCUGAGAGUAUUGGGUCAUUGGUGCAUCUUCAAGUGCUCAACUUGGGAAGCAACUUGCUUUCUGGUACUGUUUCUUUUGUGUUUGGCAAUUUUUCUGAGCUUGCUGUACUUGAUUUGUCCCAAAAUGCUUACUUGGCGAGUGCGGUUCCUACUGAUAUCGGAAAGCUUGAGAAGCUUGAGCAGCUGUUUUUGCAAAGAUCUGGUUUUCUUGGUGAAAUCCCUGAAUCUUUUGUUGGUUUAAAUAAUUUGAUCACUUUGGAUCUUUCUCAGAACAAUCUAACUGGUAAGCUUCCACAAACACUAGGCUCUUCUCUAAAGAACUUGGUGUCCUUUGACGUCUCAGAGAACAAGCUCUUGGGGUCAUUUCCAAGUGGUAUUUGUGAUGGAAAAGGCCUUAAAAUCCUCAGUCUCCAUACUAAUUUCUUUAAUGGUUCAAUAUCUGAGUCCAUUUCUAAGUGCUUGAACCUUGAGAUUUUUCAAGUUCAAAACAAUGGAUUCUCAGGUGAUUUCCCUAAUGGAUUAUGGUCCUUACCAAAAGUUAUGCUGGUCAGAGCAGAAAACAAUAGGUUCUCUGGGGAAUUGUUAGAUUCAAUAUCAAAGGCUGCUCAGUUGGAGCAAGUUCAGAUAGACAAUAAUAGCUUUACUGGUAAAAUACCACAGGGUCUUGGCCUGGUAAAGAGCUUAUACAGAUUUUCAGCUUCUCUUAAUGGUUUCUCUGGUGAAAUACCUCCAAACUUUUGUGAUUCACCUGUUAUGAGCAUAAUAAAUCUUUCCCACAAUACCCUGUCAGGUCAGAUUCCAGAAUUGAGGAAAUGCAGGAAACUGGUUUCCUUGUCUUUAGCAGACAAUAGUCUUACUGGAGAAAUCCCACCUUCCCUUGCUGACCUACCAGUGCUAACUUACCUUGAUCUAUCUCAUAACCAACUUAGUGGUUCCAUUGCACCAGCGUUGCAGAACUUAAAGCUGGCUCUCUUCAACGUAUCCUUCAACCAACUCUCUGGUAGGGUCCCAUCGUCUCUAAUAUCAGGCCUACCAGCUUCAUUUUUGGAAGGAAAUCCUGGACUCUGCGGCCCUGGAUUGCCAAAUCCUUGCUCCGAUGAACACCCGAAACAUCAUUCUUCUGGUUUGACAACCUUGACAUGUGCCCUCAUAUCUAUAGCUUUUGCCAUGGCAAUGGUGAUUGUUGCUGCUGGCGUGUUUGUGUUUCAUAGAUUUUCCAAGAGGAAGUCUCAGCCAGGCGUUUGGAGAUCAGUCUUCUUCUACCCUCUUAGACUCACCGAGCAUGAUUUAGUAAUGGGGAUGGAUGAGAAAAGUGCUCUAGGAAAUGGUGGUCCUUUUGGUAGGGUUUAUACCAUAAGUCUACCCAGUGGUGAACUAGUUGCUAUAAAGAAACUGGUCAAUUUUGGGACCCAACCUUCCAAAGCGUUAAAGGCCCAAGUGAAGGUAUUGGCCAAGAUGAGGCAUAAGAACAUUGUUAAAAUUCUGGGGUUUUGCCAUUCGGAUGAAUCGAUUUUCCUCAUUUAUGAAUUCCUGCAGAAGGGUAGUUUAGGGGAUUUGAUUUGCAGACCGGAUUUUGAGUUGCAUUGGAGUGCUAGAUUGAGGAUUGCAACCGGGGUGGCACAAGGAUUGGCAUACCUUCACAAGGGUUAUGUUCCACAUUUGCUUCAUAGAAAUCUCAAGUCAACGAACAUUCUUCUCGAUGCGGAUUAUGAACCGAAGCUUACGGAUUUUGCAAUUGAUAGGAUAGUUGGAGAAGCUCCAUUUCAGUCUACCAUUACUUCAGAAUUUGCACACUCCUGCUAUAAUGCACCAGGUAAGGAAUCCUACAUCCGUCCAAGAUUAGCCCAAAUUGAUGCUUUCAUAAAUCUAUCAAUGUCAAAAUUCCCAACUUAUGCUAGUUGUUUGAUUGCAGAAUGUAGAUACAGUAAGAAAGCUACCGAACAGAUGGAUGUUUAUAGCUUUGGGGUGGUGCUGUUAGAGCUCAUAACUGGUCGACAAGCUGAAGACAUUGAAUCCUUGGACUCACUCGAUAUCGUGAAGUGGGUUCGAAGAAAAGUUAAUAUUACCAAUGGAGCAUUACAAAUUCUUGACCCUAAGAUAUCAUCAAGUUCUUCCCAGAAGGAAAUGCUAAGAGCUCUGGAAACCGCCCUGCACUGCACCGCUGUUAUGCCAGAAAAAAGGCCAUCGAUGAUUGAAGUGGUGAAAACACUUGAGUCUCUUAACUCAGGUUCAUGUGUUCCGUCUACUUUGGACUCCGAGGAGCAAAUGCAGUCGGUUGGUGUUUGAAAAUUGAAAUUAAAAGAUGACCCCAUGCAAUCUGGUUCAUGUUUUUGUAUGUAAAUCAUGCGUUGCUGACUUCUUGUUCGCAUGGUGUGCCCAUUGCUUUACCAGGGGAUGUUUGGGAAGUGCAUUAAAAGUAAUAUGAUGAGGUUUUUACAAGGUAUAUUUCUAAUCACUGGUGCACACAGCAUUGCGAGUGUUACUACUUAUCUGGUAUUGCUUGUAAAGGUGCUUCAUCUUCAUUUUGCUAAUAAGAUAAUACUGUUGGUUUGGGAAUGCUCAGUACAAAUUUUAUAUCUUUUGAAAAACAAUCAAAUAACAAAGAUAUACUAAUUCCAAUAAAAAUUAAAAAAUAAAUCAAGCAAAAAUUGAGAUCAAAAUACUUGUUGGAGUUAGUUGACAAUCAUUAUUAAACACUAUUGCAGUAGUAACUAAAUCGUUAUCAAGUAGUAGUAGUAAUUAAUGUCUGAUAUUUGUUUUCUCUUUAGAAAAACCAAAAUAAGAACACGACUAUAUUGCUGGGAAGUAAGCUUUUUGUUAAUUGGGCAAGAAACCAUUUUGGGCUUCAUGUCCCACUCAUCCUUUUUUCUUAUUUAAAAUAUAAAAUGCAACUUAGUGAAUUAUGUUUUAAGUUUUUUUUUUCUUUUUUUUUUGUUAUUAAAUUAUAAAUAUAUAUAUUAAUCGAAUUUGGCUUUUUAUCCACUGUCAUUACAUAUGAGCAGAUUCAAUGAUUGUCCAAGCUUCUUCAGUAAUGGUGCAUUUAGAGAUCUACUUUGAUUCCUCAAGGUUUACUCCACAAAAAAAUUAAAUUACUAGAUAACGGUGAUAUCGGUUUGAUUUGGUCAAUUUUUUUAGAUUUUUUAAAUCGUUUAUCAUAAUUUAAUUUUCAAAUUUUCCAUAUUAAUUUUUUGUUUUGAUUUUUUAAACUUAUUUUAAUAAAAUUCUAAAAAAAAUAAUCUUGCAAUAACUUUUUAAUUAUUUUCACUAAUAAAAAAUUUAAAAUCAAUUUUAUAUGAAAUAAAAAAAAAAAAGAAUUCGGCUUGGCUUUGAGUAACUAUGAUUUUUUUAACUUGUAUUUCAUAAACCAUCCAAAUACCUCGGUUCGGGUCAGAUUUUAGCUUUGGUUGUUUUUCUUCUCAGCCCUUAUACUGGACACUCUCAUCUAGUUAGGAUUGAAUGUCAUGCCUUUUCAUCCAUAGACUUUAUAAUACCAUCAUCCUUACCUUCCAAUAUACAUAGUUCGUUCCAUCCAAUAUAAAGAGUCUAUACAUCGAUAAACCUCCCAUCUCAAUUGCAUAUUGAUGAUAGGAUUUUCACUUAGUGCGUCAAAUAUCUAACUUUGAUAUCAAUCGAAAAUUCAUUGAAUUUUCCUUACAUGUAUUCAUUCAGUUGUAACCAGACAAAGUUACUACUAAUUAAAAUUAUUACAAAUUUACUUUUAUAAUAAUUAUAUAUACAGAAGGGUAAAUGGUAAUUUUAUAAUGGGUAGGUGGAGUAAGUCAAGCAAUAAUACGCAAUUGCCUACCUCAAUUUACAUUUAUUUAUUUUUUAAAAAUUCGCUCAAAAUUCAUAGGCUAUGCCUAAAACAACUAAAUAUUAUUUCAUCCUUUAAUUCGUUGCUUUCUUUUUGUAUAAAAAAUUUCAAAGGAAAAGAGAGUGGGACCCACACUUAAAAUUCAUGUGACUACGUUCCCAUGGUUGCACCAUUUAUUAUAUACACCUAUAUAUAGUUACUAAAAUCUUAAAUAAUUUAUCACUUAUAUAUUUUCCAUUUUCACCCACAAUUAAAUUUACUAUUUUUACCUUACUUUUUUUAUCUUUUUCUCUAGUAUAUAUAUUGAAGAACCAACAUGAUGUUCAAAAGAAAAACAAAAUUACAUUUUUGGAUUUAAAGUUAUUCCAUUACGAUUAUAAUCAGGUCAGUUUUAAUUAAGAAUUUCUCGUUCUAUUCACAUUUCUUUUCUUUUUAAUUUAAGCUUAUUUUUUCAUACAAUUUUAAUUUUAAUUUUAUCAAUAUUUUUAUUAGCAUUUUAGCCAAAAGAAAAACGAGAUAAGUUACGUGAAGUCAUACCAUUUCCAAUAUUUGAUAAUUUAAAGAGAGAUGAUGACGUUUAAGAUAUAUUUUCAAAUCUUGAUUUCAUGUCAAAGAUAAAUAUAUAGUAUGUUAAUAUUUAAUAAAUUUUGGUCUUUUUCUGUAGUGUAGGAUUCUAGUCAAAAACUAAUACUUCUCAGGAUUAGAUUAUGCUAAGAUGUAAAUGAAAAAAAUUAUGUAAAUUUUAUAUUUAUAAAAAAUUAACAUAUUUUUUAAUUGAAAUAGUAAAAUUAAAGUUGUGACAUAUUUAAUAAUGAUAUUUAGAUAUUCUACAUUAAUUAUAAAGUAAUGAAUUAAACUUAAAAUCACAAUUUAAUAGAAUCAGUGAUAUUAUAAAAAAAAUUUAAUAACGAAAUAUAAAAUUAGCUAGGGUAUAUUUUAAGUAAUUUUUAAAAGUAUUUAAAAAAAUUUCAAUACCUUAGUAUAAAAAAUAAAAUAAAAUAACUAACUAUUUCCUUUAAAAAAAACCCCUUUUUUUUUCCUUGCAUACACAAUGUGGUGUGUGAAAACUAGCUAUAAUAGUAAAAAGCGUAUACAUUCGAAUACUAGGUAUAAGUGUUCCUAAUAAGUGCACUUGCAACUGGAAAAUAAUAAUGUGCAAGUUAUUUAAAAUAUCCCAUGGAAUAAAAGCAAUGAUUAACGUCUUAGUUUAAAUGAAAAUGGAAAUAUCAUAAAUUCUGCAAAGAAAUAAAAAUAAAAUUCAAAACCUCGAGUAAUUAUUUUUUUUUUAUACAAAUGAAGAAGUACUAUUAUAAUUGAAAAAAUGUUUACAAAUACAGGGGUUGAACACUAAACCUCCUGUCAAUUAACCUAAAAUCCACUCACGUAAGGGCGAAGGGUGGGGGACUGAUGAGGCCUUGGCCCUCUAAAAUAGGAAAUUAUUUAUUUAACUCCAAAAAUUUAUAAAAUUUGUAAAAGGGCUGUUUUCAUUCUAUAAUUUUAUUUUUAAAAUUGAAUGUGUGUAAAAUUGAUCGAAUUGCUUACAUCAUCUUAUUAUUGAAACAAAAUCAAAUAUUUUCAGACUCUCGAUCAAACAAAUGUAUAUUUCUUAUUUUUAUAUCUUAAAUGAGCAUGCAUAUUUUAUUAAUUAAAUUUUGAUUUACUUUUUAGAGAAAUGCAAAUUUUGUUAGAUUUAUGGGAUUUUCACAUUCAUUUUAAUCCUGUAGGGAUAAAUUUUGUCAUCUAUGAACAUGAGUUCCCAAAACAUUGAUGAAAAGCUGUAUAAUUCCCUCAGUCCAAUAGUCUCCUAUCCCUUGGCAACAGAUGACGAUUCUAAUACAGAAUUCCUCCAAAACCCUGACCUAUUCCCAAUGCCACACCAUCAAACUUGUUCUUUGCUGUCUCAAGACAUGACAAGUUCUCCCUUUCCUAUGGAGCUUGAGGUUGAGGAAAUGAGUAUCCUCGGAAGCAAUAACAUUGAGUCCAGCAGUGUCCAAAGGAAGAACAAACAGGCACAAGAAACACAGUUAAGAUUGUAGAUAUAUUAUUCUAUGGAUCUGUGUAUUUGACCCUCAACUGAACAAAUUUAAUUUAUGUGACAGUGAUAAGGGCAAUAAUAAUAAAGAAAAUACAAGUAAGAGACGGCGACAGCCAAGGCAGGAGCCCCUGCGGAUUUUCGGUGCCAGAAGCUCAAGUUACCGAGGAGUUAGCAGGUUAAUUUCAGGCACCUUACAUACAUACAUACAUAAUAAUGUUCCAAGUAAUGUAUUUUAGGAUUAAAAUUGUAAGCAUAACAUGGCAUGCAGAUACACUGGUCGAUACGAGGCGUUUUUAUGGAAUAACACUGAUCCAACGCAAAAACCAAAGACUGGUCUGUACAUUUUCUAUUCUGCUUUUCUGCAUUUUAUUAUAUAUAUUAAUUUCAUUGUUAUUGAUUACUAACCCUGUUGUUCUUCUUCUGUCCGCAUUUUUGCAGUUUAUAUAGGUCAGUGAUCUCAUUCGAUGCUAUUUCUUUAAUUCUGCAUACAAUUUACUUAUGUUGAAGUUUUCUUGAGGUAAAACUUAGAAGAAACUAACACAUCUGUGUGUGACACGUAGUCGCACUCAAACCAAGUAACAUUGCAGCAAUCUACACCUUUCCUCAAACACUAAGACUUAUAUGCAUGUGGAGGACAAAUUAUUUUAGAGACCAGAUUUUUAAAACUUGGUGGUUUUGCAGGUGGAUAUGAUGAUGAAGUAUCGGCAGCAAGGGCUUACGAUUUAGCUGCUCUAAAAUUAUGGGGUGAACUUGCGCCGCUGAAUUUCCCAGUAUGUUUUCUAUCUCUGCAUAUUACAAAUUUGUAUCAAUCAGAUUCAGUGGCUAAUUAGCAUCUAAAUUGACUUGGUGUAUCACCAGAUUAGUAACUAUAAGUCGGAUUUGGUUGAGAUGAAGCUCUAUACCAAACAUGAAUAUUUUCGCAACAUCAGAAGGUAAUUUAUAAAUUGACUUAUUUGCAUUAUAUUCCUGCAACUGCAAGUGAUUAAAUCAAUGAUCCAUUAAUACAAAUGAAUUGAUUAAUUGUAUUCUGAAAACUUCACUAAUUUCAGAAAAAGUAGGGGAUUCUCAAAGGGUGUAUCCAUUUAUCGUGGAGUCUCUAGGUAACUUAAAUUUAUUCGAAUAGUACUUCCUUCUCCCUGCCUGUUCUCUUCUUCCUUUUCUCUGCGACUUCUAUCAUGAAAUGAAAAAUCACAUGGUAGGAACUCGGAUUUCAAGAAAUGGCAAGCAAGGAUUGGGAAAGGGAAAGAUAUCAAAGGAAUUUACCUAGGAACAUUUGGUAACUAACAUCCUAACUUAUUUCAUUAGUUGAUGAAAUUAAUAUACAAUGGUUACUGUCAUUGAAGAUAACUUGAGAAUCAAGUAAUCUUUUAUAACUUAUUCUAGUAUAAAUGUGAUCUGGUAACCUAAAUUCCAGAAUCAAAUUACGUGUACAAGAUAAACAAUGCUACAACUUUCAAGGUUCAUAUGAGUUAGACCCUUUUUUUUGGAACAAUUAUCAGAUACUGAAGAGGAAGCAGCUAGGGCUUACGAUGUUGCUGCCAUUAGGUUGAAAGGUGCAAAUGCAGUUACAAAUUUCGAUAUAAAUGAGUAUGAUCUGAAUGACAUUCUUCAAAGUUCGAAGCUACCAAUUGGCAAGGGUGCUUCUAAGCUAUUGCAGAAAUCUUCUAUCGAAGAUGUUAUUAGAAAGAAAACAUGUGUCAGUGACAGAAACUCCUUGGUAUAUGAUGAAGAAGAUGAUUCAUGCACCCCCAAUUCCAACCUGGACAUGAACCGAAUCAUUAGUUCCUCUCUUAUUUAUGGCUUCCAGAACCCUGAUGAGUUUCAGGCUAGUCCUACUCCAAUUCAAGGCUUCAACAGCUUUGGAAAUUAUAUGAGCACUGAUGGAAAUCCAAGCUUUAAUUUCAACUUGGAGUAUCCUUUUAAUGUGAAUUCGGAUGGGAACUUUACAAUUUCAGGGGCUGCUGAAAAUUACUUUGGUGAAAUGCAGCCUUUUGAGUUCUCACACAACUUCUCAACCCUCGAGAAGCUGCAUCAAAUUUCAAGCUUCCCCUUUCUACAUCCCUAUCAUCAAAACCCUGUUGAGUUUCCAGAAAAUCUUGCCAGCAAUGGCUUGGGAAAUUGUGUGGGGACUAACAGGGAGUUUACAGGUAGCCUUCAGGGCCUGUUAACUCUACAAGGACAAGAUUCUCUCAAAUACUUGGACCAGCCUGAAGAUGUUACCACCCAGAACCUCCCUCAAAACCCCAUUAAUUUUCAAACAAUUCGGGUACCGGUCUAUCCAUUGAGCGGCAGCUACAAUGCAGAAGCUUCAAGUUAUGGGAUUUUCAAGGAGGUUCCAAGCACAAAGGAGAAUGAGAAUGAUUCUACAGGAGGCAACGAUGAGUCAGGCCAAGGAGCAGCCAUGGUGGAAAAGCCACUCCUGGAAAAACUGGAAACGGAGUGAAAUUCUUGAAAGACUGAACCAGACCUUUCCAGUUGUUUGCAAGCACUGAAUGAACUGGGACCUAUGAGUUUCUAAGGGGGAUAAGGCUUACGGUUGACCAAAAACUGAAAAUCAAUGGGUACUUUGCUUUGAUUAUAAAGUUUUAUUCUAAAUCUAAUAAUGAACUCGAAAUAACAGACUUCAUCUUAAGCAAUAGCAGUGCAUGUAUGGCUGAUACUUCAGCUCGUUAUGCUUAUUAAAAUUUUAAUCUUCUUAUGUUUCCCCUUUUUCAGUCUUUCUUCUUAAAAAUCGUAUAUAUUUACUUAGCCAUAAAAAAAAAUGUAUACUCAGCACAUUUUAAAAAAAACAGUAAGAAUUUAUUCUAUAUAUCGAAGACAUAAUUGCAGUUGAUUUCAAGCUCUCAGCAUUCAACAAAAAGAAAGCAAGUUCUUCCAACUGUACAAUCAAGCCAAUAAACGAUGUUUGAGAAUUUCCUGUAACUUUGAUCAUCUAAACUUUUCACCUUGAGUUUUUUCACCUUCACCCUCACUUUUCCAUGGCUAAAAAACAUGAGAGAUAUACACAACGAUCUAACAUAAACACUCACACGGACCAUACCUCGCGAAGGAGUUCGUAUCUUGCAUUUAUACCACAAUAGCCUGCAUGUUCAUGGUUUCCAUUCACUUCUCCAUUGGUAACAAUUGUUGGUGACAAUGGCAAUUUCUCAAUUAUUGAUGAAAGUGGAGAAUUCAAUUCCUCCAGUUCCUCGUCACUGGUAUACCCUUUCCUCUGUACCACUGAUGCAUUCCUAGACAGUGGCGACUUCCCUCCUGCCCCCGCAACUUUUUCAGCCACAUCUGCUGAGGAUAGAGGAGUAUAGACAACGAGGGCAGCUGUAUAAGGGAAACUUCUGGCCGGGCCCCCUGAUAACCUCCGCUCAACAAUAGUCUAACAAAUGAAAGAACCAUAAAUCAAAAACCAGGCAACUUUUUUCUGCCUUUAUACUGGUUAAAGGCAAGACUGAGUCCAAUGAAAUAUGAAACACAAAUAAAAUAUGGAAGACGAGUUUAAGAAUUUUAUUAGGAGUUAUUAAAAAGUCCAACAAACAAAUGUGUAGAAGAGAGAAAGGCCGAACUAGUCAUACCUCAGCAUUCAAGGCUUCCAAUACAGCUCCUGGAACAGGAUCUGGACAAAAUUCAUCUGGAGUGAAGUUGCAGAGAAUGCGUUUAACCAACGGAAGACCUAUUGAUGGGCACAGCUAAAGCCAUGAAAAUAAAAUAGUCAAAAAGAGUUAGAGAGGAACCAACAAAGACAUCAGAGAACGAAUCUACUAGUAUGUCCAUAAUAUGGAGUCUUAAUUAGAAAUCAACCUCCUCUCUGAUUGAACGGUCCAUUAGCAUGUCCUUUGGAAGCAUUAGAAGAUCACUCAGGGAAUUAAGAAAAAGGAAAGAUUUAGAUUCUCCGUCUCCAUUUUUUCUGAAAUCAUCUUGACUGGAACGUUGAUCUUCAUUUAAAUUAUAAUCACCAUCCAUGCCAAACAUAUCAGUCAGCCAUCUACACCAAUUACCAACCUGAAAAAUAAGUGUCCCUCCUUAAGAACUUGGUAUAGUUUUUUCAUGUAAAAGGUAUUAUGAACGGGAAAGGUAUUGAAACCCCCAAUUAUCUUAUUCAUCUCUAUAUGGCAAUCAGGAAGCAGAUGGAAAUCAUUCCAACAGCUAUUCUCGCUUCACAAUAAAGUUCAAGCAGUAUCAUGGAUGGCACAAAUUGAGGACUCCUAUAAAGAACAUGAAAAUUCAUGUCAUGCAGCAUACAAGAUCUUUCCAUUAGCAAUAUAUUAUUCAAUAUACAUAAAUGAACUAUAUAUUUUCUCUGCUGGUAAGAUCAUUCCAUAGGUAAAACAUUCUCCAUAUGAUCUUUGGUUCAAAAUUAAACCGGUUAAAUAUCAACCUAAAAUAUCCAACAUUUUCCGCAUCAUAAGUUUCCAGAUAAUGAAGCAUAUUCCAUCACAACAACCACUCUUUUCAACCAAUAGCAGUAUAUCACAGGAUCUCCACCAAUAGGGUGACGUAAAUUCCUCAGAGGCAAUGUUCCAUUAAAACAUGAGAACUACGGAAUAAGUUCAUAUAACAAGCACGAGAGUUACUCAGAUUCAGAACAAUAGUUGCCUAUUGUGAAGAAGUACAGUGCAACGACUAGCCACAACUGAAUAUACCACAGAUAUAAAAUGGAAAAAAAAACAAAAGCAGAAGUCCGCUGAUAUAAUACGUACAGCAUUUUUGAGUUGUGCACCAGAUCCGAAGCUAAGAUCUCCGGCGGGAAUAGGCAGAACCCUUGAAUCUACAAUAGGAUCAGAUAUAGGAUCUGUUGGGAUCUCAUGGGCAGACUCCCUCAAAAUAGCAUUGAACAUUGCUACAUCUAGCCUUGCAACACACUGCUCCAUAACCUAAUAAAAAAGGGUAUAACAAUUAGUUCACCAGGAAAAUAAAAGAAAGAUGAGAACAAAACAAAGACACAGCGUAUUACUGCUUAAAAUUUACAGAACGAAAACAUUUAUAAGUACAUACCAAUCUUGCAAUAACUGGCAAGCAACCACACUCAUGACCACCUGCUCUUACAGGACAAAGUCGUUGAAAAGCAUCUUGGAAAGCAUUUAUCCAUAAGUUGAUAGAGAAACUUCCUUGUUGUUGGUCUCCUAAGGCUGGCCCCAACAACUUUCCUAUUGUUUUGCUGACAGGUGAACCCUCAAGAGGAAUUUGCAUAUAUGGAGUAAGAGCCUGAAAUAAGGACCAGGCAUAAAAUUCCUUUUCUUAUUUGUAAUUUAGAGCCCCAAAACUGUAGUGCAACAAUUAGAUGACCUACAUCUUCUAAAUAACACUGUCCCCCUAAUGUAAAAAAAUUCUACAACUUCAACUAUUUACCUGCCACCAUACUGACUCAACUAUUCGAGAGAAAAUCCAAGAUUCCACUUUUUCUAGUGCAUUAGUGAAGGUUCCAGUCUCUUGCCAAUCAUCAACAAGCGGCAUAAAACUAUUUACUUGUUUACUACCAACACCACCUUUCCAUUUUAGAGUUGAAGGCUUUACUUCACUCCUUUUGUUACUGCCAUUUAACUCGGGGAGCCAUGCAAGUGGGCUUGAGUUGCGUGAAUUGCCAAAUGCUUGAGAGAUGAUCUCCCUCAGCACUAUGGUGUUUGAUAACCAGAAGGUUAACCUUAAAAUGCAAAAGAACAUUAUUCAGCUGUCAACAGUAAAUGGGAAAAUUCUAAAGCACUCAAGGAAAUAAUAUCUGACUAUAAUAUACAUACCUUGAAACAUCAUUACUGCAAGAUUUUGCAGUCAAAAUAAGCCCAGACACUGUGUUUUUAGCAAUUGUGGCUCGCUUGUUUUGUUCCCAGUGCUUGCAAGCAUGUAUAUAGAGUCUAGAAAGACGUCGAGCAGGUGUAUGCAGCUUAUGUGCUGAGCUCCCAUGCUCUGAAACAACAGAAUAGAGAGAAAUUUCCAGGGCAGCUACUUCUCUCAGCUCUGCUUUAAGUUUCUCAAUUCUCGUCUCCAUCUCAUUAAUCUUUUCAUUUAAAGCUGCCUCAUUUUCAACUUGAAAUUUGUCUUCAGCAUCAACAGGCUCAUUGCCACUUGCAAAACUUUUAUCGCCGUUUGAUGUCUCAUCCAAGACAUCAACUUCUUUUAACUCUUCAGCAUGCUUGCCAUUAGAUCCUUCUGAAGACUCAGAUGAAGAUUUAGGAGAAACUUUCAAGGUUUCUUCUACAGAACUUUUGGUAGCAUUCUUAUGGGGGGCUCCAUUAGACUUUGCAAAUUUCUUUGGAGUAUUAUUCAAUGCCUUUAAAUGUGAUUUAUUAGUUUCAAGUUCAGAUCCCAUUCUGGAACCAUGGGAAGAGCCAUCUUUGAGGUUGUUAUUGUGAACACCAUUAGAAGCUCCCAGAACACCCUCUUCUCUCUCAUCCUCAGCUGUCAAGGAAUCUCCUAGAGAUGAUGCUGAAUCUUUUAUAGUCUCAGAGUCUGAUUCUUCUUCCUUUUGCUGAGUUGUUUCUCCCUCUAUAUCACUGGAGCAAUCAUCUAAAAUUUCGGCCUUUUUUAAUUUAGUGACCAUGUUAUUACCAUUUGGAUCAGGAGAUGUUUCUUCAGACUUGUUAACAUCAUCCACAUAAUGUACAAUCACAUUCUCGUAAACUUCAAUGGGCUCAGAGCCCACAUUGGAAUCACUUACUUUAGAAUUAGGGUCUGAUCUAGCUUUUAAAGCUUUGGAUUCAGCUUCUUUCGCCUUCAAAGUUUUGCCACCAUUCUGUUGAUGAGGUUUAUUAUUUCUCCUAUCAGUUCUUCCUGGGUGCUUUGAUUGGACAUUAGCUGAAUUUCUCCUCUUGUUCCCAGUGUCUUUCAUAUUUAAUGUUGAUUCACCUUUUAACUACGGUUAUGGAAGAAACCACGAUAAGAGAGAGAGACCUACCAAACUCAUUAGUUGAAUGUCAACAUCAGAUGAAAAUUGGCACAUAACUGCACCCAUUUAGAAGAAACCACCCCACUCGACAACAAGGCAAUCUUCUUUGGGCCCUUUCAUCACUUCAGUGCUUCUGCACAAGAGAGAAGGUGGGAUCAUCAGUACAGAAUUAUCUAUCACUUGAUAUUAGCCAAGUUCAGCUACACUUCACCAAGAACAAAAAACAUAUACAAGCUUUAUUUAAUCAAGGUAGUGGAAACCAAAAACUCGAUGCUCUGAGAGCAUACAGAAAGCAGUGGAUAAUACUAAGAACAUUAGAGCUUCAAGCUAAAAGCAUAGGAAGUAAGUGCUGGGGAAAAAGAACGAGCAAAAGAAAAGAAAGGACAAAUAACAAGGGCAGAAGCAUGCAAUUCAUUCAACAAUAUGAGGUCUAUAUCUAUAGGUUCAGUAAAAUACAAACAACAGGUUGCCAUUCAAAUGCAACAAGGAUUUGGUUAAAAAAAACCUCAGACCUGAAUCGUAGACACAUUAAGCAUCUUGUGAACCUUGAAAAUAUUGACAGGAACAAAUAUAGCAAUAAAGAAACUUUUAUGUCACUAGAAUAACUCACCUUCUUAAAGUCACAACCAAGACAAAACAAUGGCGGUAGAGUCCAACCAGUAAAUUUGAGGCAACUGAUAACUUCCAAUUAAACAACCAGUAAAAUUCUAAGCUAAAAAAUUUGGCAACCUGAAACAACCAGAAAUUUGUUUAAAUCUUCUAUUUAAAACCUUUAAGCCUAUCUAGAAUGUGGUUUUUUGCAGCUAAUAUCAAUGACAAAAACCUGCAGCUAGAAAAUUAACGGUAAAUUUCACCGCUACAGAACUAUUGGGUUUAAAAUAAUGGAUAAAUAACAUUGGUCCAUAAUUCAUACACUAAAAAGGUGAAAUCCCCUGCUCUGACUAAAAAAUGCUUAGAUCAGUGUUUCCAGACCGAAUUGUGCAUUUUCAAGUUCCUGUUUACUUUGAUAUGCACUUUCUAUUCAAAGCUAAUGUCGAAUCAUUUCCAGAACUCAGAUCAAAGUAAAAAUAAAGGUCAAGAAAUGUAUUUCCAGUAUUAGAAACAAAGUUAAAUGCUUUUCAUCAUGAAAAUCACGAAUGAAAAUGACCCAAAAGAAGUUCAGAAAAGAUAUUUCCUUGGGUAUAUAUAUAGCAUUAUCAACUAAGAAAACAUAGCCUGCAGAAAGAAUCACAAAAGGACAGUUUGAAUACAUAAAACUUUUAAAACGUGUAUAAAUUUUAUUUAGUUUUACACCGUUUUUUUCCCAUAUAUGCAGCGGAGAAACUAAGCUAACUUUACUUUUUUAGCCAAAAUCUCUCUUUUCUGACCCACGGCUGAGCUUUCAAGUUUUUUGCCCCCUACCAAUCAGAAGCGCCAAGUUUUAUUAUUGAAAACGACAUAGUUUUCUCUCAUUACAGAUCUUAAUCAUAAACGAAUAUAGAACCCAAACCACCUGAAUGUCGAUCGAAAUUCAGCACCUCCCACUUUUCUUUUUAUACUUUUCAUUCGUUUGAGAAAGAAAAUGAUAAUCACAGGAACUUAGCCACCACUUGAAAAAGGUUCAAGCAUCUAAAGAUGGACAAAGAAUUCAAAUAUAUACAAGGAAGAACAAACCCGAAAGUGGAACUCAAAGAGAGCAAACUGAAAACCCACAGCAGAUCAGAGAUCAGAGAUCAGAGAAGAUAAAAUCACUGGAUGAUGAAAAAAUCAAAACAGAGAAAGAGCAGAUCGAAAUGGAAGUAUUCAAGCCAUUUCUCGAUGCAAAGAAAAAUGCAGUAAUUUUAUCUCGAGCUAGUAACAGAAAUACUAAGAAGUGAUAAUAAAACAAAACAGCAAACGUAAAAGAAAAAAGAAAAACGCCAACCAAAGAAAAGCUGUAAUGCAAAAGGAAAAAAGAACAAAGCUGGUGCAGACAUUUGUUUGUUUGAACUUACCAAAGCUUUGUGUUGGAAGAAGGGCUAAAAAGUAAGGUCCAGAGAGAGUUCAGACAACGAUAACCUUUGGGGAUCCUAACCUUCUCUAAAUGUAUUUCAUUUUCCCUUUGGCUUCGAGUGUCGUGCAACGAAGUUUCUUAUUUUAGUCUCUGAGGGCAAAGGCUGAAGUGCGGGAAACAGAGAGGGGCAUUUAAAAUGGAGUGAGGAAGGAGGGUCCGCUUUGUCUCAACUGUACGGAAGUAGAAGAUAAAGAAGAGACCAAUUGGGUGUCGGUGGGGGACAGUCACCGGGAAUCACCGGUUGACGGUUUUUAACGAAUCAAAAUUUACCAUUUUUUAGUAGGCUUUUUCUGAAAAAGAAAUUGUUAAUACCAAAACUGCCAUCAUUAUCUGCAGUUUCAGUUCAGUCAAAUUUACUUUGUGUUUGAAAAUUAUAGUACCACAAAAUUUUAUUUUAAUAUUCGAACCAUAAUACUUAGGGUGAGAUGUUUUCAUAGGUUAACUUGGUAAAAAAAGGGUUUUUUUACCAAAGAAGCAUAAAAAAAUUAAAAAAAUUUAAAAUAAUAUACCUAAAAAUUUAAUUACGAAAAUGGUAUGGUCAGGGGGUCACGCCACUCUAACAGGCGGCACCACCCUGACGUGACGGUGAACAGUGACCCGCAACAGUAAAAAAAUAUUGAAAAGAAAAAAAAUUGAAAACGAAAAAAAAAUAAAACAUGGAUCAUGUGGGUGCCAGAGGCGGCACCAGUGUUUUAUUAGGUAAAAUUAAAUUAAAAUAUGCAUUAUUAAAAUAUUAAAAUGAAAAUAUUUUUUUAUUUUUUUACUGUUUUUGAUCAAAAAUCCAGGGUGGUACCGCCUAUGCACAUUUUAAUUUAAUUUUAAUAAUGCAUACUUUAUCCGGAUAAAGUAUGUAUUAGCAAAUUCAGUAAUAUGAUUAUAUAUAUAUAGAUAUUUAGGCAUGUAUCACAUUACAAAAACAAAAAUUUAAAUACUUAUACCUAAUAAAACAUGUAUCUCAUUACAAUAAUAGUUAUUUUUCAAAUAACAUAUUGUUUUAUAAUUUUAUUUCUUAUUUAAUAUUUUAGUUUAAUUUUAAUAAUGCAUACUUUAUCCGGAUAAAGUAUGUAUUAGUAGAUUCACUAAUAUGAUUAUAUAUAUAUAUAUAGAUUUAUGCAUGUAUCACAUUACAAAAACAAAAAUUUAAAUACUUAUACCUAAUAAAACAUGUAUCUCAUUACAAUAAUAGUUAUUUUCCAAAUAACAUAUUGUUUUAUAAUUUUAUUUCUUAUUUAAUAUUUUAUUUUAAUUUUAAUAAUGCAUAUUUUAAUUUUAUUUUACCUAAUAAAACACUGGUGCCGCCUCUGGCACCCACAUGACCCAUUUUUUAUUUUUUUUCGUUUUCAGUUUUUUUCUUUUUCAGUGUUUUUUUUACUGUUGCGGGUCACUGUUCACCGUCACGUCAGGGUGGUGCCGCCUGUCAGAGUGGCGUGACCACCCUGACCAUACCAUUUUCGUAAUUAGAUUUUUAAGUGUAUUAUUUUGGAAUUUUUUAAUUUUUUUAUAUUUCUUUAGUAAAAAACCCGUAAAAAAAAGAAGCUAAUUUAAAAAAAAUUAAUGAAAUAAGUUGAUUUUGGAGAGAAAAGGUGAAGACGCAUCCAGCUGGGCGUGUUUUCAAUUGAGUUUGUAGGAAAACGCAUCUUGAUGGAUGCAUUUUUAUAUUCUUUCAACUUGGUCGAGUUUAGGGUUGAAAAUAUGGAGAGGCCGAUUUAAUUGUGUUCGUGUUUAAGUUAGACAUUGUGAAAGCUUAAAGGUAUAUUUUAGUUGAUGGUGAUGUGAUAACACUGGGAGACCUAUACAUUUCUACUAUCGUGUCAGGAUGGAACUAUUGCCUUAGAAGCUCAUCGCAUUGCAACUCAAGCUUCGAGUUCACGGUACUUAUAUGGUCACUAAUUGUAAUAUAACUAGGGCUCCUAGUUGACAGAUGUUAAUGUAAUAUUUUCAGGUUCUGGAAACUUUUCAAGGGGAUAAAAAUGGGAAAGAGAAAAUGAUCUACCCAUGGCACGUUUUCAGUUAUAUGGUAGAAAGAUGCAAUGAAAGAACGUGUCCCAAUUUCAACCCUCUUGAAAAGUUUCCAAAACUCAAGAAUCCCUAUCCUCAUUUUUCAGAUAUCUCAGGAAUCUCAGUGUAUUAUUUGAUUAAUCGAGGCAUAUUUUUUGUUUUCUUUUUCACUCGUUGUCCACCCAGUUGCCUAUAUAAAGCUAGUAUUUGUUAUAAAGCGAGUGGUCAUUAUGCUGAGAUGUUCUAACCUAAAAUUUCGAGCAAACUGUCUCUAGGAGGAGAUUUGCAUAAUAAUAAGGUUGUUUACGUGAAAGAAUUGAAUUUCAUAAAUUGACCAAAUACACGUAAUUAUAUCAAGUAAGUUUCGUUGUUGUUGUUAAUGGAUAAUUGGUACUUUACUUUUCUACAUAAUGUUUUGGUUUUAAACAUGUGAAACAGGUUAUCUGGUUGAAAAUGAAUGGACGGGUUAAUGUUGUUGUUUAUUACAAUGGUGAAAUUCGUGACAUAGACAUUGGGGUCGUUUUUUAUCAGCCUAUACAAUGCAAUUGGCUUUCAACCCGAACAUUUAAUUGUCGGAGCUCCAAGGAAAAAUUAAGCGAAAAGUAGGCAAUUCGAACUGCAAAAAUGUCAUUCUUGAAGUAUAAAUAUUUAGCGUUAGAGGACCUCGUAAAAUAUGAAAUAUUUAAUGUUAGAUGCUAAUGGUGAUUGAGGCGAUGACCUAGAUUCAUAUUGGAUCACCUAUACUUGAGUUAUAUGCCAAGCUUGUCAAUGGCGAUGAAGGUUGUCGGAGGUUGAAAACUAUUCCAGUUAAUGCCAAAAUGGAAUAGGAAGCUGAAAGUCUAACCACACGGCUGUGUGGUUGGUUCACAGCUUUGUUACAAAGCUCUUAUUAUGAAAUAUCGAAAUCAUCAAUGAGAAGACAUUCAUCGGUUUUAGCCCAAUAUUUCAAUUUUAACACACUGCACAUCCACUAGUCAAGGUUUAUCGGUAAUCGAAACUUCGAUACCCUGACACGAUAUUCUAUUAGUGCUUUUGAUUUCAACUUCCAAAUGCUAAUGUUCUACGUCGGAAACAUUAAUAUAAAUAUGCCAUCAAGUUACACCAGCGGGCAAUUUGCAAGUGAUUUUGGUUGUAACAACAUGUAUAUAAGAAUGGAUGAUGUAGUACCCUACAACUUGCAUCAACGAAGGGACAUCCAACAUUGGACAUGCAACUAGGGUUGAGAUCAAAGAGAGCACUAAAUUCGACAAUGAUCUAAUCCGAGAGUCCAGGUCGGAGGGUUCAAAAAUUGCAUUAUUUUCUAAACCAGAACCAAUUCCAACUGAACCAAAAAAUGAUGGUUCCGACAAUGAAGUCCGGACAAUGUUGACAAAAUUGAUAUGCGUUUCAAGGCAUACUCGCAUCUGAUUUACAUGCAUACUGUGGACCUCUCAAUUGAAGGUGAGUUAGAGUUUUCAAAACUCCCUCACAAAAAACAGGACUAUACGAGUUAUUCGUUAAAUUUGGGCGAUUUACAAGUGGGGAUGGAAUUUUUCUUGAAAGAUACUUUUGUCCCUACAAUGAAGCGAUACGACAUGAGGCACGGGGUAAACUUCUACGUUGUUAAAUCCCGGUUGAAGAAAUUCGAGGCCAAGUGCGCAAUCCGUGACAACAGAUGUCAAUGGAAAAUUAUAACAUUUGUGAGAAAGAAUAUAGGGCUCAGGAUAAUCAAUAAAUAUAAUGUUCUGCAUAGUUGUGUUGUCACAGGUAAGUGACAAGAUUGUUCAAUAUAAACGUAUGGUGGCCUCAUAUAUGAUAUUGAACUCCUAAUUUUGAAAUAUCAUGUUGUUGCAGGUAUGGCACAAGAUCAUUCAAAGUUGGAUUUGGACAUGAUCUCGGACAUUAUAUUACCUAUGAUGAAAACAAGUUUUAGGAUUCACGUGCCAAUUAUAAUUACCAAUAUCUAUAGUCAAUUCGAUUACACACUAUUGUACCACAAUGUAUUGAUCGUAAAACAGAAGACUAUAGAGAAGAUGCAUAACGAGUGAGAUAAAUCAUAUAAUGAUUUGUGGCAAUGGUGUUAGGUACUGCAUUAAUACGUACCAGGUUCCAUAACCGAUCUAUAAACGAAGCCUGCGUACUUCCACAAUCAUUUGGUCCAUGAGGAAAGAGUUUUCCAUCGUGUCUUUUGGACUUUUGAACUAUGCAAAGAAGCAUUUUGGUACUAUAAGCCAUUGGUACAAAUCAAUGACACAUUCCUAUACAAGAGAUAUGAGCAUCAAUUGUUGUUUAUUGCUGCACAGAAUGGUAAUAAAAAAAUUCUGCCAAUAGCCUUUGCAGUAACGCUGGGAAAAAAGGUAGAUGAUUGAUAUUUCUUCCUGUUUAACUUGAGAAGGCAUGUUGUCCCGUAACCUGAUAUAUGUGUUAUCUCUGACAGGGGACCCGGAUAUUGACAACAAUUGAAUGACAUAAAAGCUUUUGGGAUCACAUACAAUAGAUAUUGUAUAAGACAUGUAGUUGCUAACUACCACGGACAACAACAUUCUGUAGUUAGCGGACACAAGUCAUUAACAUGGGUAUGUGUUCACCACUAUUUCAACUAUCAUGCUUUAACUGCUUUGCAGUGUUUGCAUUCAUGGAUAAAUUGUUUAUUUUAUUCGACAAGGUACAAGCUCGUCCAACAUCGUUUUCAUGAAAAUGUUAAAGAAAUUGCGGGUUAUUAACGAUCGUGGUGCGGCGUACCUCGCUAACAUACCCUUAAACCAGUGGAGUUAAUUGUACAAUGGGGGUCAACAGUAUAGACACGUGACAACGAACCUAACAGAAUGCAUCAAAUUCGUAUUGAAGGGACACAUCAUUAGUCGGUAACCUAUGUGGUGAAAGAAACAUAUUUCCAUGCCGGCUCAAGGACAUAAAAAUGAAAUAAUAUUAUGAUAAUUGUAUUAUCGAAUUAAUUUUACCUUAGUAUGAGUGGGAAAGUAUAAGGGUAGUCGACUUGAGGGAGUAAAAAUGGUAGUCGAAACAAUACUCAAGACUACAGAAGAAGUACGUAACCACCAAUUUUAAUGUUUUAUGGUUUUGUCGCCCGAUACAUCUCUCAGUAUAAUGUUGCCAACAUGACUGAUCCCCAACUAAGUCAGCCAACUUCUUUCAAGUCGACGAGUUGUAGCAACCACCUUAAAUGUACAAGAGUUUGAGAUUUAUUGGGCAUUAGAACACCUCUAGUUAACCUCAGGACGUAUGCUCGGGUGUGUUGUUCUAUUUUAAGGGGACUUGAACUCUCGUGGAGAUAUUGGAAAUUUUCUUGCAACCAUUUCAUCUCUAUCUGGCUAUCGAAAAACUUGUCUUGCACAUUGCCUAAUAGUUGCUCGCAAAUGUUGUUCCAAUCACCAACGACCGCUGAUCUCAUAACGACUGGUUCAUCCAUUAAUAAACUGAGCUAUAAUUAAAAGUAUUCGAAUGUGAUUGUACAAUCACCACAUGGGAGAUGAAAUAUGUGUGUCUCAGGUCUCCAUCUUUCGACCAGCGUGCUGAUAAGUGUAGGGUCUAAUUUACACACUCGAGCAUACAUGACACACAUAAGAACCCUACAUCUUCCAAAUAGGGUUCAAUAAUAGGUGAUGGCCUCGAAGAUAGAUUGUGUAUAUAUGUCUCCAAAAUCUAAUCUUCGACCUGAUUAUAAAAAAACAAAAAAGAUUAAAUUUAGAAAUAUUUUAUUACCAUUUGCAAUUGGACCGCAGAAAUACGGUUAUCAUUCAAACGAAUAAGAGUAUUUGUCAUCACAAAAUUCAAUUAAAACAAAUGAAAAUCGACAUACAGUAUUAAAUCAAGAUGAACUUGAGAGAAUUUUAAUUAAAUUUUUAGAACUAAAAUCUUGAGAGAAUUGAAUUUGAAUGAAAAAACGAGGAAAAGACUUGAGUUUAUAUAGCACUAAAAUUAGUCAUUUUUAUGGUUGUUGGGGAAAAACGCGUCCAAUGAGAGGCGUUUUGUGGCCUUGAUAGGGUAAAAACGCAUUUAACUGGACGCGUUUUCAUAUUCUCUCCCUAAAAUCGACCUAUUCCAGUAAAUAUCACAGAAACCGACCUAUUCCGUUAAUUUAAAAAAAAAAGCUUUUUUAACUAAUUUAACCAUUUUCGUAAAGAGAUCUAUGAUAUCCAAAAAUAAUCUAAGUUAGAAAUUAAAUGUAAAAAAAAAAAAGAAAAAAAAGAAGAAGAAAGAUUGCAAUACCAUUCCAGUGUAUAUCAUACCACAUUAGAUUUUGGAAACAAAAAGUAAAAUAAAAUUUUGGAAAAUAUGUAGUAACUCAUUAAAAAAAACUAUAAGUAAGUUUUUAAUUUGGUUAUUUAGUUAUAAAAAUUAUAAUUUGGUCAGUGAAUUAUCUAAAAGUUUUUAUUUUAAGUAACUAUCCUGUUAAGUUUUUUUUUUAAAAAAGUUACGCUAACAAGUUUCAAGCGACGAUUCAACGAUCGAUACGGUAAAUCAAUACCCAUCAAUGAGUAGAAGAACAUAAUUUAGAUCUAAAUCAAUCUGAUGAUCAAUGAAAGAAAUCUGAAUUGUAGAAGAGAACGAGAAAGAGAGCUUUUGAUUGGUGCAGACAGUGCAAACAAAGAAAGCCAGAUAACAACAAUUUUGACAGCUUUGUGACUUAAAUGAAAACUUUCGAAUAGUCAACGACAAAAUUGUAACUUUUUAGUUUAGUGGCCAAAACCAAAACUUACUCAUAAUUUAAUGACUAUUGGUAUAAUUUACCCAAAAUAAAAUAGUAUUUAGUUUUUAUUGAAUAUAAAAAUAUAACAAAAAAAUAAGACGUAAAUAAAGUUGAAUCCAAUCUUGUCAUGUUUCAUAAGUAUAAAUUGAAUGUUUUUAUUUUAGGAAUAAUUCUUUUUAAGAUCACCUUUAUUUUUAAAGUUUAUGAUUAGGUCUUUUCAUACUUUAUAUGUUUAUAUCAUGGUUCUUAAAAUUUAAUAAUUCAUACUUCAUACGAUGAUUUUUAAAUUUUAAUCUUUAUAUUUCUAUAAUUAUUAAAAAAAAUACAGUUUACCAUCUAGAGUUAAAAAAUUUUAAUUAUAAAAAAAGUGCGAUUACUACUUAAUAAUUAUAUAUAUCUUUAUAAUUACUCUGUACGAAUACAACCUCAAAAUUAAUUAUUUACGCUUAAAUAUGUAGAUGAAAACUCACAUCAAAAUCUUUUGUUUUUGCGUAUAUGAUGUGAUGUCACAACAAAAAUAUUACACUUUGGGGUGAAAAAUCAUAAUUAUCCAAAUCAAAUUCUUAAAUCACUUAAUAGGUUUCUCUUUUAAUCACAAUGCUAAAGAAAUUUUCGAAAUGAUAUUUGUUAAACAAUUAAAAGUAUUGUCAUUAUGUUAAAACUUUUAUAUUCAAUUUCAUUAGAAUGAUUUGAUUACAAGAGUUUAAGGGAGAAACAUUAAUAUUGUACACAAUAAUAAUCAUAGAGAAUGUGCAUAUGUAACCUUUAAUUUGCAAUAAUAAUCAUAGUGUUAUUUUUUUAAGAAUUUUUUUUCAUAUUUUUUACAUUAUAAUUUUGAUUUAUAAUUUUUGAAUUUUUCAAAAAAAAUUAAUUUUUUAUAAUUUUUAAAUUAUUUAUUCACAUGGUAAAAUAAAAUAAUAUUAUAAUAGGGAUAAAAAGUUGAGGGUUACUUUACUCCAAAUUAAAGGAGUUAGGCAAGGACUAGAUUUAUUAUUAUCUCUUAUAUAUAAAAGAAAAACUAAAAUAAGCAUUUAAUCGCACCUAAAUUAUUUUACUAAUUCAUCUUACAAAGUCCAGUUUACCCUGAGACCAAAAUGCAACACUAUAUAGAGAAAAUAAUAUUUUCUAUACAAAUUUUAGAUUUUGAAAAAUAAGUUAAUUUAAUAAAAGUGUGGAUAAUUUAUUUAAAGAUGAGAGGUUAUGUAAAUAUUAAUGGGUUAUUUAAUUAAGCAAUGAAACUUUGAAAGAAAAAGAGAAUGUUUAGAUAAUUUUGAUAAAUUUUAUAUUUGUGUUUCUUACAAGCAAAUAAUUAUACUUGGAUUAGAUUUUGAGGGUUAGAAGUUGACCUAAUGGAAGAUGUAAAUGUAGCACCUAAUUUGUCACCCUGCCCACCAAUGGGACAUAUUAUUGUUGCCAAUUUUAAGAUUAUCCAAUUGAAUCAUUCUGUCUAAUUUUUACCUCAUGGUGAUCAAAAUUAAUUAAAUAAUGGUUUAUAUUUAUUCAUCUAUAUAUAUUUUUAGUAAAACUUUUGAUACAUGAAAAUAGACAUAUUUAUUAUGUAGUAGCACCUCCAAAUUAUGGGACUUUCGGCUAUUUUCACAUAUGUUUCUAUUCUAUAGAAUUUAUAUAUCUAUACACCCGCAUUAUUUUUAAUAUCUAUCAUGUUUUUACUUUUUUAAAAUCAUAAACUCCAGAUUCAAAGGGUUGAGAUCAAUUAAAGGAAAACUUCAAAAGAUUUUCAAUAUUUACAUCUCUUCUAUAUAUACUAAGGAAUUAAAGUUUAAACUAAAAAAUCGAUUGCACCUGAACUUAGUUGGUACACAAAAAAUAAAAAGUGAGUAUGUAUUUAUCUUUCAAUUUAUGAAUUAAGUGAGAUUGUAAGUAAUAAUAUAAAUUGUAUAAAAAAUUUAAAUUAAAAAAGAAAGAGAAAAGAACUUUUAAAAUCCAAGACAAUUUUGAGGCCUUUCAUAAUGCACACUUGUCCCUUGUUUUUCUCUUAUCUUUUGAUAUGAGAAUAUUAUGGGUAAUUUUUUAGAUUAUAAGAAUAGUUAAUUUUCAAAUUGAUCUUUAUAUUUUAUAUACUUUAACUUUGACAUAAUUUGAUACCUCAAUUUUUAUAGUAUCAUUAAUUAGUCUAACUACUUUAUUCUAAUUAAAACGAUGAUGUGAAUUUUUAAGGAUUGUUAGCACACUUAAAAUUUUUUAUUAAAUUCAAGUCUAUUAUAACAUUAAUUUUUUGUUACAUGGAUAUAAAGUGAGUUUUUUUUCUUUCAAAAUGUCAAACCAACGAAUUUAACAAAAGAAUUUUAAAUUUGUUAACAAAUGGACCUAAAAUUUUAAAUUUAAAAAGUAAAGGAACUGAAUUUUUAAAAAUAAAAGUAUAAAUAUUAAAUUCUAAAUAUAAAAAAAUUAAACAAAUUAUAACAUUUAAAUUUUUAAUAUAUAAUUUAAUCCAUAAAUAAACAAUUAACCCAAUCCGAAGCAUACAUGAAAAUUAUACUAAUAAUAUAUGAAACUUAGAUUUACAAUGGAAGAAUCAUGUUAAGUUUUCUAAAUAAGAAAAAAAAAAAUACAACCUAAUUCAUAAGGCUCAACAAAUCUUCUUUACCAUAUAAAAAUCUUAAAACAUUUAAAAGUUAUUUUUAAAUUGAGAUUCACCUAUUUUUAUAGUUAACAUUUUAUUUAUUAUUAAUAAUGUAGAUUUAAUUAUAAAUCAAUUUAUCAUAUAUUUUUAUAAUUAAAUUUCGGAAGAAUAUUUAAUGUAUAGUAGGUACAUAAAUUUUAUGCAUAGUGAAUAAUAACAUCACACAUCAUUAUUAAAUAAAAUAAAAAAAUAAUAGAGGACUUAUAAAUAAAUAUUAAUAACUUUAUUUAAACAUAGUUAAAUAAUAAUUAGUUAUAAAUAAACCUAAAUUUUAAACUCUAAACUCGAUACUCAAAAUUCAAUACCCUAAACCCUUAAAUCCAAUAUCCUAAGUGCAAGAUUCUAAACUCGAGAGUUAUUUAUAUUUAUUUACUUAUAAUAGUUAUAAUUAUAUUUAAUUAUGUUUAAAUUUAAAAGUUGAUAUACUUUUGUUUAAUUUAAUGAUAAAAUAUUAUAAUAUGAAUCAUUAAUAAUGUACAAAAUUUAUAUACGAAUAGUACAUCAAAUAUUAUUCCUUAAACUUUUAUUUAUUAAAUAAUGAUACAAAUUUAAAUAAAAAUUAAUUCAAAUUCAAAAAAAAAAAAAAUCAUAUGUGAAGCACUUAAAAAGUUUAACGCAUCUCUUUUUGAAAAAUUUCUUUACUCAACUGUUGUUUCUGGAAGUUUCCUUCUCAAUUUCUCAUCCAUCCCCAAAGAUUGAAACUCAAUUUCCACCCCUUUUUACCUUUUUAAAAAAAUCAAGAUCUGAAAUAUCACUAAUCAAUAGUUAGUUUGCCAAAUUAGGUAUUAAUUUAUUAAUUAAACAAACUAAUCAUGUCUAAUCUAAACUUUGGAUUUUUUAUUUUAUUUUACUAUCUAAAACUAUUUUUAUUUAGAUAAUAAUAUACAGAAAUGAAUAGGAACAGAAAGUUUAAAAAAAAAAAAAGAAAUAUUCAAAGAAGGAUGCAUGCAGGCUGGCAUUGCCAACUACUAAAUGCAAGUUGUGUUAAGGAAGUCAUGGUGGGAUGAUAAUUUGCUAAUUAUAAAACAGAGAUGGUCACAGUGUACAUGUGAAUUUGUUGAUUUAUGUAGGUAGAAUGUUUAUUCAAAUCCACCUUCCUUCCAAAAAUAUGAGAUUUUCUGCUCAUCAUUUUGGCCAAUCAGACACCCAACACCCAAACCAAGCAUAUGACUUAAUUUUGGGCAAAUCUAAUUUUAAUUUGCUUCAUUUAGAUUUUCUUAAAUAUUUUACUUUAUGACAUAUUUCUUCUUCUAGUCUGGAAAUAUGUGAGAUUUAAUUUGAAAACUACGUAUUAACCCUAUAUAACUACUUUACAAUUUUAAAAUAAAUAACAUAAUUAAUGUAAUGGUAUAAUAUUAAAAAAAUUAUGUGAUAUAUUCCAGAGAUCCAUAUUUAUAUUAUAAAUGUAUUUAAUAAUAAUUUUAUUUUUAAUUAGAAAUUAAAUGCUUUAUAUAUAUAUAUAUAUAUAUUUUUUUUUGGUAAGAACUCCUUAUAUACCAUAUUUUUCGUGUAUAUAUAAUUUAAAGCAUUUGUAAAAAUUAUAAAAAAUAAUAUAUUGUAAAUUAAACUUUUUAUUUUUUAUUUUAUUUUCUUAAUAGCCAAUAUAUUAGCUAUAAUAAUUUAUUCAAAAUAUAUAAUUAAUAUUAAUAUAAUAUGUUAUAUUAUAAAAUGCAUUGUUUAUAAAAUUUUACAUAUGAAAUAUAAAAUUAUUUAUUAUAUAAAUAAUUAAAAUUUUCUAUUUAAAACAAAAGUAAUAUUUUUUGGGUUAAUUGAAACAUAAUGAUUUAAAUAUAAAUUUUUAAUUUUUAAUUAUUAAAUAAAUUUUUUAACCAAUUAUUUUAAUAAAAUUAAAAGUCUUAUAUAUAAAUAUGUAAUAGAUCUUAUAAAUAACAAAAAAAUAGAUAAAUUACCUAAUUAGCCACUGAACUGAACUUUGUUACAUGUUUCUAUUUUGGUCAUCGAUCUAUGAAAAAUCUAAUUUGAUCAUAAACUAUCUAAAUUUGUUUCUUUUAGCCACUAUGUUGUUAAGUCUAAAACAAUUGGAUGACUUGCCUAUUAUAAAUUACAUGAAUUGUCACUCAACUAUGAGAAUGUUUUUGUUUUGUCACUCAACUAUAUAAAAAAUAUAUAUAAACAUUCUUAAUAGAAUUUGGAGCUAGAAAGUUUUUUAGAUAAGUUUUUAUUUGAUGCUUGUAAGAUUUGAGGGGUUUUUUUUGGCACUAGAGAACCAUUGUUAUAAUAUAAAAAUAUCAAUGACUUACGAUCUUUCUAGCAUAAAAAACUAAAAUUUUUUUAGUUUUUUAUUGUUGGAGAAGCACCAUAAUUUACCCGCAACUUAUGAUCUUUCUAGCAUAGGAAAUUGAAAACUUUUAAGUUUUCCUAUCUUGAAAAACAUCAGCUAAGAGCAUGAAAUAAUAGACAGAGAGAAAAAAAAAAUCAAUAAUUAGAAAUAAAUUAACAAAUUUUGUAAAUGUUGAUGGUUAAAUUUAUUAGAUUUUUUAGAAUUAGGACUAAACUUCGUCAAACUUCUAUUAUCAACUUAAUUAUAUGGUGACUAAAAAAUCUAAUUUCAAAAAAUUUAAUAAAACAAUAAAAAAAUUAUAGUUAAGGUAACUAAAAUAAAAACACUCUUCUAAUUAAGUCACCAUUUAUGUAAUUUAUAACAACGACUUUACCCAACCAUGUCAAACUUAACUUGACAAUUAAAUUAAAACAUUCAGUUGCAAAUUGCACAAGGCUUAAAAAAUGAAUUCAGAUAGUUUAAUGAUUAAAUUAAAAAUUUUAAUAAUUCGGUGAUCAAAAUAGAAACACAUGAAAAAUUAAGUGACUAAUUAAAAAUUUACCCUAAAUACGUAUAAAACAACAAAUAUUAUAUAGUAAACAAUAAAAAAUUAUCUAAACUCAUAGACAUACAUAGUUGAUUAAAAUAGCAUUAUUGCAAUUAAAUGUAGUUUAAUUAAAAUGUAGUUCACUUAGAAAUUGGAUUUACUGUUUUGAUCAAUGAUGAAUGGUGAUGUCUAAACUACACUACUCUUCCAUAAAAAGAUGAUGAAAUUGGAUGAAUUGGUCUUUUCAGCUUCUUCAGCUACGGGGUCCAAGUGCUGAUGGGAUGGGAAAGGUCACAUUUGCAAAUGGAAGAGGCGGUGAUUGGGCCCACCAUCAAUUUUGGUUUUUAUUCUUAAAAAUUAUUUUCAUAUCUUAUUCCACCACCGACAAUUACACGUUUUCCUGUCAAUCAUUCGUUCAUCCAUUUGACUUUAUUCCACCCUCCCCUCACAUCGUGUCCUGCGUCACCAUACAAUACCAUUUAUACCCCUAUAAAUAAUAUUAAUUAGAAACAUAAGGUAGAAAAUAAAUUAUUUAAAAAAUAGUGUUUGUCACUAUAAUUUUUUAAUAAACUUUAAAACAUAUAUAACAAAAAAAGUUAAAAAAGAGAAAAAAAUAUUUUAUUAAUUAGUGCCGUCAAUGUAUCACAUGAUACUCUCUUACUUAAAUUAAAAAAAAAAAAACUGUAGUUUGAAAGAUUAAAAGCAGACAAGACAUUAAAAUAUUAAAUGCAAAGAAAAGAUAUUGAGGCAUUAAACGUAUGUAGAGAAAAGACUAGACCGGAAGCACAAACCAUUUUUUAUUUUUUAUUUUUCACUUUUUUUAACUUUUUUUUUUUUACCAAGGCUUCUUUUUUAAAUUCAUUAGUAUUGCCGAUAUUGGGUGGCAUCACAAAUUUAUUUUUUUCACUUUUUUAACUUUUUGUUCUGUCAAAAUUUUUUUAAAAGGUUUACUAGUGCUGCCAAUAUGUUAAGUAAUAUUUAAAAUUACUAUAACAAAUAUUUUAUUUUCAUAAUUAAUUAAUUUUUUAUUUUAUUUUUAUAAUUAAUUAAUUUUUAAUAUUAUUUUUUAUAAAAAAUCACAUUUAUUUUUUUUCAAUUUAUUUGAAAAUUAAAUUAAAACACUGGGUUAUAAAUUGCAUCAAAUUCAAUUUAUUAUUACGUUCAAGAGUAUAUAAUUAAUAAUUUAAAUACUGAGAGUGAUUUGUGAUCAAAUUUUCUACUAAUAUUAAUUUCAAGUUUAAUUUUAGGUAACUUCCAUUCAAUGAUGAAUGUUGACACUCGACUUUGGAAGGGUUAAUUAAAUAUUAAAUUUAUAUAUAUUUAAUUAAAGAUUUUUUAUUACAAAUGUUCAGUUAUACAAAAAAAAAUCAGUUUUUUAAUUAACAAUUUUUAAAUUAUUACAAAAUAAUUAUUUUGAUUUUUUAUAUUUUCAAAAUAUACAUCUUUGAAUAGAGAGAAUAAAAAAAAUAUUUCACAAAACGAAAAACCUAAAAAAACAAAAUUUCGCCUGCUUAUUUAUUUAUUUAUUUGGAUAUGUUAUUAAUAAUUUUUAAAUUUGGAUAGUCCAAGGCUUUAAAUACAUCAGUCAAACCAUUAAAGUCCCAUAAAAUCUAGUUUAGGAAUUGAAAAUAUAAACUGAAUUAAACCAAAAGAGAUAAUUUUGUUGAUUUAAUGUUCCAUGGGAAUAUCUAAUUUCAUCUCUCUAAAUACAUAUGUUUUGUGUUCAUUUCUUAUUGAAUUAUUAUAUAUGUAUUUUUUGCAUUUUUAUUUUUAAAUGCAUAUGUUUUGGUUUUCUAUUUAUAAUUUAUUUAUGCUUUUUAAAAUUUUAAAUCAUUUUUAUCAUUUUUAUCCAAAAAUGAUAUUUUUAAAUAUUUUUUAACUUUUAGAAUUAGAAUUAAAUGGAUAAAUUUUGUAAAUAUUCGAGUCAAAUUUAUUGAAUUUUUUAUAAGUAAAAUUAAAUGACAUUUUUUAAAAAUUAAAAAUUAAAUUUGUUGAAUUUUUAGAUUUCGAAUCAAAUUGUUAAAAUAUGCAAGUAUUAAAAGGCUAAAUUUAUUAUUAGAUCAAUGAAAAAAAGCCUAGCUUUGCUUUCUAUUAAAAUUUAAAAUUUAAAAACAUUGGUGAUAAAAUUGAAAAUUUUUAAAAUUAGUUGACCAAAAUAAUAAUUACCUAAAAAUUGGGUAACCACCCAGAUAGUUUACCAUAAAACUUUAUUAGCCAAUUUUCAUACCAAUGUAAUUUAAAAAAAAAAUAGACUAUUAUUAAACUAGUUAUGCAUAAAGUGAAGGUAAAAUUAGUCAAAAUUAAAAAAAAAAGGAAAAAAAGAAGAAAAGGCUUUGUGUUUUAGAUUAAUUAGGGAAAUAAGUUGAUUUUACACAAUCAGUGGAUAUACAAGUAAAAAAGCCUCUGUAAGAGGCAGACAUCAAUCAUAAAAAAUGGCAUGAGAAUCUUGGAAUUCGUUUUCAUCAAAGUAAUAUAACAUCAGAGGUAAGAUUAUAAUUCAAAUUUAGAUGAUAGUGUGAAAUACCUCUAAUAAUGCAAUUAUGUAGUCUACAAUUUUGUUUUCUUUCUCACUAAUGCCAUAAUUUUUCAAAGACAUCUAUCGUCACAUAUUUAUCCAAGAGAAAUUUCAUAAAUUCAAAUAUACAAUAUUAUAUAUUUGGAAUAAGUUUUUUUUUAAAAAAAUAAUUGCAUAUCCAAAAUAAAUAUUACAAAAAAUAAUGUUAAAUCUUCCAAAUGGAAAAGCUACAAAUUCUAUUUCUUACAAUUGGUUUUAGCAUUGUUUCACUCUAAAACUACCUUAAAAAACUACGGUCAACAGAGUGAAUGAAAUGAGGUGAAGUAACCUUUGAAUUAUACUAAUUUUCCAUUCCCUUUCUUUUGAUCACACCCAUAGCCAUAUGUAUCUUAUGAUCGCUGCCCAAAGCCAAAGAGGUACCACUUCUAAUUUCACCCAAAUCAGUUUUAGUAGUGUAGUCAAACAAAGACUUCUUAAUUUCACCCAAAUCCGUUUAUAGAACAGAUGAUCUCCACAUUACCUGAGUUAGCCAAAGGUGUUUCCAAUCCUGUAAUCUUCUCUGCUUCAUCCCAUACAAUAGUCACUCCCUGCUCUUUGACUACCAUAGCUGAAACAGUAUCUAUCCAGGUGCCACUAAGUUGGCAGUCAUUUCCUGCUUUUAUUUUGAAUAUGAUUAUGAUGACCUCUUUCAUUGGCAAGGUUUCUUAGUAGGCAAGGACACUACUUCUGGUGAACUAUCAGUUGUAGAAAACUGUUUUGAAACUUCAGACAUCACCAGUAGUCUCCGCAGGAGCAAACUCCCAUGGAAAUAUGGUGGAACCGGUUCUUGUCCCUCAAGUACACUUCUCUCAUAUAAAUCUUAGAAACAAAUUUAGCGAAGUUAUGGCAAUCAACGCAAAUCCGGAGGUUUUUAAUCACACGGAGUGGGGCUCUAUCAGAGGUUGAAAUCAACCCAAAAGUCAAUGCCAAUUUCUCACUGUGGCCUAGGAGUAUCUUCUCCUUCUGCUCCUCAUCCACAUCAUGUAAAACACAACUUAAAUCAGGAACGUAUCCGGCUUCCUUGAAUUUUAUUGAUAACUCUUUCAUCUUUGCAAACACCUCUUCCCUUCUUGGAUGCGAACGAUCACUUGCAUGGAAGGAAUGAUGGGUUUGGUCAAGCUCAAUCCAACUCUUUCCUGGCUCUUUCUUCACAGCUUUCUUCAACAUCAAAUCUCUCACCAUUCUUACAUCUUCCCAUCUCCCCGUAGAAGCAUAUAAAUUUGAUAGAAUAACAUAGUUCCCUGCAUUCUCGGGCUCAAUUUCUAGCAGUCGAUGCCCUACAAAUUCACCAAUGUCGAUGUUUGAGUGAACCCUACAAGCACCUAGAAGUGAACCCCACAAAGCAGCAGUUGGUUCAAAAGGCAUCUUUUUGAUAAAUUCAAAAGCCUCUUCUACUCUACCAGCACGCCCAAGCAAAUCUACAACGCACCCGUAGUGCUCAAUGUCAGGCUCGACCCCAUCUUUCCCAUUCACCAUUUCCUCAAAGAUUUCCAAUCCCACAUUUUCCAUCCCUCCAUGGCUGCAACCAGAUAAAACACCCAGCAGAGUGACACUGUCAGGUUUUAUUUUAUUUUCAUUUCUCAUCAAUUUGUAUAGCUCCACUACCUCUCUUCCCAUUCCAUGUUUGCUGUACCCCACAAGCAUUGCAUUCCAUGAAAUAACAGUUCUCUCAGGCAUGUUAUCAAAUAUCCUUCUCGAGUAAAUGAGGUUCCCACACUUUGAGUACAUAUCGAUCAAAGAGUUCUGAAGUACCACAUAGAAGGGAAGUUUACAUCGCAGUACAUGGUUGUGAACUUGCUUACCAAGAUCUAAUGCUGCAAGCCCAGAUAAUGCAGUUAGAACACUUGCAUAAGUAACAUAAUUUGAACUCAUUCCUUCUAAAUUCAAUCUUCGGAAUAAUUCUAGUGCCUCUGCAUCUAACCCUAACUGAGCAUACCCUGAAAUUAUGGCAGUGCAUGAAACAACAUCCCUUUCUGGCAGGCUUUCGAAAACCUCUCUAGCUUCAUGAAUUCUACCAGCUUUGGCAUACAUGUCAAGAAGUGAGCUCCCAACAAAUAUAUGGGUGUCAAGAGUUCUCUUGAUUAUAAGGGAGUGGAUUUGCCUUCCCAGCUCAAAACCAAAAGUCCCCGUACAAGAAGAUAGUACAGUGGCAAAGGUGAAUUCAUUCGGUUCAGUAACUGCAGCAAGGUCAUGUCACCACAGGUAACAAGAAACCAAAUCAAAAUAAGUAAGGUGCCAAUCCAUUUUAAUAAAAGGCGAUUCAUAAACCACCAAGAAUAAGUUAUAUCAUCCGUUGACAAUACGGGAUUUUUAGUAAACUACCACAACAAGACUUACAAGACUGAAAAUGUGAUUUUUACAUUAGACAUUACCAAUCUCUUUUAGCUCAUAUUCUUUUAACUGAUUAUAGAGCGAUAACUCCGUAUUGAAAUUUAGAAGCCAAGUCUACACAAUAAACAUCCCAUUUUCUAAAAUAAAAAAACUCGAAACGUAGCAAACUGAGUCCACGUUAACAUCUCUAGAAUUGUAUAGAAAUGUAGCAAAAAUUGUAUAGAAUCAUGCUAGCGAUAAAUACCUGAUCUUAACAUCUCUAGAAAAAGAUCCAACGCUUCAGUGGCAAACCCUCUUUGAGAAUAAGCAGAAAUCAUGGCAGUCCAAGAAACCACAUUCUUCUCAGGCAUUUCAUCAAGCACAUUCCUUGCCUCCCUCAAACGAUCACAUUUACUGUAAAAAAUGAUCAGCCUGUUUCGAAGGUAAACAGGCGCUAAAUAUCUUGUUUUGAUCAUAUGGGCAUGGACCCUUUGGCCCUCUCUAAAUGCCCUUUUCUUUAUACAAGCAUUUAAUAGCAUAUCAUAGCUUUCAAACUUCAUUUCAAGGCCUGGAGCCGCCAUUUCUAUCAAAGCUUCUUUCAGUUGACCAUUGGAGCAUAAGGUAGUUAAAAUAAUUUGUGAGUCUGGCGGGAAGGUAGUGAGAGUUAGCUGGUGAGUGGUAAAGGAGCUGAUUAAAGAUGAAAAUGGUGCACUUUUGGGAUAGUAAUGGAAAAGGCAGUUCAGCUUUCGAAGUAAAUUCAUCUUCAAAAACUAUAUCUUUCUAAACUCAGUGACAUUUAUUCUUUAUGGCACUAAGAAAAAUGUCACAAAAUCUACGUAUUAUCUCAGUGAAUGAAAUAGUUAUAACGGAAAAGAUUUAACUUUUUCCUUAUGGGUUCAUAUUCAUAUUAUAUAAAAAAAGAUUAUUCUUGUUGAACCCAUCUUAAAAAAGCCAUAUUUAAAAUGAUUUUUAAAUAGAAUUUAAUUAAAUUUUAUACAGUACGAUUUUAAAUUUAUAUAACUAUACACAUGAUAAAAUUUGUAAAUUAAUCUCGUAAUUUCAAGAUGUGAUAAACACUCUUAAUUAAUGAUUCGGGUUCAAAUUUAAUUAAUUUAUACAUCAUUUAAAAAAAAGUUAAUAUUUGAAAUAAAAAUUCCCCAUCAUCUAUCUCUAUUCCUCAAAGGCUCAAAAUAUGACUUCGUGGCAAUUGGUGAACACUAGUAUCCAUGGCCAAAAGAAAAAAAGAACACAUGAUUAAUUACUCCUAAAAAGUGAAAGAGUGAAUCAAUCAUUUGUGUUAAAUUGCUUUGCUGAUAAAGAGUUUUACAAGUGAAAUUACACCUUCAAAGGUUUGUCCACGCUUACAAUUCGUGUAAAAAUGAUGAAUUCAAUUUGAGCCAACAAGGGAAAUCUGCUCCGAUGACCCCCUUCUCUGUUUGUAGACACCAGAAUGGAAAUUAAGCAAGGAAAUGUUAUUCACAGUAGAAGGCCUGAAGUCCAAAGGAUUAUCCCAUUGCACCGUUCGUCCAUCGAACCAUCUCAUAUUUACAUUCUCAAGAUCCAAACCAUCAAUAUGUUCCAUUAUAAUCCCUGCUGUGCUGUGGUUCACAAGUCCCUGACAUCCUGGCCGAUAGUCAACCAACCCUCCCAUGUAUUUCGUCCAUCGUUUGUAUGUUAAGUUAAUGUUGAUGAAUCUCAAAUUCCUUAGCAGUCCACCUUUAGAACCUGAUAAGAAGAUACCGUUUUCGGAAACUGCGGAGAUGUUUACGAAGUUCAAGUUGGAGAUUGAACCCUCUGAUGAAUCUGAGUGCCGUGGGCAAGUCGUGACAUAAAUCGGUUCCGCCCUCCCCCACCAUGACGGAUCAUAGUAUCUCGUGCUGAUGUUUAUGUUUGAGAAAGUAACGUCACUUACAUUUCCUGCACAAACCAAAAAUUGUUCACUAAGCUAGCGUAAAACCAGGUAAUAUUGACGAUCAAAGAAGAAAAAAAACGAAAACCAGAUAGCGUUACCUCCAUCACGUAUCUGCAAUGCGAGCCCUCUAUGAGAAUCUACAAUAGUAAUGUUGUCAAAGACCAAAUUGUUUAACUCAAACCAGCUAGCACUUCCAAGUUUAAUUGCAGAAGAUUUGGUUCGAAUCCAGGAGUUGGUUGCAGUUAAGUUAUAUAGAGGGGAAGUGUAUGUCUUGGGGCAUAUAGCAUCAUCUCCUGUAUCAAUGUGGCAUCUUGUAAUCACUGUAUUAUUUGAAUCCUCAAUGUCUAUUCCAUCAUUGUUAGGUGUAUUGAAAUCUCCAUAGAUUGAAACAUCAUGGAUAGAUGUGUUUUCACAUCGAACUAUGUGCAAGCUGCAAUUUAUCCAAAUUGUUCAUCAGGAUACAUGGAAUAACCCAAAUCUCUUGUUUAUAUCAUCUAAGCCCUUUUCUAAUAGCAAUUUUCAGGUUUUACUAAUUGUUUCUCUUGAAAUAGAAGAAUAUCAAGUAACAGGAAAUUGUACCUAGCAAUCAAUGAAAAUCAUUCUAUACUUCAAAUCUACAUGAUCAAAUCUUAUAUUCCCUACGUUAUAUCCAUCCUUACAUUCAAAUGUGUUACAUCCAUCCUAAUCUUUCCAUAAAUCACAACAAACCAAAGUAACUGUAGAAACAUGGUAUCCCUUGAAUUUGUACCUUGGAAUUGUCCCUGAAACAUAUAUUCAAUUGCAAGAUGCUUUCCAUUGAAAAAGAAAUAUGAUUUAAAUAAUUAAUUACUAAAUAAUCUUAUAUGAAUUAUAUUCCGAUAGAUAAUAUUAUAUUCUUUGAAGCAAAAGCAACUUAAAGAAAACAAAACAAGUAAUACUAAAAAAAGGGGUGUAACUUGUGUAAGGAGGCAUCCAGCAAAAUUGGAAUUUUGGGUCAAGAGAGAGUCUAAAACGAAGUUGGCCAGCAUUGACCAUCCUCUAGUAGGGGGUUGUCCUCACAGCAGCUAUGUUAUCCCAACCCAAGAAAGAGUGCGAUAUUUAAUUCUUUUCUAAGUUUACCUCAUAUCUUGGGAAAAUUAGACCUCUAUAUUCAUAUCCAAGUAUCCUUACAGAAUAGUAUCAUCAUUGCGAGGAUAACCAGCUAAAAUAUGCAUACGCAUGGAAUGCUAAAACUCACUUACUUGAAAAACCAUGGAGUAUCAAACUAUAGUUAUAAUAAUAUGUAACUUUAACAGUAAAAGCCUCACAUGCAAUGUGUCAGCCACGGAUAGGGGCAUCCACGACUGCCAAGUCUGUAUUGAAAUUGAAUAAAAUAGAUCGCUUCCCCUCAGAUGCAAGACUAAAUAAUGCUGAGGGACAAACUGAAAAGGGAUAAGGUUCGUAACCAAUACGAUUCUGACACAUAUGCAAUCACAACGUGAUAGAGAGAGAAAAAGAAAGGGACUUACCACCAAUAGGCCGGUUGCCUGAAGGUAACAUUCCAAACUCUGACGUUGGUAGAGUCAAGAAAACCCACCAACCUCGGCCUACACUCAUCGCCGGAGCAAGCCCCUGUCUGGUUCCAGCUCACCAUCACGUUUUUUCUUUCGUCGAACUUCACCACGAACUCCAAACCCUGCCCAUCCACCACCCCUCCACCUGUUAUCCCUACAUCCCUUGCAUUCUCUGCCAAUAUCACAUACCACCUAUCGAACUCUUUCGGGUAGUCUUCCAAUUUGGUCCCACCCAAGAUGGUGGAGCCUUUCGGGAUGUCCAAAAUCACGUUGGAUUUGAGGAAGAUGGUGGCCGUUAGGUAUGUGCCUGUUGGGAAGGUCACGUAGCAUGGUUUAGUGCGGCAGCUGUCGAUGGCCAACUGGAUGGCGGCUGUGUCGUAGUGUUUGCCGUCUCCGAUGGCUCCGAAGUCUCUGACGGAGAUGGUGGGAGUAUGUGAUUGGAUGACGAUGGGGAGGAGGAAUAGGAAAGUGAUCGCUGUUAGACGGGGAAUUGGAGCUGCUGCUGCUCCACCACCCAUUUCUUUUGUAUCUGGUCAACUGAUUAGGAAAAGGAAAUGGCCAGGCCAAGCCAAGCCAAGAAAUUGGCGUUUAGUAAAGCGGAAACUUGUUAUGAAGUAGUGUUCCUUCUUCUUAUCGACAGAGAAAUAUUAAAUACGAUACACAGCAAUCAUUGGGAAUUUGCGUAACAAACAAGAGCUCUGGGCCAUUGGAGAGUGGACCAUUAUGGCGUGAGUAAUCUACUACGUUUUUCUUUGGGGGGGGGGCUUUUCACUGGAUCGGUUUCAUUUUUCAGACUGCCUUGUUAUUGUCACCAUAAUUGAUUCAUGGGCGUGAAAUGUGUAAAUGCCAUCCUCGUCAUUCCGAUCAAAUACAACCAAACAGAAUUGGACAAAACAGGCGCCACUGAAACCCUUCUCAUAGUCCAUACACAAAUUCAGUCUGUCAAAGACUAAAGCAAAUAUAUAAUAUUGAACAAAAGAAACUAUCUUUCAUAAUAGUAACCAUAGUUCGUUCUAUGAUUUUACAAUAUGAAUCAAUCUACCCCGCAAAUGAAGUAUUAAUUGAAGGACUUUUGAGUUUAGUAUAUAUAGUAAUUAAUAUAUAUAUAAAAUAAUAGUAACAGCAUACUGAGACUUUCUUGUCUCUGGUCCUGAGAAAUCCCAAGGUUUCCAACCAACUCUGAGUAAAUAUAUGACAUGGAAACCAAGAGAUAAAUGAUAGGAGUCUCUCCUUUACUUCCUGCUAUUUUCUAAUAUUUGAUAUAUAUACAAUACUAGCUACAACUACAACAAUCUUUCCACAAGUCUAACCGUUGGAACUUCUUCAGACUUCAUAGCUCCAUUUUCAGUUUGAUUUGCAUGCAACGUUGCUGCACCAAAGUUGCAAUAGAUGUUAGUCUCAUUCUCUGUUUCAUUGGCAUGAGAUACAAAACCCAUGUAUGAAACGAAAUUGUAUGACUAAUAUCAAACUUGAUAAAAGUUUUAAGUAGCAAACAUCUGGAACUGGAAGCUGACGACAUCAUUUUCUCAUCAAUUCUUCAACAAAGAAAUGAAGUUCUCUGAAUGAAGUAAUUGUAGGAUAAGUUUUAAAACCUUGAGAAAUACAAUUAUUAGACAGCCUUCCCACCUAGCUUUUCCCUUGGUUUUAUCCAGCAAUGUAGUACAAUAAUAGCCAGUGCAGAUAACCACAGAGAUAACUAAAUCAUGACUCUUUAAACUUUUAACCUCAAAAAGUUCCUCCGACUCUCCAUAACUUGCUACACCGUUCUUUCUCAAAAAUUCUAUUCAAUUUAUUAAAGGGAAAUGUCAAAAUUCAAUGCAAUCUGCGAGGAAACUUGACAACAACCACCUUGUUGGUUGUCCAUUGACCAUUUGAAGAGAAUAGUUCAAGCUUUGCUACUGCUUGUUUAAGAUGAAACUUGAAAGUUAGAAGUGAUUCAAAAUGUUAGGUUGUGGUUUUGCAAAUUUACUAAUUAUGAUAAUUCAGAAAGCAACUAAACUCAUUCCUUAUCUACCUGAAUUUGCUGAGGAGUCAUAACUUAAAAGUGAGUUCUCUGGAGUGAUAUAAUUAUUGUAGACUUCUCUCCCCCAAACAGGCUGCUGAAGUGCAUCAAAUUGCCAUUGCUGCUGAUGCUGUUGUUUGUUGCCAUUGACUUGAACCUCAGGCCAUAUUAGAGGCAUAACCAUACUGGGGAAUUUAUUGUCCGGUAGAGAUCCACUCUACAAGUAUUAAACGAUGAUUACACCUGUUAGUGGAAAUUUUCAGGUAAUUAAAUCAAUAGCUAUUGUCUUGACUAAGAGAAACUUGAUGGUAGACCAUGUAAAUCGUGCAUCAUAUAUAUGCUCCUACCCAACAUAAUCAAUUAUAGAGCCAGUUUAUAUUACCAAUUUAUAUUACCAGAUUUCACCAAUUUAUAUGUACGCUUCGUUCUAUGGCUUCGUCUAAUUACCAAUUUAUAUAACCAGAUUUCACCACAAAAAGGUAAUAUAGAACCAGCAUUUCAGCAUUUUCCGUUCAAACCAUUCUGCUAACAGCAUUACAAAACAUUUGAAGACCCAUGAAUUUCAAUAUUUUCCAGCGACAAUGGGCCAUCAUGGCUGGCACUAUUCUGAUUUUCCAUCGAAAUCUACAUUACCAUCAGCUGACUGACAACCAUUUUUCCCAGUCACACAUUAACCAACGGUUGAAAGCAUAAAGAGCAGAUGACGAUGGUGGUCGUGACAUGAGCAACUGCCCUCCAAAUAUUGAUGAGAAGCAGUCCUUUAAAAUAUCAGCUAGGAAUCUGGUGGAAGAAGCCAUAGAACGAAGCAUACACCCACUUACGCUUUACCAAUCUAUAGUCUGAGUUCAUAAACAACAAUUCUAGAAUGAAUAUAAGAAAAUUUCAAGAAACCUCUGACAUUAAAGUCCUCUGGAGGAAUAUAGUCGUAGCUUAGCUCCCACCGAACCUAAAGAAGGCUGAAAACUUUGCAGAACUACCAGUCAAAUGAACUAGGAGAAUUACCAAAGGAGCUGAGCUUUCAACUCCAAAUGUUACACUAGGCAUAUAAGACAAGGUGCCAGAUACUUACUUCUGUUGUGAAUAUACUGUUGAGAUUGAAAUCAAUUCUCGGGUUCACAGCAGCAAGUCUCAUUGAUAAGAACUGCAACCAAAGAAACAUGAUACCAGAAUCAGACCACGGGAAUGGAAGAUAUUGCAAGUCUCAUUGAUAAGAACUGCAACACGAAAAUGAUGCUUGAGAUGAACAAUUCUCACCUCCACUUGAUUUUGUAGGGACUGCACAUGAUUGAUGAUUUCAUCCAACACCAAAGCUGUACCAGAAAUCUGCAGAACAGAUUACAAACUUGUUGAAUAUAUUUAAAUUUGUAGUCUUGUAAACAUUCUGUAAAGAAAUUCAAACUAAAAGCGCUUCAGACAACAUUCAACUUCUUAAACCUAAUGCCUUAAGAAACAAAAACAUUGCUGACAAAGCUCUUGAUAUUUGAUCCUCAUAGAAUAUUUUUAUAAUAAACAUACAAGAAGGGUGGACUACCAUUUGAACUUUAAUUUAUUGUUCUUAUUUGAAACUACCAGAAACAAUUUGUAUAGGCUACAAGGAUACUUUGUCUACAUGAAAGCAUUAAUUGAAAAUAAUGUCAGUGUUGUCAAAGGCACAAGGCACACUUACGUGCUAGAACCCACAUAUUGCUGGAAAGCAUGUCACAAAACAGACAUUUGUCUGAGUGAAGGUGCAAUAUGUGUAUAUAUUAUAUACCCACACCCAUAAUAAUACUAAACUCUAAACCGUAAAUUCAAUUUAACUAGCAAAACAUGCAAGAUUUUCUUUUCCUGUUCUUAGACAAUAUGCAUCAUUUCCUUAUAGUCUCACGUAUGGAAUCCAAUUUAUCUUACAAAAAUACAAAUUUUCCAUUUUUCUUUUAUUGGCCAAUAUGCAUGAUUUCCUUAGUAUCAUAUAUGUUGUUGAACACUCAAAUAUUGAGAAUAGCGAGUUCAAUAUUAUCCCAUUUCUUACUAGUAAAAGUACAAUUAAUUAAAAAUAACUUCUAGACUUUUAUUUUUGGGUGCUUAUUGCCUUACAGAAAAGUGGGCUUAGGCGCACAAGUGUGCACCUGAUCAAAAGUGCACGUUUGAUUUCUGGUGCUAAGGUGCACAGUUUAACAACACUGAUUGAGAUAUUGGAAAUAAAUGGCCUGAGUACCAGACUAAAGAGCAGGAAGUCAACUCAAACGGAAGCAGAUAAGUUUCCAGUUUAGUAUAGUAGAAUCCAACUAGAUUUUGAUUGUUUGAAAAUUAUGGCUUCAACUUUCGGAAUAACCAUGCAAGCUUAUCUUAGGCUGCGUACCAGGAACCAUUAAAAGACAUGAGAGAAUUGAAAAUUUCAUGACACACAGAUAGAUGGCUUAAUCAUGGCCUCAUACUAAAAUAAGUUCCAACCUGACUACCUCCAAAACAAAAAUCUAAAGCUAGAUGGAAUCCUGUAGUUCCAAUCUCCUGAAGAAUGUAAUGUGAAAGGCAUCAGACUGAAAGCAAUUAAAAUCAACAAUUUUUUUUCAACAAUUCCUAAACUCUUGUCCUUUAAAAUUUCAAGGAGAUCAUGACUUGUGGUCCAGGAAAAGAAGGUUAUUCACAGGUUUGCUUAUCUACUCUCUGCUGAAUUGUGGUCACUUCAUGAAGAAAAGGCACCAGAAAAAGACUCAGAUCUCCUGUUAUUUUGUUAAAAAGAUCUUAUGAAAUGUUAAGGAAUAAAUCAAGAUAAUGUCCUGAACAAUUAAAACUAAUUAGCCAAGAACUACCCCAUUAUGUCCACAUGUAGUUAGGCAGGAUAUUUGGCAUGUAAAAGGCAUUUUUUUUUGUCAUCCUUUUUCUACUUAUCCUGUACAGGACAGAUACCGAACCUAUAACAGAAGUUAGCAACCAUUCUAUAUCAAUGAAAUGGGACCCCAUAAAGACAUCUAAUCUAACAAGCCACUAGACAUGCCUACAGAGCUCUUCCUGGUAAUGUCAAGCUCAAGCAUUUGCGCAUGACCAAAACUAUACUUUCCAUAAAUGAUUCAAAGUCCAAAACACCAAGUAGAAUGAUCUUAGAAAAUCUAGCUUUCCGAUUUAUACUAACAUCGCUAAAAGGACAACAAAACCGGACUUGCUAUUAGAAAAAGGAUGAAAUGAACCCUUUUUUUAUUAAAAAAAAAAGAAAAAAGAAAAAGAAAAAGAAAGAAAAGAAAAGUGACUUUGAACAAACUCUCCCCGCAAAAGAAAAGUAGCUAAAACAUUAAAAUCACCAAACUGCCAUUAGGACAUCAAGAUCAUCACUUUUAUUGUUACGGAAGUAUUGUGCAAAAGGUGACAAAGACAACAUUUACUAACAAAAAAGAAUCUAAAGACCUUUCUUGUUGCCCGUUUAGACAGAUAAUCCUAGUUUGAUAAAAAAAAUAAGAAUCAAAUCAGUAACCAACCGAUUAAUCCAAUUGAAACUCACCUUAUUGCAACCAGGUACCAACUCCUGUAGUAGCUUCAUCCGUGCAUUAAUCUUCUCUCUCCUUGCCUAUAAUUCCCCGUAUUAAACACCAAAUUUAGCUUCAACAUAAAUUAGCAAAUACUAAUAAGAAAAUUAAUUAAGGAGUUAAUCGUGAUUUCAUAGGAUAUUAGUGAACUACUCUCUCUGCUAAGCUAUGGCUAUCCGUUGCUUCUCCCCGGCGAGCUCUAACGUGAACAUAGGGCAGCUUUUCAGGGCCAACUGAGCUAUCAUUCGCCGCAGUUUUGCUUUUCUUCGUUGAACCUUUAGCCUAAAAAAACCCUCAAAAACGAAUUAUUAAGCUGAUUAAUUAAAACUAUGCCGAAAAUGGAAAAUCCCAGAAACGCUAGUUCAAAAUUUUCUUUUGUGUAUGGUUUUCCACCUUCUUUUCGUGAUCCUUUCUCUUGAAAUUCCGCUUCUCCACCGCUGGAUCAGAAACCAACGGCUGAGAUGACUCGGUCUCCGCCGGCUCACUCUUCACUGCUUUCUCAAGAUUCAAGGUUGAAUUGUUCGACGUCGUUUCAGGCGCGUUGCUCUUGUUAUUGGUGUUGUUAACCCCUCCAGCAAACACAGAGGACCUCGCAGCUUGAUCAAUCAAAGUGGUAUUAGAAGGAAAAAGAAAGUUUCCUUUUAAAGCUUCAAAGCUGGGAGCCGGAGCAGCGAUAAGCUUAGCCGAAGCCGGAGAGUGAAGAAGCUCAAGCGCUCGUGAAGCCGGGAGUUCAAGAAGAGCCGUGAGAGAAGUCACAUUGUCAGAUGUCGGAGCCAAGAUUAAACGGUGAAAUUCGUCUGUAAAUUGUAGCGAUUCGAGUGCCGCAACUUGCUCCCCGUCCGACGCCGUUAUGUUGGAUCUGGUUUCCGUCGUCCCUGCCUUCGACUCCAUUAGAGGGCGGGGGGACUAGGCAAUUUGGGAAGUGUGAAAAAUACCCACGUUCAAAAUUGAGGAAAAUAAAAAGCAGUCACUUGGUAAGUUCAACCCAAAUUGCAGUGUUAACAGGUUAAAGAAGUGAAGCGAGAAAGUUGGGUUAGAUUUGUGGAGGGCGGUCAGCUCAAGCUUAGAAUUGGAGAGAGCGUUUGUCGCCCUGAAAAGUGCAGACACAUUAGGAAAUUUCUUUUAUAAAUUUUUAUUAUUUCUGCAGAGAGAGAAAGCGACGAGGAAAACGCACUAAACUUGUACAGUUGGUUGAGAUCAGGAGAAAACAAGUUCGCUGGGUUGGGUUAGAUUUUUGGGUCAGUUCGAGCUGCCAUAAGCUUCCAAUAUUUACAAGAUUGGGGCUGAAUUUGGAUUUCGGCUCAAUCCGGUUUCCCGAAUCGUUUUUAGUGUUUUUUAUCAUCAAGUAGUAGGGGAAUAAUUAUCUAGUUUGAAUUAGUUUGAAUCAGAUUUGAGGGUAUAUAAACUUCCUUUCUCAAAAAAAAAAAAUAAAAAAAUCAAUCAACCCUCUUCACCAAAAAUAUAUUCAAUUAAACUUUUAAACUUUUAAGUUGUAUCAAUUAAAUUUUUUGCAACAUUUUUCAUCUUUGACUACUGUAGCAUUAAGGUAACGUUUUGUGUCAGUAACAGUUGUUGAUGUGGCAGUGUCAAGUCAGCUGCCACCUUAGUAAAAAAAUAAAAAUUUUAAUUUUUUUAAAUUAAAAGGAAUAUUUUUUAUGUUUUACUUGAAUGAAUUUAAAUAAAUAAUUGUCCAAAUUCAUUCAUUUCAAAAUUUAUUUUUUUAAAAAGUUAAAAAUUAAUUUUUUAAAUUUUUUUAUAAAUAUGUAGACUUAAUUAUAGGUCGUGUUGAAUUAUACAGAAAUGAUAUCUCAAGAAUAUUGCUUUUAUUAUUUCUCAAAGACUACUAUCGUAUAGGAAGUACAUACAUCUUUAUAUAGUUGAAGCUAACCCUUUCAGUUACUAACUGCCACUUUAACUACUACUAACGGUCUUGACUAACUGACUAACCACCUUUAUUCAUUACUCUAACAUCGGGCUAAGCUAAUACAAAAUUUUAAUUAUGUUUUCUAGACCCAAAUUUGGUCCAAAAAUAGGUUUAAAAUUUUACCCAAACUCGUCCUAGAUAAAAAAUGUUAAACCUGAGCCCAGCUCGACCAGUAUUUAAAAUUUUUAUAUUAUUUUUAUAUAAAAACAAUUUUAUAAAUACAAUACAUGAAAUACAUUAAAAACAUUAAAAUAAUGUUUCUCAAUAAAUUAAAAAUACAUUAAGAAAUAUUUAUACUUAAAUAAAACUAAGAUAGUUAUAACUUAGCAAGCAAAUGCUUCUAAAACAGUAGUAAGGGUAAUAAUAAAAAAAGAGUUAUACAAUAUCCAAAUAAUAAUAACAAAAUAGUAACAAUAUAAUAGCAAAAAAAAAGAAAAAAAAAAGGCAAAUUUGAGCCAAGUUUGGGCCAAAAAAUAUUACCCAAUGUUUGGCUCUUUUAGAAAAUAGAUCUUAUUUUUUGUUUAAGCCCAUUUUUCAGACCUAUAUUUUUAUCCAAAUCCUAUCACUUUUCAAGCGAGCUUUCUAACUUGGAUGAGUAGCCCGAUCAAUAACCAUUUAGAUUCAUUGAAGACAAUUUUUCUAAAUUAUAUAAAAUUUUAAAAUAUUAAAAAAUAUAUAUUUUUAAAUAUGUAUCAAUUUUUAAAUUCUGAUACUUUUUUAGAUAUAUAAAAAAUAAAAAUUUAUUUUGGAAAAUAAAUAAAUUUAUUCUUCAAUAAGGAAAGGAAGGGGAAUUUAACACUUGCCAAGAAUUUUCGUUAUUGGACAACAAAUCCAUCAAUUAAAUAAAAUAAUAAGUGAACUUUACAUGUCAUUUUUCAUGAACUUGACUGUUCAUAUAUUAAUAAGAGAUGGACCAAAGCACAUGAUCAAGAUCAAUCUAAACAUGAGAUGGAUUUUUCAUGACCAUAUGUACUUAUAUAAAGAUUGAAAAAUAAAUUUAUAUAUAUUUUUUAUUUUUUAUAUUUCUUAAAAUGUAUCAAUAGAAUUUAUAUCAUAUUUUUAAAUAAAAUAACUUUUAAUAUUUUUAAAAUUUUAUAUAAUUUAGAAAAAUUAUCUUCUAUAUGUCCAUAUUCAUAGUGAAUGUGGACAACCAUAUCUCCUGUUUCAUUUUGAAUUUAACUUCUAAAUGGUUUUUAUUGUUUUGAAAAUUUUAGUUUUAUUUAAUAUUUUUAUAAAUUUAAAAAGAUUAAGUUUUGAAAUGAAUGAAUCUAUCCAAGUUGAUUCCAAUAAAACAUUAUAAAAAAAAUUUUCUUUUUAUUUUUUUAUGUAGCAAAUAACCUGACACUACCACAUUAACAACAAUAACAAUCAAAGAUAAUUUGAUCAAAAAGCUUACUUAAUUGAGUGCAUUUUAAAGGGAAAAACUUAAUUACCACUUUAGCAAUAAUAAAAAUUUAACAGUAAGGAACAGUUGACAUUAGUUGUUUUAUUUUUAAUAUAUUAAUAAUAUAUAAAAAAUAUUAACUUACGGUCAAGUGUACUGAUCCAAGCCAUGCGAAUUUGUCUAGGGUCUCUUUCGGAUUCCAACUCACCCCGGGUGAGAUAAAAAUUUAGCUAAUAAUUUUUUUCCAAUUCAAUUGUGAAAUUUAUAAUUUAUAAUUUUUGUUUUUUAUAUUUUAUGAUAAAAUCAGUAUGCCGGUACCUACAUCCUCCUUAUCGUUGUAAACCACAACAGUGUCAACAGAAGCUCAAUUGGCUCAAAGACGAAUAUUUUAAACUGAAAAUACCAAAAUGGAAUGAAAUUGAAGGUAACAACGCUGUAAAAAUUCAAGCCUAAGGUCCAAUCUAGAAAAUAAAAACAGAAGUCGAGGAAGGAAAUACAUGUGCCCAUGACAGCAAAAAUAUAAACGGAUCAUCAAUUAGUUCAAUAUGUUAAAAGGAACUUCAAGAAAAAAAGCAUACUUGAUUCAAUCAUUUCUUUAGGAAGAUAACACUCCUUUCACUUGAUUUUUCAAAACUUGGAAAAUUUAUCUAGGUAACCUCCCCUUUGCAUCAAUCAGCCCGAGUAAAAACCCAUUCAGUAAACUAAUCAAACUAUCAACUUUUGAAACAUCUACUCCAGUUAGCUAGGUUUCACUUUCAACACAGACUUACAAAUACCAACUACCACACUGCCAAGUAAUCAAAAUGCAUGCACAUCAACUUCAUCAUGUAAAGAGUUGAACGCAGUUAUCACUAGCCUGCAAAUUGGAGGUUAUUUUCAGCAUGCAUAACAUGCAUAGGGAAACAGAGAAAUCGAAUAGAAAUUUCAAGAAGGCAAAAAGAAUCUAAUUACGAAAGAAAACUAUAUAGACAGAAAGAAAUAUAAUUUCCAGGAUGUGUAUAUUCUAAGGCAGCAAACAACAGAACUACAGAAUCUUCACAUCAAUUAAAGAAAGAGCUAACUUGUCUCCAUUAUGAACAUGCAUGCAUCUCUUUGAACACCUCUGAAUGAAAGACACACCAGCAUUUUUAUCACUGCUUAAUUGUGACAUCCUCCUAGCUGUAGGGUACUGAAAGAAAUUACUUAAUUCCACUAGUUUACACUAGAAAAUACGAUAAUUCAGCUAGGAGAAAAUAUAAACAAAUGAAGCUUGCAUUACAUUUGAAUACUUCGCAGUUCUCACAAGAUACAUCAUGUAUAGCUAACAAAGACAGUUUGGGUCCAAAGACAUGUAACACCUAUUGAUGGAAAUUGAAUCUUUCAUACAUAUAGAAUUAUAAUCUAUUAAUGAAAAUAGAAUCUUUAAAUACAUUUAGAAAUAGAUUUGUUUGCAAGUAUGCCAUAACUUUACUAAUAACAUAUCCCUGGUGAGGGAGUUUCAGUUUUCGAAAAUGAAAUUCUUGAAUCUUAAACAGUCAAAAGUUGAAGAAAAAUAAAUCAAAUAUCACAAAUCUGAUACGCAAGUUAAUACUAAAAUUUGGACACAUUGGAAACUAUUUUGCAUAAUGCAACAGUAAACUAGCCAGGUUAUGCAUGCAUGCAAUAUUAGCAUGGAUAUAACUGUAAAUGCAGCAAUCUACUUCAACAAGAGAGAAAUGGUACAUGCAUGUGCUGAAUUAUGACAAGAGGACUAACCAAAAGGUUCCUAAAAUACUAGUAGAAAAGAGAGGUUCGAAUGUCUAAUUCUUCAAACUUCCAUGUGAAGAAAAAGAAUAUGCUUGCAGAAAGGAGUCUACACCCAACAAAGAGGGAAAAGCUAAAUUAGAAAGACUGAAUCAUGCAAUAAGUACAUGGCAGUGCAGAAAUAAUAGUGCUAAAUAUAGGAGUGAAUCAAAAACAAAAUAUUGCUUAAGUUCCGAAAUAACCUGAACAAAACUACAGUGAAGAGCAAUAAGUAAACGGCCAACUUGAUAAAACGAUAUUUCUUCUCAGUAUUAAGAUCUCUGAAAAUCUCAGUAACAUCAAGAAGAUGCUUCUGAUUCAAGUACCUGAAACAUCAAUUAUAAAUAAAACAUUAUGCAGUCACAAAUUGAAUGCAGAAAUUAGUUCAAAACGUAACUAUAUUAAAAGGAAAGUUAGUUGAUUCACUUGUCUACUUCAUUUUUCAAUCGAUUAUAAGGAUCCAUGAUACAAGCAUUGCCUAGAGUUAGCAUUUCAAAACAAAUCUUUUAACUUAAAAAGAUUUCUUGCUUGAAGAAUUUCCUUUAACACAACUAUACACAUCUGUCUCUCUGAAAUGGUGAUAGAAUCUUAUGAAUUCACAACUUUCUAAAUAUAAUACUAACAGUUUUGAAAGCACAGAUAACCACAGGGCAAAGAUCCAAGUCAAAGUCCAAAAUUAAAAUUUAAAACCAAGCUCCUAGCAAGAUUCAAAUCUUGUUCUCGUAUAUCUACAUCAUCAUCGGUCUCGACCUAUAAAGUCUAAAUUAUUUGACCUGAUUCAAACCUAACAGAGCAAAGAAGGGGGGGGAUGCCAUUGUAGAAUAAUCAGAGUAAACUUAAAUGCAUAGUUUAUUUAGGGAGGAAGGAAAGGAACUUACAACAUGAGAUGAUAAGCAGCAAUAGGAAGAGUGAAAAGAAACAUGAACCAAUGCCAGGUGAGCAGGAAAGAAAUGCAGAGAAAUCCUUGCAAAAGGAACUCCGGGAGAACAAUCGAAUUAAUCCGAGUCGAAGCUUCGAAAGGAUUCAGAUGAUCAGCCUCAAGAUCUGAUAAUGAUAACAACUGUGCCGAAACAAAAUUAGAGAAGAUCAAAAAACCAAAGAAAGAAAGAAAAGAGGAGAGAAGAGUAUGAUUACCUGAUAGAAGGAUGAAGCAAGAAGAGCAAUGUUGAUGAAGAAACAGACAACCCAGAAAAUUAAAUCCCAAGCCAUUUUCCCCCAACAAUUUUAAAGCUCUGAUUAGCAGCCUUUUAUUCUUCUUCUAUUUCCUUCAGAGAGAAAAAGAAAAAGAAAAACCCUUUGUUUUACAGGGUUUUUUACUUUAUUUGAACUGAGUGAAAGGGGAAUAAAUGGAUCAUGGAACACGGAAGGUCUUUUAUUUUCACUUUUCAGCGUAGGAGCGUGCCUCUCCUUUUUCGGCUUCCUCAAAAUGAGAUAAUAUUAUAAAUUGCAAAAUAGAUCAUUUUAAAAUUUUUAAAAUUUAUUAUAAGUUCACUAAUAUUAUCAAUUUUCUAUAUUAUAGCUGUUGACAAUGUAGGAUUUAAGAACGUAAAACUAAAUUGAGGCUAUUUUACCGAUCGAGAUCAAAAAAUUUUGAUAUUUAUAAAAAUGACUCAGGUUUAAAAAUAAUCACUAAAAUGACCUGAAAUAAAUAGUAAAAUAGGGAUUUAGGAACCCAAUAACCAGCACUAACUAGUGUUUUGGUCCCAUGAUUGUCUUAUUAUUGUGUCAAGCUUUAAAAAAUUAUUAUUUUUUACUUUGGGAACCCAAUGUCCAGCACCAGAGUUUUUUUUUAAAUCGUAUCAUACUAGUAUAUAAAAAUAUCAGUAUUUAAAAAAAAUUGGCCAACUGCGGACUUGACGUCAUCCCCACCUUCCUCUAGUAUAUCACUGGCAGUCCCUCGUGAGUGCGGCAUGCACCUUUUUGUUUGUUUCGGAGCCGUUUUGUUUUGGCGGGGCGUACUAAACCCACUACGUACCACACCACUGGGCGGCUCGCCUGAAUGCCGAGUCUUUCUCCGCCGCCAACUCGACGUCGUCGUCACCUGCAAGAUAAGGCCAAAAACUUGACUUUCUAAACAAGCGAGAAAAGAAAGCCCUUUCUAUGUUAUUAGUAAAGCGCGCUAGCAGACCUUUUUCGUGUCCUAAUGUAAAUUUUUUUACUUUGGUACACUAAUGGUCGGCACUAGAGAUGUAAAAAAAAAUAUUUAAGUGAAAUUUAAAGGACUACAUCCUAAAAGCCUACUAUUUGACCCAAUAAUUCAGAGCUAAAAAAAUAAAAUAAAAAACCCAAAUGAUUUUAAAUAAGAAAUUUUUUUAUUUAAGUGAAAUUAAAAAAUUUGUAAUGGAAUGAUAUUUAAAUUGAAAAAAAUUUAGAUAAAAUCUGAGAAAUUAUAAAUGACCCUGAUAUUAAGACUACUUAUAAUCAAGUAUGAAAAAAUAUAUGAAAUGAAUUGAAAAAAAAAUUAAAUUGAAAAAAGAUAACUUGAAUAUGAAUAUGAAUUGAAAUGAAAUGAUGAUUCUGAAAUGGAAUAAAAUUUUAAAUGAAAAUAAAUUAUAAAUUUAAAUGAAAAUAAAAACUGAAAUGAAAAAAAAAGUGAAAUGCUAAAUAAAUAAAUAAAUAAAAAUAGAAAACUUAAAUUUAAAUGAAAUAAAAUGUAAAUAAAAAUGAAAAAAAAAUUUGACAUGUUAAGGCCUCUGCCUGUGUUAGGCUUACAUUAUUGCCCAAUGUCAAAUUGACCUUUUAAUGGCCGACAAUAGUAUGUCAAUUUAGCAUUAGGCAAUGAUGCAAGCCGGACUCAAGCACAAGCUCUGACAUGUCAAGCUUUUUUUAUUUUUUUCAUUUCUAUUUGAAUUUCAAAUUUUAUUUAUAUUUCAUUUCAUUUAAAUUUAAAUUUUCUAUUUUUAUUUAUUUUUUUAUUUAUCAUUUCAACUUUUUUCAUUUAAAUUUAUAAUUUAUUUUCAUUUAAACUUUUAUUUCAUUUCAUAAUCAUCAUUUCAUUUCAUUUCAUAUUCAUUACAAAUUACAUUUCAUUUCAUAUUCAUAUUCAAGUUAUCUUUUUUUAAUUCAAAUUUUUUUCAAUUCAUUUCAUUUUUUUCAUAUCUGAUUAUAAUUAGUCUCAAUAUUAGGGUUAUUUAUAAUUUCUCAUAUUUUAUUUAAUUUUUUUCAAUUUAAAUAUCAUUCCAUUACAAAAUUUUAAAUUUUACUUGAAUAAAAAAAUUUCUUAUUUCAAAAAUUUCUUAUUUCAAUUUUUUUGGGUUUUUCUUUUAUUUUGUGGGCCUGAAAUAUUGGGUUAAUUACUAGGGAGUAGGCCUUUAGGAUGUAGGCCUUUAAAUUUCACUAAAAUAAUUUUUUUUACAUCUUUGGUGUCGGCUAUUAGUGUACCAAAGUUAAAAAAAUUAAUUUUUUAAAGUCUAACACUAUAAUCAUCCAAUCAUGGGACUAAAACACUGGGUAGUGCCGGUUAUUGGAUUCUCAAAACCCUAUUUUACUGUUCAUUUUAAGUUAUUUUAGUGAUUAUUUUUAAACCUGAGUUAUUUUUAUAAAUAUUAAAAAAUUUUGAAUUAAAUUAAUAAAAUAGCCCUAAAUUGAUAUGGUACGUUAAUCAUUUCUCCCUUUCGUAACAUUAGCUAGUACCGACGCUAACAAUGUCUCUAGUGGUCUUUUCCAGUCGUAACAUCCAAAAUGCAUAAAUAAACUAUAGAGUAUCCAUAUAAAUUAUGAGCAAAAGAUUAAUCGAGAUUUAGAAUAAACAACCACUUUUUAUCUACACGUCAAUAAAAUCCAUGCUUCAAAUCCAGUUGAAUAAAUGUAAAACAAAAACUACAUCACAACUCCCUAAAUAUAAUGGAGUUUUCAUCUUCAUGCUUGAUCCUCACAAGGUUGGAUUCACAAUUUCUAGUUAAGCUUCGUUCAGCUUACAUCAUAAUUAGAUAUCUCCAUGGACUGGGUUGAGCUAAGUUUGAGUUUGACAUUAUUAAAAUUUUAAGCCUAUUUGCUAGGCUCGAGCUUAGCUUUAUUGCUUGAAUUAAUUUUUUAUAUAUAAUUUUUUUAAAAUAUAUAUAAUACAUCAAAAAUAUUAAAAAUAUUAAAAUAAAUGCUUCCUAACAAAUUGAAAAUAAAUUUAAAAAAUAUUUAUACUUAAAUAACACUCAAGACAGGUGUAACUUAACAAACAAAUCACUCUAAAAUAGUAACAAAAUUAAUAAUAAAAUAAGAGUUAUACAAUAUCCAAGCAAUAACAACAAAAUAGUAAUAAUAUAAUAGUGAAAUUGUAGCAAAACAGUGAGAAAACAAAAAAAAUAGUAACAAAACAACAACAACAACAAAAUAAUAAAAUAGCAUUUUUUUUUGCUAGUUCGAGCUGGGCUGGGUUUAGGGCCAAAAAAGCCUUAAACAGACUCGUUUCAUUUGUUUUUUUGCUUAACCUAUUUUUCGUGCCUAUAUUUUUACUAAAAAACUCUUACUUUUCGGACAUGCCUUCAGACUAAGCCGGGUGGUCUAGCCAUAAAUAGGUCUAAUCAUAACUAACUUAAUUUUUCAAAUUUUUAUUCAUAAUUAACUUAAGUGACAAAUAAGUUAAUGAAUAAACUAGAGCAGAGUGUAAUGAGAUGUUAACUUAACCAAAAUAAUAGAAAAAUUAGUGUAUAUCAAGAUGUUAAGUUCGAGAAAUGAGGAAGUUGAAAUUUAGAGGCAUAAGAAAAACAUUAUUACAAUUUCUUUACGUAUUUUGAAGAAGAACAAGAGACCACGACAUUAAUGCAAGACCUGAUCCCUCCAUCUUCAUCUUCUCCUAUCCAUGUUGGAGAAAGCUCGAGUGAAAGACCUUGAAAAAUGAGAAGUGUCUAUGAUUUAUUUGUAUUGCUACUAAAGCUAUUAAUGAUUUGUUUUGCCUUUUGUAGAUAGUGAACUAUGACAGACAAAAGAUGAAAUUUACCCAUGGAUGAAAAAAUCAAAUCAAUUCAGAAAAACACCACCUAGAAGUAAUCAGUACUUCAAAAAAGGGCAUUAAACUAUUGGAGUUAAAAGUGAAAAACAUCACUUAAAAAUUUAAAAUAAUAAAAUUUAACUUAAUGAAUUUAAUUAUUAAUAUUAUUGGAUUUGAAACUUCAAGAAUUUUAAAGUAAAAACAUUAAAAUUGACUAAAUUAAAGUAUAAUGACUAAAUUUAUAAUUUAUGAAAAUACAUCGACUAUUAAACAAUUAAUAAAAGAUUAAAAUAUACCAUAUGUUCUUGUACUCUUCGUAAAUUUAUAAUUUAGCCAUUGUACUUUUAUUUCUAAGAAUUUAGUCAUUCUACUUUUUAGAUUUUAAAAUUCAGGUCCAACAGUUAAUUCUAUUAAAAUUAUUUUGUUUAAUUUAAGUUUAUUAAUGUUUUUUUCUAGUUACAUUGCUGCCAAACGAUUUUUUUUUAAUUUUAAAAUGUCACACCAAUAAAUUAAAAAAAGAAUUAACAAUGUUAACAAUUGACCUUAAAUUUUAAUAUCUAAAAAGUAGAGGGACUAAAUUUCUGAAAAUAAAAGUACAGGGACUAAAUUAUAAAAUUUUAGAGUAUAGGGACCUAUGACAUAUUUUAACCCUCAUAAAACUUCAUGCUGUUUCUAUUCAAAAUAAGCAGCGAAAGCGUUAAGGAACGAUGCCGUGCAGAUGACUCAGGUUUGGACCAUGAUGAAAACGGUUGUUCCAGAAGUAAAAACAGUACACUGUUUUCUAUGUAAGAACACAAAGAGAGAAAGAGGAGAGGGAGCAAGAAGCUAACAUCUCCGAUACGCCUAAAAGGGAUAAUGAAUUAUUAGAACAAGUUUUAGAAAGAGGGGAAACUAAAAUCCAUUGCUUGUCCUCUCAACUGAACCUUUUUGGUGUGAUUUCCUGGUAAUUCUUUCUUUCCUGAUGAUUCUUUUCUAUUUCCAUAAUCCAACCCUUUAACCCUUUCUUUUCAUCUACUCUUAUGAUCCUUCCCUUUUUCGCCCCCUAUUUUCUUCCAUUUCCUUUCCUUUUCUUAAACUAUCAUUUUCCAUUUUCUCAUCCCAUCAGGUUUGCUUUCUCCUUUUCUCUUUUCAUAUUCAUCUCUCUCUCUCUCUCUCUCUCUCUCUCUCUCUCUCUCUCUAUCUUUUUCAGAAUUUUUCUUCGUUUUUUUAUUAUUAGGGCACUUUUUAUUUAUUUAAUUUUGUCUCCCUGUUUUUUUUUUGAACAUUUAUGCUCUUUGUUGUUGUUACAAUUAACUUUAUGAGUUUUAACAUUGGCCUUAUAGUUAUAGCAUUGGAUAAGAGGGUUCUAAUUUCCAAAACAGAUGGGUUAGUUGGUUUGGUGAUGAACUGAUGAUAUGACUGCUUUUGUAUCUGCAAUACAGAAUCAGCAUUAGUAAUAAUAAUAGAAUCAUAAGGGUCUAGUUUCUUGUUGUUUCUAUAAGAUGCUAUAGAGUAUUGCUUUAAGUAAGAAACCGAUUAGUAUAUGAAUAUGGCAAAAGGAUGAGUAGUAUUCAGAAGUGGUUCCAAAGUUUUUAGGGAUUCGAUAAAAAAUGGCAUGAUCAUUCUAAUGUUUUCCUAAUUGCUUCAGAUCUUAACUUUUUCUAAGUAAUCUUUUUUUUUUUGUGUGUGUGUGUGGGGGGGGGGGAAUUUUCUUUAUUCAAUUUUUCAUGGAAUUGAAUGGUGCAAAAUGAAUCUUCAGUUGACAAACAAUGAACCUAAUCUGAUUUUUGGCCAGGGUUCUCAGGUUGACAUGAAAUUUAAAGCUAACCUUGUUCAGAGUUUCAAUUUGAGAAUUGAACAUUCCUAAUUCAGCAGUCAACCUAGUUUGUUCUUUGGCUUGGGCUGAUCAGGUUGUCAUGAAAAAUAUGGCCGAUUAUGAGGUCAGGAAUCAACAAUUGAGCUAACCUAAAUCUGAGACUUAUUAUUUUAUUCAAGAGAAUUUUUUUUGUCUGUAUGUAAUAAGAUAACUCUUAUACGGACUUUAUGUGUUUCAUCAUAAGAAUAUAUGUUCUUGUGAUAUGUUAAGUACGAGGUGGGAAACAUUAGCAUUUGGGACCCCAUUUGGAGUAGACAUGCAUUAUGCUAUUGCCUUUCUCACCAUAGGUCCAAUUCUGAGAAACUGUUUUUCAUAAAGUAAUGGGUAUCAAUGAUACUAUUUACCAUUGAAAAAACCAUUUUGCCCAACUGCAAAGUAUAAAAUUUUCAAGUCAAGGUACUGAAAUGUAGUAUUUAACCUACUUAUACUCAUGCAUGAUGUUUUGAGUAUGGUUAUUCCAUAAUUUGGCUGAUACUUGCGUAUAAUCUCUAUAAAUUGAAUUAUACACAAUGGGGAAAAAAUGCAACUUGAUUUUUUCAAAUUGAUGAUUGUUUUUUAAGUCGACUAAUUGUUUGAUUACAUAAAUUUGACAUUUAUUCCUUUGGGUUAUUGUGCAUUAAGCUCUCUGUACUGUGCUUGUGUAUCAGGUUUCGCCAACAUGAUGGUUUGUUCUCCCAUCAGCACAUGUGUUAAGAAUGUUGUCCACUUGAGGGGACGGAUGAGCAGCAGUCUCCGCGGCAUCAUUUCCUGCGGAUCAUCCAGUUCCUGCUGCUAUUGUUUAUACUCUGGAACCAAGGUGAAAUAUACUGGUCUUUCUGUAUCCAAUACAACGUCUUUUGGCUGCCAAGACUUCCAAGCAAGCUGCUUCCGCUCAUCUAGGCGAAGUGGCAAAUUCCAGACUCUAGCAAUUAACGAAUCAAUUAGUAAUAAAGAAAAACUGAAAAGACAGCUUGAAAUUUCUUGGGCCGGUCAAAGUAUGAAAAUGAGGCUUUUGCUGCCCAAACAUGGAACAUUUCAAAAAUUCAAAUGCAUCGGAGGAUCUCAAUCCUGGCCUCCAGGUUCUGUAUCUGCUGGCUUAGCUUUUGGUUUGUUAAUUUGUUAUUCGAGUUCUGAACCAGUACAUGCAGAAGCUGGUGGGGCAAAGCAGGGAAAGGAAGAUGAGCAUGAUCCUUCUCAUGCUCAAUUCUCUCAUGGGAAAAAGGUCUAUACCGAUUAUUCUGUUAUUGGUGAGUGGCAGAUUAUACCCUAGUCCUUAUGCAGCCUGGUCAGAAAGUACUUGCUCACAGUUAUCAAAUUUCAACUGGAGGUAUCAGUUUAAUCACUUCCCUAAGUCUUAAAUCAUGCAGGAAUACCUGGAGAUGGAAGAUGUAUGUUUCGCUCUGUGGCUCAUGGAGCUUGUUUAAGAUCUGGGAAAUCAGCUCCAAGUGAGCAAGUUCAGAGAGAGCUGGCAGAUGACUUAAGAGCUAAAGUACAUUCUUAAUCUCUGCUUCCAUAAACUCUUUUCUUUGGUGUUGUUUUUAUUAAAAAGGCAUCUUUCCUUCUGAUUGGUUUCUUGAUUAUAUACUAUGCAUAUCCCUUCUUAUAACUUGCGAUUGCUAAGUUUGCAGAUUUUCCUGACCUUCUUAUAAAAUAUUUUACUGAAUCAAAUUUGAUGCUGGUUUGUUUGAUAUAUGGAUAUUCUGUUAGAUUCCUGAUCUUUUUAAGCCGACAAUUUCGUUUGAUGCAUAAUCUAGUGUUACCUUCUCUGCAAUAUGUAAUUUUUCAGGUUGCAGAUGAAUUCAUCAAACGAAGAAAAGAAACGGAAUGGUAAGCCUGUUUGGUUUUGUCAGCUUUUAGACUCAUUUCUUUGUCACUUUUUCUGGCUGCUAUUUUUUUGCCAGAAGAAACUUCCAAAGUUCCACCUAUUGUUAAAUUCUAUGAAAGGAAAGAAAGACUUCGAUGAGAGGAGUCAUGUAGGCAAUUCUUUAUCUACAUGAAAACAAAAAUACUUUGUCAUUCACCUUGGGCAAAAAAACAUACGACAUUCACCUUUCUAAAGAAGACAUUGCAUGAUUUGGGUUAAAAAACAUUUCUUUUAAACAUGUAUCUGAUUAAUAAUGCCAACAGGUUUGUUGAAGGAGAUUUCGAUACCUAUGUUUCACAUAUAAGGAAGCCACAUGUGUGGGGAGGUGAACCUGAACUGUUCAUGUCUUCACAUGUUCUCCAGUAAGUCUUUGUUUUGUGUAUUUUAUUGAGCAUGGCUUCUUUCCCUCUUUCCUUUUAUAAAUCAAAUAAUGUAUAAAUGUACUGUUAACUUGAUGAUGGCAUCUGGCAGGAUGCCGAUCACGGUCUACAUGUAUGACAGGGAUGCCGGUGGCUUGAUUGCCAUUGCUGAGUAUGGCCUAGAAUAUGGUACUGAAAAUCCAAUCAGAGUUCUCUACCAUGGUUUUGGUCAUUAUGAUGCGCUGCAGAUGCCUGGAAGUAAACCAGGUAAAUCAAAGCUUUAGCUUUCAGAUUCUGACUGCUAAUAAGUAUUACCAUUGAAUUUCUAGGGCAUAUAACGUGUAACUAUUUGUAUGCAAAUUAAAGAUUAUUCAUGAUUUUUUUAUUGACGUAAUAAAUUACUUUUUCAUUUGACCUUGUACAUGAUGUGAGCAGAAAACUCGUUUAAUACACACAUUAUAUUCAUGUUAUCACGAAAAGAGAUGUAAAAUGACAUUUAUGUAGGGAUAGUGAGGUGAGAAAUAGUGGACAGUUUGUGGGAUAUUUUGUUUGUUUGGUUUUGGUUUUGUGAUUGAUGGGUAAAAUGCGAUUAUAGUACAUCUCGUGGGGUUAAAAAUGACUAUAAGAAAAUCAAAUUAGGUGACUCAGCAGCAGUUGGGAGUCGAUCUCUAUUUGAAGAUGUAAAUGGGCGUAGGAUGAGAUUGAAAAUAGCGAUAUUGAUCUUACUUAUUGUAAUGAUAUUGGAUAAUUUAGUUAUUAUAUUAAAAUUAGUGGUGAGAUUGAAAAUGAAAAUUUAUUUUUAAAGUCUGUAUUAAUUAACAGUAUUUAACAUUUAAAAUUUUAGCUAAUCGCAUCUUUUAUAUUCAUUAUACUAUAUUAAAUGAUCAAAUUUUAAAAAUUUCAAAGCUAAAGUAAAAGUAAUUAUUAUCUUAAAACAAAAGAUGAGAGAAAUAAAGGAAAUAAAUCCUUACAUUUGGAGAAAAUUGGAGUGUGAUGGAACUACGGCAUGGAUGCAUCCACGAUGUAGUUGGGUCAAGAAUAGAUGUUUUUAAAAAUAAGAAAUUUUUAUAAUAAAUCUAUGACAAAGUGUUUGAAUUUUCUAUUUAUUAGAAUUAUAGUCUAAUAUCUUCUUGAAUUCUCGGAUGCUCAUGAGAAUGGGUUUUAACUCCAUAAAACUAAACAUAGUGUAUACAUCCAGAUUUCUUACCUAUCUUCAAAUUGAAAAUUCAACUUCUAAAUUAUAAUUCGCGCAAAUUUUGACAGUUUUUUCUACUAAAUUGAUGCAUAUUUUUUUGAGAUAAAUUUUAAAACUAUACAUGAAUUAUAAUUUAAUGUAUAAUUGUACAUAUAAAUUUUAGUUUAAUGUAAUUAUACACGUGAAAUUUUAAUUGUGGUUCAAGUUUAUAUUUAAAACUUUAAUUUUAAUUUAAUUAUACAUAUUUAAAGAAAUAAAUACAUCAAUAACUGAAAUUAACAAUUAUAUAAUAUAUAUUAUUUAUUUUGAUUAAUUACUCAAUUUCAAGCUGAAUUAAUCGAUAGUUAAAAAUUUUAAAAAUCAUUAAUUAAUCUUCAAUUAAAUUAAAUUUAAUCACCGAUUGAUUAAUAGAAUUUAAUUAAAUUUAAACUUAACUAUGAACCCACUUACUUCUUAUAAUGCUGAGUAAGGUAUUUUUAAAAAAUUACUUUUCACUCUUUUCAGAACUAAAAGAAGAAACAUUAAAAACUAUAUUUAUAGUAACUUCAAAAAAGAAAUGGAGAAGCAGGUGAAGUAGAAAAAAAAAAACAAAAUAGGUUGGAGACAGUACGAAAAAGAAAUAAUAAUAAAAGAAAAAAGGGUGGGAGAUGAGAUGAAUGGAAAGGAGGCGGUAGAUUAAGUGAUGUCACGGGUGACGUGAGUGGAGGCGUAAUCACGGACCCAAUAAGUUUCAAUUUUCGUGUGGUUUCCGCCUUAUCCCCGUGGUUUCUGUUCCACUAUUCAUUCCCCUUCUUCUCUUUCUUUAUUAAUUUCAUUUAAUCAUAAAGGUUAAUUGAGUCACAGAUUCAUAGUAGGGUUGACAUUCAUUUUUUAUUACUCUUAACAUCAAUUAUUAUUCUGAGUAAGAAUUUAAGCUUAUUUGAGUAGAAUAUACAUGUUUCCAGAUUUACUCCCUAAAACGGAUGUCACUAUUUCUCUUUAUUUUCACAUCAUUCAAGUUUUUUAAAAUAUUUUAAUCUAACUGUAAUUAUUUUAAGUCAAAAUAAAUUCUUGCAAUUUUAAAAAAAUGAACUUUAAAGUGUAUUAAUACAAUAAUUACAUAAAUAUAAAUUAUAGUGAAUUAAUCGAUUGAAUUACAUAAAAUAAUGUCGUUUUUUCAAAAAUAUUUAUUGAAUUAAGUUGAUUUUUUUGUAAAAUGAUGGGAUCAAGUUAAAAUAACGUAAACGCUUCCCUCAACGAUCACCCCCUUAAAUAGCCAUAGAGGUGCUCAUGGGUCGGGCUGGGUCGGGUUUGGGCUCAACUAAAAUUUUAGGCCCAUCUACUAGGCCAUAGUUAGCUCGGCCCAAAAAAUGGGCCUAAAAUUUUAUCCAAACUCGACCCGGAUAAAAAUGUUGAAACCCUAGCCUGACCUGGCCCGCCUGUAUUAAUUUUUUAUAUUAUUUUUAUAUAAUUUUUAAAUAUAUAUAAUACAUCAAAAUAAAUAUUUCCCAGCAAAUUGAAAAUAAAUUUUAAAAAAUAUGUAGACUUAAAUAAUACUUAGAUAAAUACAGCUUAACAAGCAAAUGCCUCUAAAUUAAUAACAAAAUUAAUAAAUGCCUUUAAAAUAAUAACAAAAUUAACAAUAAAAUAGGUUUUAUUCAAUAUCCAAAGAAUAACAAUAAAAUAGUAGCAACAUAAUAGUAAAAUGGUAACAACAUAAGGAGAAAACAACAAGAAAAUAACGUUAAAAAAGAGAGAGUAGAUUUUCUUUAUCUUUUAGUGAAUUAGGGUCGAGCCAGGUCCAGGCCAAAAAUACCUUAUCCAAAGCCUGACUCAUUUUUUAAACGGGCCCUAUUUUUUUGCCCAAACCCUCUCACUUUUUGGGCAAGCCUUUGGGCCAAGCCGGGUGGCUCAACCCAUGAUCAGGUCUACGUGGGAACCAACAGCCCCCCAAACGAUCACUUUUUAUUUUCUAUAUAAACCUUCCCAUUUCUUUUUUUUUUCUAUUCAAUCUCAACUCUCUCACAUUCUCAAAUUUCUCUCAAUUCCCUCUUAAUUUUUCAAUCAAAUUUUAUUUCUCCGUCAACUCUUUUUUUUAUUAUUAAAAUUGUCUUAAGAUUUUCGUAAAUUAUUUUCUCUAUUACAAUUUAUUUCAUGUUUUUUGAAAUUAACAAUGACACAAUCUCUAAUUUGUUUAGAUGACAAGCAUAUUUCGAUCGAUUAAUUGCAAAUGGUAAGAAAUUUUUUUGUAUUUAAUGUAGUAUAAUUUAAAUAUUUUCUUAUUAUAUUAAAAUUUAAUAUUUUGUAUAUUUUUUUAUAUAUAUAGGUGAAAUAUCAAAUUUUAGAGACGUAUAUUUAUAAUUUACCCACUCUUCUAUCACACUUAAUAAAUCUUACUUGAGAAAUGUUAAAUUUGUGCAUGUGGCCUUUAUGGAUAAAGGGUGUAAACUUGACCCUACACUUGUAAGCACAAUGAAAACUUGAAACACAAAAUUUCAUUUUCCAUGUGAUGAAUGUAGUAUUACUACGAAGAACACGCACUUAGAGCUUAAAGAUUGAUUUUUUAAUAUAUCAACCAACUAAUUAUCAUAGUUUUACCCAAAAUAUUAGAGACAAUAUUGUUGUAGUACUGCAUAAGUAAUUACUCCCGUUAGCAACUCUAUUUUUGAUAACUACCUAAGUAUCAUGUCAAACAUUUAUACCGUAGAUUCUUUAAUAACUUUAAAUUCUUCGAAUACUAAUUUAAUUAAGAUAUUUAUACAUAUAUAUAUAUAUUAUCGUAACAGUAAUUUUUUAAAUAACAUUAAUAAAAAUUCAUAUAUAUUGAUAUUUCAACUUAUGACUCUAAUCUCUAUAAAAAUUUUAAAACUUCAAUCAAAAUUUUAUAAAAAAAUUAAUAAUCUUACUUAAAAUAACCUUUUUACCUUAUUAUGAAUUUGAAAAUCUAAUAAUAUAUUAUUUGAAAAGUAUGAUAAGAGAGGCUAACUUAUCAAUAUAUGGUGGAAAAAAAAUUAAAAAUAUGUUUUUUAAAAUUUAUUGAUUUACCUUGUUUGCUUGAGAAAAAAAAAACACGCCCUACAAAUUAAUUUUUUUGAUUAAAUGGUUAAAUAUUAGUAAUUUUUUAUUAAAUCCUAAGUUUGAUUCAUUUCCUACUAGCAUUUGUAUUUUUUAUUAAAACAUGUUGUUUUAAGUUUUUUUUUUUAAAAUUAAAUUUUUUGACACAGUAAUUUUUUUGGUUAGAUAAUUAGAUAAUUGUAAUUUUAUGAUUGAGUCCUCAAGUAGAAAACUACUAACAUUUAACCCUCUAACUAUAAAAACUGAUGUGUUAAUUUUCAGGAAAAACCGUAUUGUAAACUACGUUUUUUAUUGAUGUAGUUGAACGCGUGCUUUGUAAGACAAUUUUUUUUCUCUCUAAAAAAAUAAUGUAAAUGGAUAAAUUAAAGAAACAUAUAUUGUUAAUUUCUUUUUCAGCUUAUGCUGAUAAAUUAGCCGACAAGAGAAAAUGAUACGUCACUGAAUUAUUUAAAGAAAACGUCAUCACACGGUUUUUAUUUUCCAAGACAAAACGGUGGGAAUUACAGUGAGAAUUGGUUGUAGGUUUAAAAAGUGCGUGUCUUAAUUUGGUUCUUUAAAAAAUUGCUGAUUUGGAAUAUAUCAUUGUACACUUUUUCAAACAACUAAUUAAUUAAAAUUAAACGUUUAAUUAAUCAUUCUAAAAAUAUUAUUUUUCAUCUUUUAAUUUUAAAAAUUAACUACUUACUUAAAAAGUUUAUUUUUUAUUUUUUUAAAAAUAAAACAUAAUAUAAAUCUCAAUUAAAAAAAAAUGUUAGAUUUGUAUGAUGAUGAUUAAAACUUUUAUUAAGCACUUAUUUAACACAAAUUCAAAUUAGAUUACUCUAUCUUCAUCUCUAAUAUUGUAUAAAAAAUUCAAUUAUAAUUUUUUUCAUUCACUUUUUUAUUUUAUUGCAAAAGUAUUUUCUUAUACUAAGAACUAUACUUAACAAUUUUUAAAUCUUAAUAUAAACAUAUAUUUUCAUUUUCAUUAGUUUUUAUUUAAAAAUAUUUUUUAGGAAUUUAUAAGUACAAUCACAAAUAUAUAUUUUUUUAAAAUAUUUAGAACUAGGAUUAAAUUAAUGUAAAAGAUAAUUGGAUUGAAAAUUUCAAUAUAUUUUGACUAAGAUAAAUAAAUUUGGGUAAUGCCUAUGGUAGAGAUUAAACACAAAAUAUAUUUGAGAGAGAAUUCAUGCAUAUAUUUACGGCAUGGUUACAGAAGUAGAUUAGAUUAAUUGAUUGAAUCAUUAUUUUUAAAAAUUGAAUCAAAUUAGUCAAUUAGACCAACAUCCGUCUAAUGUACUUGUCCAAAAUAAAGGGUUAGAUCAUUAACCUACAAAUUGGGUUAAGAACAUGUUGAACCAAUUUUCUAUAUUUUUAAUUUUUUUUAUAAUUUUUAAUAAUUUAUUAAACAAAAUUAAUUAAAUUAAAAAUCGAAAAUCUAACUCAUUUAACUACCUACCCGAUUUUAAAAACCUUAGGUUGGGUUGAAACGGGACGGUGGAAUUGGUGAUGUAUAACAAAAUAAUAUUCAUAACCUUUUUUUGAAAUGGUAGAAACCAAAAUUUGAGAAUUAAAAAAUGGAAUUUCAAAUAUUUUAACAAAAAAUUUGGAAUUUUAUCAUCUUCUCGUUCAUAUUUAUUUAGUACACCAAUAAUGUUCUUUUUUAAUUUCACAAGUAGAUUUAAAAAUUUAUUAUGUGUCCCAUUUUUUUUAUAUAGUUUAUCAUAUUCUCUAUAAAAUACUUGUCAUCACUUCGGCAGUUGUGAAGUCUAAAAACUUCAUUAAUAGUGUAUCAAAUAUUUUUUCUUUAUUAUUUGUUUUAAUUUUUAAAGUAAUUGAACUAGAUGAACUAAAAAUCAAAAGAUGAAUAACUUUGACUUCUUAGGUUAAAAUAAGUUAUAAGUCCUUAUACUUUUCAUAAAAUUAGAAUUUACUCAUUUUACUUUACGAAUUUUAAAAUUUAAGUCUAACUAUUAAUACUAUUAAAAUUAUUUUGUUAAAUUUAUAUUCAUUGCAAUGUUAUUUUUUUUAGUUAAAUUAUAACCAAGUGAGUAAUUUUUUAUUAUUUCAAAACGUUACACUAAUAAGUUCAAUGAUUUUAAGACUUGGAGGUGUAUUUUAAAAUUUAAAAAAUAAAAAAAUUAAAAUUUAAAAAAUAAAACAAAUGUUUUGAGUGCAAUUGAAAUGUUAGGCAGGUGCUGUAAUUGGAAGAAGAAGAGUAAUAUUUAUUGAUUUAGAAAAUAGAAAGGGCAUAGGUGUAAAAAAGGGAAGACAUGAAAUGAAGCCAUGGAUUACAUUGAUGACUCUCCCUCUCCUUGUACUUUUGCCCUUUGACAUUGACUGCUUUCAUUUCAACACAAAACCAAAGCAAAGCAGAUAACUAUCGCAGCCUUUCUUCCUUCUCAUUUGUUUCAGUGUUUCGCUUUUCUACUUUCAGCGCCCCCUUUCUUCCUUGCUUUUUUUGCCCUCAUACUCCAUAUCUCUCUCAUCGUCUUCUUCUUUCCCUUUUUCUCUGCCCACAAAAUCCCUUCUUUAACCAAAAAGUCCAUCUCUUUGUAUAACUUUCAAGUUCCACUUCUUCCCUGGAACACUCUUCUAUUUUCCUUUUUCUCCUUCCCUUGUCAACUUAUUAUCUUGGGCUUUGCUUCUUCUUCAAGAUCUUAUCCCACUCUGCUUACAAAUCAAGCUCAAAUUUUGCUUCCUACAAUUUUUAUGCUUAAAUUCCCCCUUCCACACUGACUUCUGCUACGUACAAUGCCUCUCUAGCUUAAAACUUCUCACACACAAGUAAAACAGGGGCAAAACUAGAGGAAGUUGGCGAUGGAUUCAAGUACCCCUCCAAGUUGUCAAAACCAAAACAGCCAACCCAAUUCGGAGUUGUUGCGUUUCCUUUCUGCUCCCAAUUCUCUUCUCGCUACUUUCAGCGAAAGCCUUGAUACCGGCCUUAGCAAAGGCGGUCCCCACUCCGACAGAUUGACAUACAGAUUCAUGAAUCCAAGCCAGGAUAAAUCUGGGACAGAGGCGACUAUUGACCACGCGAAUUCCCGGCGGACGUUUCCCGGAUUACCCCCUCAUUAUCCCAGACAAACCUCCUCUGCUAUGGAUACCUCAUAUCUCUUAUUGGGAAUGGAUCCACGUUGUGGGAAACCGGUUACGUCCAGCCUAUUGAGGCAAAGCAGCUCGCCCCCAGGGCUAUUUACCAACUUAUUUGUCCAAACUGGUAUUGUUCUUUGUCCCCAUUUAUGAUUGCCAACUUCUUUUCUUGAGGUUUUGAAUGCUUUGGAACAUUUUGAUUAGUUGUUACGGACCAGUCCCUCUAAAAAAAAAAGAAGAAGAUAUUUGUUUUUCUCUUAUCGUUCGACAUUGGAUAGCGACCUAUACCCUUUAAAGUUGACAUUUUGAUUGUGCUGAAUAGAUAUGGUGUUGGAUUAUAGAUCUAUCAAGCUGAUAAUCAUUAAACUUAUUGCAAAUUAAAAUAUACUGAAAAUGGCUUCAGGUGAAAUUGCAGGCUUGGGAAGCUAUACAAAUGGAGAGCUAAGUCCAUCUUCAAGUUCAAACAGAUUGAAGAAUCAGAUUAGCUUCUCAUCAAGACUACCUUCAUCCUUGGGCAUCUUGUCACAGAUUUCCGAAGUUGUCGAUGAUGCUAAACUCGAAACUGGAUGCCAAUACGGUUCUUGGAACGAUUCUGCAAACUUCCCAGAGAACUUUUCUGGCUCGAAAACGACACAAGAUAACGACCCCAACUUCUUUUCCGCCAACCAGGUAUGAUCGAAGUUGCUUAACUUCGAAUAUUGCUUUUCUAAAUUCCUCCGAUAAAUGAAGAUUAGAGCUGUCUUAAUCAAUUUUCGUUUAUGUGUGUUUCUUUAUCAAUAGAACAGUGCUAGUGGAAGUCGUCUUCAUGUAUUGUCUCACCAUUUGAGUCUGCCGAAGACAUCGAAUGAAACGCCUGCCAUGGAGAAGUUUCUAAGCUUUCAAGAUCCAGUCCCUUGUAAGAUUAGAGCUAAGCGUGGGUGCGCUACACAUCCUCGAAGCAUUGCCGAAAGGGUAAAGAAUACCUUCAUCUCAUACUAGUGUACAUGCAUGAACACAUCAUUGUAACUUUGAGUUGCAUUAGAGAGGAUCAUAAAGGGUAAAUUACUUCCAGGUGAGAAGAACCCGAAUUAGUGAACGAAUGCGAAAGCUACAAGAGCUUGUCCCAAACAUGGACAAGGUAUGGUUUCGUUUGUUUUUUUUCGCCUUAGCAGUUCUAGAUUUGGAAAUUGAUUGUUUUGGGGUUCCAUUUUAGCAGCAAACAAACACAGCAGACAUGUUAGAUUUGGCUGUGGACUACAUCAAGGACCUUCAGAAACAGUUCAAGGUAACUGAAAGAGAACCUCAAUUUCCAAUUCAACAUUUCUUUCUGGUGCUCUUUGCUUUUUUUUUCAUCCUACACUUGCAAUAAUAUUAUCUGUUUCUCAGACGCUAAACGACCGUCGUGCAAACUGCAAGUGCUUAAAUAUUCAGAAGCCGAUCCCUAAUCAAGUUUUAUGAUUUUACUUUGUUUUUCAGAUUUCUCUCUUUUGUUUAAAAAUUUUCCUUUUUGUGAUGUAAAAAGUUGGUUGCGUUUUCAUCACAGAAUUCUUAAUCGUGUAAGCUAAGAAAGCUUCCCACUUCAUGGCAGUAUCGGACUAAAGAGAAAAUUGUAUAGGACAGGUUUAUGCAUUGCAUUCCUCAUAUUACCAUUUCUCACACUACAAUCUCUUCUCAGUUUGUUCAUUUUUUUUGGUACUGCAUUUCUAUGUUAUAUAGAUUCAAGUAUUUAUCAAACAUGAAUGUAUUUUGUUUUUUUAUUAGGUAAACUAUACUCAACGUUAUUAAAUUAUUAAUAAGUUUAUAUUUUGAUCACUAUACUAUUAGUAAGUUUACGUUUUGAUCACUCAAUUUCAAAAAGUUACAAAAUGACCAUGAGCUAUUCGAAAAUUUUCAUUCAAGUCAGUGAACUAUUAAUGUUUUUUCUUUUGACUAACAAGCUCUAAAUGACGAACCAACGAUUGGUAUGAUGGACCAGUACUCAUUAGCAAGUAGAAUAACAUGCCUUAGAUCCAAGUUGAUUUGAUGAUCGGUGUCGGAGAUUGGAAAGAAAAGUUGUUUGAAUUUUGAUUCGUAAGUUCGUGACAUUCAAAGCUGUUUCAUAAAAUAAAUAAAAAAAAGAAUUGUAGAUGAGAACAAGUAGAAGAGCUUUCGAUCAGUGUAGGUAAUGUGAACAAAGAAAGUCGUACAACAACAAUUUUAAUAUUUCAACAACUCAAAUAAAAGCUUUGGAAUAUUUCAAUAAUAAUUGUAUUUAUUUAAAAUUAAGUGCUUAAACAUACUAAAUAGUUUAAUCAACAUAUUUAGAUGAAAAGUCAGGGGAGAGUAGACGUAGAGGGUUGCACUCUUGGUUAUAAUUUCUCAGGUGGUUAUGAUUUUGGUUAGUUGAAAAUAGCGGAAGUGUAGGUGGCUAACUUCUAUUUGUUUAUCAUCCCAUAUCGGGGAGAGUAAAUAAAGAUUUGGUCAUUCAACAAUCCUUAUCCACUUCCAUAUUAAUUAUUCAAAACCCACAUUACUGAAUCCAAAUUACUGACUAAAGAUGGCUUUUGGCAGCCUUUAUGAUUGUAUCAAAAAUUUUGGAAUAAGGAAACCUUCUCAAAUAAGUAUACUCUUAAUUUCUAAAAUAUGGAUUACCCACUCAACUUAAUUAUAGUCCCACACAUUCAAAUUGAAAUAAAAUUUAUUAAUAAAUUAUUGUUGCACAUCACAUGUAUAAUAACAAAAUCAGUUUAUAUAAUUUUAUAAAAUCAUAUUUAUUAUUUUCAUAUAAAAAUAUUAUUUUGAUAAAAAAUAAAAAAGAUCUUUUUAUCAUUAAUAACAUUAUGUAAUAUAAAAUUAAUAACAUUAUGUAAUACAAAGUUAAUCGUGGAAAUUAUGCCAAUUAAAUAUUACGAAAAUUUAAAGAUUAUGGAAAAUAUUAUUCAUUUGUAAUUGGGAAAUAAAUUGGACAAAUGUAUAUACAUAUUUUUAAGAAAAAUAUUCAUUUCUUAUAGUCUAAAGUUUUGUAAAUUAAAAUUAAUUGAACGUCCAAUGAUAGUUUUACUUUUAACUAAUUAUAUUUUAAAAUAUUAAGAUUUAAUAUAUAUUUUUUAAUAUAUUUAAAUUUCAUUUCAUAUACUUUUAAUUUAAAUAUUCUAACCUUUUGUAUUAGUUUUAAAAUAAUUGUAAAAAUUAUUUAAAUAUUCAUGAAUUUUGUUAUUAAAUAUUUUGAUAAAAAGAUCAUUAACAUUGUAUUAAUUUAAAUAUUUAAUAAAACUUUUUUAAUAUAUUUAAAUUAAGUCCUCUAAUUAUUUUUACCAUUUUAAGUUCAUGGAUAAAAUCUCAAACUUGAUUAGAGUAUAGGGACUAGCAUCAUAUUUUAACCAUUGUGUUGUUUGAGUUGAAUUCAUAAUUGGAAGGAUUUAAUUGAAUAUUAUUUUUAAUUAAAAACUUAAUUGAUUUUUACAUGAUUUUAUCAAGAGUUUUAUUUGUUUAUUUAAAUAUUUAAGCCAUAAAUAAAAGAAUAGCCAUAGGUAGAACGUUAGAAACUAAAAACCGUUGAUGGGGAAGUGAUCGUCUUUCUCCUUCACCUAUUAGCCCAAAAAAUAAAUAAAUAAAAGAAUAUUUACUGUUUCACUGAAUCCAAACUUUUUUUAUCUUCUUCUUCGUUAACUGGCUUCCUAUAACCCUAACCCUAACCCUAAUUACCGGUUCGAAUCUCCCAUUCUCCAUCAUCCCUUUUAGCCAUUCUCCACAUUUCAUACUGUGAUUAUAAUUAUGCCAUGCGAGGCUUCAUUUCUUGCAUAUUGUGCCAGAUCCACACGAAUAAUCUGAAUAUUUAUCAUUGUAUUUUAUGAUCGGGUUAAAUUCGUGGAUUUUGAGCGGCGGAUUCAUCUCAGUGGGCAUCUGAUUGGGUGGUGACGAUGUCAAACUUAUAUGGCGAUUAUAACCAAAGGAUUGAUUAUGUAUUCAAAGUGGUUUUGAUUGGGGAUUCAGCAGUUGGGAAAUCUCAGCUGCUUGCUCGUUUCGCCAGGAACGAAUUCAGUGUGGAUUCAAAAGCCACAAUUGGUGUUGAAUUCCAGACUAAAACCCUUGUAAUCGAUAACAAGACUGUUAAAUCGCAGAUUUGGGAUACUGCUGCCCAAGAAAGGUGCGAUUUUUUCCCCUGAAAUUUUCAGUUAGUUAUUUUACUUUAUUUUAUUGAAUUUGCAUAAUUGUUAUAAUUGAUGGAAAUAAAGAAUUGGAGUAGAAAGUGUCAAGGAACAGUUAUGUUACAUCCUUCUUUCUAUCCUUGGAAUAUUUGUAUUAGGCAGACCAAGUCUAAUUAUCUCAAGCUAGGAAAUUAGGGCACUAUCAUUAUUUCUAGCUAGGUAAUUAGGAAACUUAAUAUACAUUAGAAGGUGCAACUGGAUCAAUGUUUCAUUGGAUGGACCAAGAAUAAGAUAGGAAGACAAUGCCUUCAUACAUCCUGUAAUGAUAAUAUGGGAGAGUGGUGCCGGUGUUAAGGUUGUUUAAUGUGGAACUUGAGUCCUAUAAAUUCUAUUUCUGAUCCUAUCACUAUGCUGGAUUGAAAUGGUUAGUUGCAAUGUCAUAGAAGCUGAGCUACCUGGCCAACAACCACUUACCAGGUUUUUUUAUUGUUUGUGCUCUCUAGGAAUGCUUUUAGAUGGAAUUCAUUGGAAAAUUUUAGUCCUCUAAUGUAGAGUAAUUUUCUGCUGGUUAAGAUGCUAAUUUUUUAAAUGAGAAGUGAAAUGUAAUGAUCUUGGCUGCUGUUGUAUUGUUUCCUACUCUUAUAUGUUGCAAUGCCAACAUCAUACAUACUAGUAAAACAUCAAAGUUAGACUUCAGGAUUUUCAGACUUGAUGGAUUGUUUGUGUUAUGGUUUAUUCUUGGGCUGGAUUUGUCCAUAUAUCACUGCCCUGGGUUCUUAGCUUAUUGCUGCAUCAUUUUACUCAAUGGUGAACCCUCUGCAUAAUGGUUACUGUUUCUCGUAUUCUUUACCCUAACCCUUCAUAGUGAGAGAACACAAUUACAUAUAGAUAUAAGCAGGGGCAAAGCCAAGAUUAUUGCUAGGCUGGGGAAAUAGAUACGAAGAGCAAAGUUAAAAAUAUUGCUAGUUUGAAAUAUAUGCAUAUGUAUAUGCAUAUAUAAUGACUAAUUUGAUGGCUUGGUCCAAAUAGUUGUCUAAAUUUGGAUCGACAUGGAUUUUACUUUUAUUAUUAUUAUUGUAUACAACCCCUUUUUUCUUUUGUAAUAUGAAAUAAUUCUAUAUUGAUUUUUAUUAUUUUAGUUAGACUGGAUAUCUUUCUAACAUAAAAAAUUUACAUAUGCAACUAUGCUACGAUUAUUAAAAAUUGAUAUUUUAUUUUAUUUUAAGGAAUUUAUAUAUUGUUUGCUAGAUUAAUGUUAUAUGUGAUAUUUAAACUUAAUCUGUUCAUGCUAAGUUAUUUAUUUAUGGAUCAAGCCAUGCUUGAAUGACAAAAAAUUUAGCUUGUUCAAAACUCAAUCUAGGUUGUAAGACCUUUGAAACUUUUUUAUUUAAACUUUUAUUUUUUUAAUAUUUUAAAUCUAUUUUAUAAUAAAAUUAAAUAAAAUAUAUUUUAUAAGAUUUUCACAACAAUUUAUUUACUUUAAAUCUUUAUUUACAUAUAUAUCUAUGUCUAAACACACUUCAGCCUUGCAAUACGACAAAAACCUAUAUGCUUGGUAUUCUUCAAGGACCUUGAAAUAAUCCUUGAAUUGUGAUGAAACAUGAAUUUUCUGUUUGCAUCUAGAAAGUCUUAACUAAAAUGUGCAUGCAUCCUUUUUUUUCUAUUGCCUCAAGAUUACUUUUUCUUAUCCCGACUGAAAAGCCAUAGAGAAGUGUUGAAAUUUUAGAUGAAGCUGCUCAACAUUUUUGCCAGAUAUUUUGUUCCCUAUCGAGUUCAAUUACUGAAAGAUCAUUUUUGGUCACUUGUCUACUACUAUUGUAGCUCUCUGCUAUUUUUUUUUUGUAUGUGUUUUUGCACAAGCACAUGGAUGAGCCUAUCAUGUAUAAGUAUGCUUGUUUUUUCAUUACAUGGAUGCAUAUACCUUUACCUAUUUGCAUGCAUGUAUGCAUGUGUUUAUCUGAAUGUGCUAGUGCAUUCACGGACAUAUUUAGUUUAUUUUUGCGAUUUCUAGAGGAGCUCAAGCAUAUCAAGGGAUUUGUGUAUAUGAUUUUUAAGAGGACAGUGACUUGUUGUCUAGGGAGAUCCACAAGUUCUGCCAGAAUUAGAUUGAAUCUAUAAGAUAAACCCUGAUAUAGAUUCCUUUAUGUGGUAUGCAUAUUGGCAAAAUGGGUGUUAUUGGUCAUACACAUUGCAUCCAAUCUAAUCUUGAAAUGCUACUUAUUAGUGCAUUCACAUAAAUGAAAGGAAGAAAUUUGAUUUAUCAGUUUGUUAUGGUUGUUCAUCUUAAAUGUUGAUGAUGACAAUUACUUUGCUUUAAAAAAAAACUAGUCAUCCUGCUGUGGCAACAAGCAGAGAUUGCUAAUAUUUAUAUUUGACAGUCUUCGUGCAGGCUGCUUUGAUGUGAAACUAUAUAAAACCAAACCAUUCAUCAAUGUGGAACUAUAUAAAAUCAAACCAUCUUCUUUGGCAUACUAAGUGAUUUAGAUUUGGUCCUUAAUCAUUUUAACUCAGUGAUUAAGACCCCAAAGUAAACAUGGCAACGGCUGUUUCAUCAAGCUUUUGCUUUCCUUCAUAAUGUAUGAUGUGCGGCUGAAGUACCCUUGUUGCUUUAUGAAAUCAGGUACAGGGCUGUGACAAGUGCAUACUACCGAGGAGCAGUAGGAGCGAUGUUGGUUUAUGAUAUGACCAAGCGGCAAUCGUUUGACAACAUGGCAAGGUGGCUAGAGGAAUUGAGGGGACAUGCUGAUCAGAAUCUAGUGAUCAUGCUUGUGGGAAACAAGUGUGACUUGGGAAGCCUGAGAGCGGUAGCAACAGAAGAUGCACAAGAGUUUGCACAAAGAGAGAACCUGUUCUUCAUGGAGACAUCAGCACUAGAAUCUACCAAUGUUGAAACAGCUUUUUUUACGGUUCUAACAGAGAUAUAUCGAAUAAUCAGCAAGAAAACACUUACUGCUAAUGAUGAGUUAGAUCCUAAUGGCAAUGCAGCACUUCUUAAGGGAACCCGGAUUAUUGUUCCCAAUCAGGAGAUGCAAAAAGACAGUAGAGGUGGCUGCUGCGGAUAAUCCUAAUGUUAAUUUAGGUUCAGUUUUGUAAUUCAUCUAUCUACGCGCUUAAGGGGGCAAUUGCACCCACCCAAUUUUUUAAAAUUGAUUAAAUAUAUCUCUUAAUAAGAAUAUUACCCUUCCCACUCCAAAUGAACAAAAUUAGUAGUUUUAUUCCCACUUAAUUUACCAACAUCUAAAUUGUUGAGCAUAUAAAUAUUAUUUUACCUUUCAUUACACUAUCAAAACCCUAAAAUCUAUAGUGGAAAAGUACUAUCGUUCUUUCAAAAAUUUUGUGAAGAAUAAAGAUAUGAUAGCCUUUCAAAAAUUUAGUGCCAUGAACUUUGUUUUCUUCAAAAAAGACAAAAAAUCCAAUUUAAUAUAAACUGGUUAUCAUAUGCGAUUUUCUGUGUUUAUUUCUAAAUUUAUUAAAUAAUAUAUUUUAUAAAUUAAAAAAAUAUUUACUAAUUAGUUUAAUUUACAAUAAAAGUUCAAUGAAAAUAAAAUCUGAAUAGUAAAAUAUUAAGCAAUUAAAUAAAAUAAUUUAUUAUUUUAAUACGAGUCAAAAUUUCACAUUAAAAAAUCAAUACUUUAAUAUUCCAUUAAAAAAAUAUAUAUUCUUCUUUACAAUUUAAAAUAUACAAUUAAAUUUUAAAUUACAAUAUAGAAGCAAAAUAUUUUAGCAUAAGUCAUAUUCGAGGACAGCUUAUUUUUAAAAUGAUAAUAUAGUACUAAGUAAUUCAUAUUUAGAAUUAACGUAUAUAUAUAUUUUUAAAUAAUAAAAAUAUUAAUUGAUGUUUUAAAACAAUGUUGGUUUUUUUUUUUUGUACAAUCAAAAUAUCUUUUAUGUUUGUUUUACGGUUCAUGAAGAUUAAUUCCUUUAGGAGAUAUGUGGUUGCCCCUCUUAACAAUGUCAUCUUCAAGGUUUGGGCUUACAUUUUUCUGUGAGAGUAUAAUAUAUUUUACCACUAUACUUAGCACUUGUUGAUAAAAAUAAAUGGCAUUUAUAACUCAAAUCAGAAUAAAAAUUACAGAAAACAAUGUUGGUUUCUUAUUACUUUCUCAAUAUUAGUAUUGUUGAAAUGUUACGACAUUUAAUUGAUAUAUACAACCAAACAUGUACUUCGUACGGGGUAAAAAACUAGUUGUAUAUAUUUAUAAAUUAUAAUAUACCAUAAAAUUAGUUAUAUAUAAUAUCACGUAUCAUUAAUAAUCUACUUUAAUUACAUGUAUAUACUAAUUGUAUAUAUUAGGUUAUGUCACUCAUAAAAGAAUGCAUGUUAUAAUUUACAAUUCUAUAAUACUUAUUAUACAUUCAUAAUUUAUUUAUAUAUAACAAUUGAUAUGUUAUAUAUCCUUAAAUUUCAAUCUAUAUAUUUUUAUAAUAUACUAAAUAUAAUUAUGUCAAAUUAUAAAAUAAAAUAAAAUAAAAUUAUAUUAUUUAUUUUAAUUAUAUAAAUAUUAAUUAAAUUUAACUAAUUAAGUUGAUAAAAUAAUAAAAAAGGGUUGUGACAAAUUUAAGGAUUCUUAUAAUUUCAUCCCAUUGUCUAAUUAGGUUUACGGACGCAUAAGAAUAAGAUUUAAGAGAAAUUAUAUUAGACCUAUCCAUAGGUCAAGUAACCUAUUGACCCAAUAGGCUUGACCUUACUAGACUUGAGCUUGAAUAAUAUAUAUUUUUUUGUUCAAAUUCAAUUUAAAUAAUAAAAGUAUUUUUAAAUUUAAAUCUAAUUAUAAAUAUUAAUAUUUAAUAUAUUAAUAAUUUUUAAAUAGCUAAAAUGAGCUUUUUAGGCAAGUUGCAGGCUUAGCUUGAAAUUUUUUUUGGAAUCAAGAUGUGGCUAGACUUGACUCGGUCUAUGAAAGAUUUAAUUAUAUAAAAUUUAUUUAAAAUUAUUAUAUUUAAUAAUAAUAUUGCUUAUUAUGUUUUUCAUACAUUUAUGUAAAAUGGUUAAAUCAUAGCUAAGAGGUGAUAUAACUAAAUACGAAAAUCCGAAUCUGCUAUUGGCAUAAACAACCGGAUUUCAUAUAAUAAUAGAUAUCUAAGGGGUUUAUCGACAUUUACAGCCGCUAAUCAUUCUGAAUAUUUUGUCUCCAAUAUCCCCGGAUUUCCAAAUUGUCAUUGUUUAAUAUAAUUAAAAGAAUUUAUAAUGCAGGCUGUGGGGUUUGAACCCACGCGUGCUUAUGCACAGAAGAUCUUAAGUCUUCCCCCUUAACCUCUCGGGCAAACCUGCUGUUGGGAUACCUUUGUGCAUAAAGGUAUAUAAUGCUAACUAGAAAUCCUGCAAUUCAGCAUUACAACCCGUCUUGAGUUGGUGUCACGAGUUAUUCAAUCACCAACUCAGCUAAAAAAUACAAUAUUUUUAUAAAGUAAAUCAUAUUAUUUAGAAGUUACUUUUUUUUAUUCUUAUAUAAAAUUAAUAAAAAAAACACUAGAGAUUUAAACCUAAGAUAUCAUGAAUUUCAAGUAACAAUUUUUUUUAGUGCAUAGAAGAAUUGCAACAAUUUUACCUUAAAAAGAAAAUUUAGGUUUAAGGAUUCAAAAAAUCAUAUAAUUUUUCAAAAGAAAUAGUUAAGCCUUGACGAAAGUUUUGAACUCAAUCAAGCUAUCAAACUAAGAAAAUACAUCAAGUAAUUCUUUUGAUGGACAAAACUUUACAUUACCUAUUAAGUCCUCACAACCAUAAUGAUGUGUUUGCUAACGAUUGUUAAUUCAGUUUAUUGUAAUGAUGUGGCAUGUCACGUGUAUAAUGAUGCUGAUGUUGUACUGUUUUAUGUUAGAGGAGAAAUUCACUUAUUUCAAUGUAAAACUAAAAUGGUUUUAUACCAUUUCAUAACUUUUUAUAUGAUUAAUAUUUUAAUAAUUCAACCAUUAUAUUUCAUGCUCCAUUCAUGUAAAUUAUGCAUGUCAAGUUUGACGUAAUUUAAUAUUUGAACUAUUUUAUAUUAUAUAUCACGCCAGCAAAUAACUAAAAAAUAUUAAAAAUAUUAAAAAAUAUAAAACAAUAUAAUAUUUUUUUUAAAAAAUAAAAAAAAAUUAGUUCUAGGACCGUAAUGGGGAGAGCGUUUGUAUUCAAGAGUGACUGAUGCUGGGAUCUUGGUUGGAAGAGAUGGCAAACAAAGUUAGUGUCCAGGGAGGAAGAGAGACCGACAUUACCUAGGUGCGUGAUGUGGUCUAGGGGCCCUGAUGUGGUGGCGAUGAUGCCUUGUAGGUGCCCUCCAGACUCCUCUUAGCCUUCAAGGAAUGAAACUACGGAGUACGUUUAAGGAGAAGCUGUGGAGACUCUAGAGAUCGAUGUGUCGGGCACCAAAGGGGCUAAUUCUAGAACUUCAGAGCUUCAACUAACCUAUGCUAUACUACAAUCCAUUGUAACUAGGAAAUGACUAUCAUCAUAUCAAGCAUGGUUGUUAACAAAAAGAAGGAAACUAUUCUUUACACGGUAACAUCUUUUAUUCCAAUUGAUCUUGUCAAAUUAAUUUUUGAUGAGAUUGUCAAACACGUAGAGACCUAGAAAUAAAUGGCACAUGCUACUAUUUCUCUCACUCAACUAAAUCUUGUUGCAACGAAAGAAAGACUUAGUUCAGGAAUGAGAUGUCACUAUGCCACCAUAACCUGAGUUGAAGUAUUCACACAAGUGGAGCAGAGGGAAACAUGCAAUUGUUGACUCGAAUCUUGAUAUUGAGGACUAUGAAGCUAAUGAUCAGAACCAAGUGUGAGAUGUUGAACCAGUUGUAACUGGGUUUGCAACUACCAGAACAACUAAUGUUGAUUGGGCUAGACUAAUAGAGUAUCUAGAUGAAGAAGUGACUUGUGUUGAUAAAUAGUUGACCCGUUAAGCUCUUUAACAAGCAGAAGAGUUGAGAUUAUUCAAGUACAAUUCUAGGGUUUUCAUGUUAACUCUAGUUAAAGAAUUGCAAGCUUAUAGUGACUUUAAAGAAGGUUUGUUUACUUGAUUUUGUAUGAUUGAGAGAGAUCACUUAUCCAUUCAAUGUUAAAAACUUAAUUUUAGUGCGAUUACUUUAUAUAUAAAUUGUUUUUAUGUUCAGUUUGUAAUUAAGUUUUAAGACGAAAGUUUAAGUGGCGAGAGUCGUCUUAGUUGAUGUUUAGGAGUGAUGUUGUAAAUUGAUAAGUUAAACUUAAAUUAUAUAUUGUGCUAGUGAUUGAUAAUGGAUUAUUCUUUGGAUAGCGUUCCACAGACAUAAAAUCUUCCGAACUAGUAAUUAACUCUUGUGUCAAUCUCUCCGAACUAGUAAUGAACUCUCGUGUCAAUCUCUAUUUUGAUUCUUUUAAUUGUUGAUCCAUUUGGCACUUCACUGGCAACUAACAGGCAUUUUUCAACAUUUUACAAACCUAUAUAUUUCAGAGAAGCAAUGAUAGCUAAAAAUUGUGAUAAUUUCUUUAUGACUUAUGGAGGCUUUUACGCUCCUUAAAGAAAGAGAGAUCAAAUUUUGUUGAUUGAUAAACAAGGAAAAGGGUUAGACCAGUAUCAUCCUUGGUAAGUCACAGGUGAGUUGGGAAUUCUUUUUGACAUACAACUAUUGACAAACCAAGUCAAACUGGUUCCAAGUAAUAAUGAAGUUUUGAGAUUAAGGAGACGGAAGAAUAGGCUCGUUGGUAAUGUUAUCAAAGAUGAAUAGACAACAAUAAGCACAAACGUGCAGCAAGGGAGCAUGUAUCUGUUGGCUCUAGCAUUCAACAAGAAAACAAUACAUUUAAAGUGAACUACACCACCAGAUACUCAACUAAUCCCACUAAACUAUCUUGAAACUUGAAAACAUUAUUUGUACACCAAAAUAAAUCAACUAAACAUGUCAUUCUUUACCCAAACACAACAAGGCUUAACAACUAAGUUCAUUUUCAACAAAGUAACAUAAUAAAGGAACUAAACAAAAACCAAACCAGUGACGCAUGCAUUCGAGCUGAGUUUGCAUGCAUCAAGACAUUAGCUGCAUCUCGCCACCUGCGAAGUUAUCUCGCACUUUGCUAUUUCGUAGUUCACCACUUGACUGUGUCAUUUCAUAGUUCAUUUCGCAGUUUGUCACUUCACGAUUCAUUUCGCAGCUUAUCACCUUACGGUUCAUCAUGUGUUUGAGCUAUUGCAUGGUUGAGCAAUUUGUAACAUGACUUUAUGUUUCGAGUAUUAAUUUAUCCUUUUAUUGAAUUUAAAUUUUGUACUGUUUUUUGUUUCUGGUUAUAAUGGCUUAAUCUAUAAAAAGAAUUAAAAUGUUAACAUAGUAGAACCAAUGGUUUUAGCCGCUAGAGUCGGAUCCUGGGAAAUCCAACAAAUGAAUUACCAAAAGUGUUGGCAAUUUGAAGUUUGAACAAACCUGUAAGCCAAUCAUCGAAUUCUCCAUUCUAAAUAAUGUUGGCUUACUGGAAAUCCCAUGUCGUCCUAGCGAAGCAAUUAGACUCGAAGCAAAGUCAUAUUAGAAGCUUUAAUUAACAAAAAAAAGUACCAUUACAGUGGUAAAUCAUGUGCUUAAUUUUAUAUGAAUUUAGUCCAUGUGACUACAUGCAUAGAAUCGGUUGACAUUCAGUUAUAUUAAUUACUAGGUAGUAGUUUAUAAAAAAAAUUAAUGAAACCGAUGAUCCGAUAAAUGCAUGGGAUGCAAAAUUAUAAUUAUAGAGAUUAAUGUAUUAUUUUUACACACACAAAAAUACUCAUUUAAUCAAGCCAUAUGCUUAUGGUAGCUAAUAAAUAUAGCAUAAGCAGGACUUGAAUCAUCGUAUAUGUUUUUUUUAAUAAGAAGAAAAUAUGGUUUUCCCUUACAUUACCCACAGUAGUGCUGCCAUGGCGACAAGCAGCAAGUUCUUGCAUUGUAGAAACCCCUUGUUGGUUUCCGUCCUUUCAAUUAUCAUCGUUUAUUUGCUCAUAAAAAGGUGGGCAAAACCGAAAUCGUCCAUCCGGUACCCACCCGGCCCUCUGGCACUCCCGAUUAUCGGCCAUCUCUACCUCCUAAGCUCCUCCUUGCCCAAGUCUUUCCAAGCCCUAGCUCGGCUGUAUGGUCCCCUCAUGCGCAUUCAUAUAGCCCAAUCCAUCUUCAUAGUUGUUUCAGAUGCCGUCGUCGCCAAAGAGGUACUGAAAGUCCAUGACGCUGAGUUUGCUUCAAGGUUCGAGUUUGGUCCAGCCCAGUACAACAUAUACAAAGAUGCUGGUUUCAUCACUGGUCCUUAUGGCUCCUACUGGCGGUUUAUGAAAAAGCUUUGCAUGACAAGGCUCUUCACAGGACGACAGCUUGACCGUUUCAACCAUAUACGGGAAGAGGAGAUGGUGAAGCUGUUGAAAUCAUUGGUUAAGAAAUCCAGGGAAGGGAAGUGGUGUGAUUUAAGUGCGGAGUUAGCCAACUUAACCAACAACUUGAUAUUCAGGAUGACAAUGAACAAG
This 96747-nucleotide long non-coding RNA is filed under the name Gossypium barbadense (sea-island cotton). Its description in RNAcentral is "long non-coding RNA (GBAR_LNC008434)". Lineage: Eukaryota; Viridiplantae; Streptophyta; Magnoliopsida; Malvales; Malvaceae. The record is from RNAcentral.